Molecule: long non-coding RNA, 127152 nt
Filed under: Citrus maxima (pomelo)
Lineage: Eukaryota; Viridiplantae; Streptophyta; Magnoliopsida; Sapindales; Rutaceae
Description: long non-coding RNA (CMAX_LNC003394)
Source: RNAcentral
UUGAUGAAGUUCUUUCUCACACUAUCGAAUCAUCCACAACCACAACUCUCUUUCCCUCCAACCACAACCUUACAGGAGAGACUCGAGAGAGCUUAAGCUUGACACCAAAGUCCCUAAUUUUCUGGGAAGGCUCAAUGAAAGUUCUCCCAACAUAAUGUGACCUUAUCAACCCUUGUUGAAAUGGCACCCUGGCUUUCGCAGCGUACUCAAGUGCAGCCACCACUCCAGAAUCUGGUACUGCAAUCACAACUUCACACUCAACAGGAGCCUCGGUAGCAAGUACUUCCCCAAAAUGAUACCUCGACUCAUAAACAGACCUACCAAAAACAACAGAAUUGGGCAAAGCAAAAUAAAUAUGCUCAAAGAUGCACUGCUUAGGUUCAGGGUGAGGCAUCAAACAAAGUGAUUGAACCCCAUCUUUAUCCACCAUCAAAACUUCACCGGGAUAUACCUCUCUCUCUCUCUCUCUCUCGUAAGUGGCCUCAAUCAAAUAGUGCACAAGUCUCUGACGCAAAAACCAGAGCACUAUUACUCCUCCUACCCAUCACCAACGGCAUAAACCCAUACGGGUCACGGACUGCAACAAACUUAUCCUCAGUAACAAACACCAUUGAAUAAGCACCCUCAAGCUUCUCACAAACAUCCACAAUCCUCAAAAAGAACGGCCUAGCUUUCGAUAUCGGAAUCAAAUGGAGAACAACCACAGUAUCAGAACUAGUAUUAAAAAUGGACCCAUUAUCUUCAAGCUUAGCCCUCAAAGUGUUAUAAUUAACUAAUGUGGAACACCAACAGAACCAAACCUGUACCCAGCAACAAAAGGCUGCACAUUCUUAAGCAUAGAACUACCCGCAGUCGAAUAUCUAACAUGACCAAUGGCCAUAUCACCCGGCAAUUGAUCAAGUUUAGACUGAUUAAACACAUCAGGGACUAAACCAACACCAGUAAUAGACUGAAGAACUUUCACAGCAACUAUACCUGCACCUUCUUGGCCGCGAUGCUGCAUCGCGUGUAGCACCAAAUAGCACAAACGGGAGGCCUCUGGGUCACCAUAGAUGCCCACAACACCACACUCCUCACGGGGCUUAUCGUCGUCGUCAUCAUCAAAACUGCCAAAACCGUCAUCUGGGUAUUCUUUAUUUGUGGUGAAAAACUCAGAGAUGGGGUUUUUUGAUAGAACAGUGAAGUUAUUUUUGUGGAUUAAAGAUUGUUGUUUCUGAGGGAAAAAAGGGUUUUUUUGCAGGGUUUUGGAGAAAAGAGAAACAUGGGUUUUUUGCGACGGCUUAGGGUUAGCAGAGGGAGAUGGGUUUGAGAGAGGGCAGAUAUUGGCGGUGCCUGUGGUUGUGGCUGCCAUUAAUGGCUGAAUUUAUUCUAUUUUAUUUUAUUUUUUGGGUUGCCUUGCUCAAAGAAAAAACAGAGGUGGUGUGUGGAGGGAGACAGUGACGAAGGGUACUUUAAGUCGAGGGGAACUUGUUCUAGGUUUUUUUCUGGAAUUGUGAGGGAAUCUGAUCCUGUGUUUGUGCAUAUGAUUCAAUUACUUAUAGCUGAUACUGUUGUGUCACCACAAAAUCUAAUUGGGAAGCUUCAGCUGUCAAUUUUUUUCCAAGGGUUAAUUAGGUAGAACUUUCAUGUCGUCGAUUUUAUUUGGAGAUUCUAAAAGUAGUUUCCAAAUAAAGAGAUGGACCAAAAUCAACAAUGUGACAAAGAUACUUUAGAUUUUUUUUACUUGUGGGACAUGAAAAUUGAUGCAUGUUCCAAUGCAUUGCUCUAUCAGAAUUGGAAUUAAACUUAGUUUGUAUUCUCCUAUUCCGAAAGCAAAACUUAUAAGUGAUAUUCUAAGAAGAAGAAAUUAAGAACCAUAACAAAUUUGAAGAUUCUAAUUUGCUAGAAAUAUUGCAAUCCAAAACUAAGAAAGUUAAAACCAAUUAUUAGAAGAAAAAAGCAAGACGGAAGCUCCCAGAAUAUUGUUAUGUGUUGUGUGUUUCAGUUUGUAUUUCCCAAUCAAUAAGAAAAAGUAAGUACACAUGUUACAAAACUUUAAUAAAAAAGAUUGGAGGUGACAAAAUCGUCAAUCUUCUAAUUAACUUUCUCUCCUUUCAAAUUUCCUGAGUUUGGUAGAGACUGCUUAAGUGGUGUAUCUGUUAUAAACAGGCAAAACUAUGUUGCAACAGUGGUAUGGUACCACUGUUGCAACCAGCCAUUGGAUGCAUAGUUGUACAGUUACAUUAGCAAGAUCUAAUGGUUGAAAGCAACAAUGGUACUGUACUACUGUUGCAACAUAGCUGGACCCAUUAUAAACACCUGAAGUCAAAGUUAAUGUUUUAAUUGUUAAGAAAAGUUAGAAGAAGAAAUUUUUGUAUAAGAGAAUUGGGUUUAAAUUUUAGAAUUCUUUGGGAGGAAAUGAGUCUAAAUUCCAAUAAUAUAAUUCAGCACUAUUUAUAUAUAUCAUUAGUUGGGUGAAAAAUUAAUUUCCCUCCUUUGAUGUGAUUUUCAUCAUUUAUUUUCAUAUGAUGGUAAUUUUUUGUUUAGAGUGAAGUUAUUGGCACCCUUUCAUUAUCCUUAUAAAAUCCUACUUCAAAUAAAAUUACACUUAAAGACAAUAGAAUUAAAUAAAAUAGUUUUUUUUUCAAACAAAUUACUCACAUUCAUAAUUUUUUUUCUUCUAAUUUUCUACAGGUUGCUUUGUAUCUAACUAAAAUCAAUUGUACAAAUUUAGAAUAAUUUAUUAUUCUUUUUAAAUUUCUUAUUGAUUAAAUAUUUGUGUGCUUAAGAUAGUUUUAAAAUUAUAAGAUAAUAUAUAUAUAAUUUAAGCCAAUGAUUAACAUUAAAAAAUUUAUCUCUCAUAAAAGUUUUUAAUUUGUGCGUAGGGUAAUAAUAAAAUUGCAAAAGAAAUGAAAAAUAGCAUAGCACUAUUUUGAGUUUAAACAAUAAAAAAUUAAAUGAAAAAUUAGAAGUGUAUUUAAAAAAAGGAUAUUUUUGAAAAUAAAUAUAAUUUAAAACAAAAAAAAAAAAGAGUUUCAUGAGGGGUGCAAUAGUUCAACUCUUUUGUUUAUAAGUUUUAAGAUGUUGGUAUCCGUAGCUUAGCUUUUCCCUAAUUAUUAUAUUAAAAUGUAACAACAAUGAUGAUAAACCCUAAUUUCAUGGAGGUCAAAGAUUUUGGUCAUGCCGCAUUAAUUAGUUCGGUCAUACUUUCUACAAAUUUAUUUACAUUUAAUAAUUUGACCAAGACUAGGUAAGGCGCCGCUUGGAGUCAUAGAAUUUUAUAUGUCAAAAGUGCGUUUCACUUCAAUUAAGCCAUAAAUGUCGUUUAAUAUGCUCAUUUUGUAUUUUUUUUUUAAAAAGUUUUAUUAGUUUUUUGGUUUUUAAAAAUAUCAUUUAUUGGAGUUGCUAAAGUUGGUGGCGAAAUUGAUGGAAUUCUAGUAUCUCAUAAGGUAUCUCAUGAUUUAGUGCUAGCUUCCAAUCAACGUAAGAACAAAGGCAAAAACGAAAGUAAUGUUGGGCUUACAAAUGAGGACGAGGAGGAAAUAGAAAUGGGCUUGGUUAUUUCCGAUGCUAAAAGGCGAAGGUCUGAAAUUGGGCUGGAGGAAAAUGUGGAUCCUCAAAGUGGCACAUCUACUAUUAUGGAAAUGGUUAUGGUACCAAAAAAGGGGUUAGCGGUGGGUCCUGUCGAUCAGGCCCACUGCUCCCAAUGAGUACCCUUAGCUGGAACUGUCGUGGGCUAGGCCACCCACGGACAGUUCAGGUUCUGACAGAGUUGGUCAAAUCUAGAAAACCUUCUUUUAUUUUUUUAAUGGAAAUUCUUUGUUACAGACAUCAAUUGGAGCAUCUUAAACAAAAAUUAGGCUUUGAAAAUUUAUUUGUGGUGGAUCGAUUGGGCCGUAGUUGUGGGUUGGCAUUACUUUGGAAAGCCAAGUUUAAUGUUAGACUUUUAAAGUUUGCAAAAAAUUUCAUUGAUAUAGCUGUGAGUGAAACGGGUUCGGAUAUGGGUGAAUGACGGUUGACUGGUUAUUAUGGGUAUCCGGAAUUUGCUCGAAGACGAGAAUCUUGGAAUCUCCUCCGCCAUCUUGCUAACAGCUCCUCUCUUCCUUGGGUUUGCUUAGGGGACUUCAAUGAUCUUCUCUCCAGUGCUGAGAAACGAGGGAAGCGAGCUCACCCCAGUUGGAAGUUUAAUGGGUUUCGUGAGGCUGUGUCUGAUGCUGGUUUGGUGGACUUGGGAAUGGAGGGAUACCAAUUCACUUGGGAGAGGUCCCGGGGUACAAAUGCGUGGGUUGAUGAGUGAUGGGUGUCGAAGCCAGCAAAAAUAAAUACCUACUCUAAAUAAAUUGUGUAUAGUAAUUGAGCAGGGUCGUGUUCACAGAGAUCGGUAAUUAUUUAAAUCCUUUUGAAACGUAAAACGUAAAAUGGGGGAAUUGUUGAUAAUAAUAAAAAUCAAAUUAAAAUAACAAGAAUGCAAAUUAAAGUUGUAAUUCAAAUUAGAGAAAGCUCUGGUUGAAGGAAUUAACUCAGCUUGAUUCGACUACUGAUCAUUGAUUCAAAUAUAGAUUAUUAUUACUUAAAAAUAGACUGGUUAUAGCUAUUGAGACCCUCUAAUAGCCAAUCUCUCCUUAACUAGUCGAUAACCAAGGUACAAUCGUUGGUUAUUUCCCUAAUCAAUAGACAACCCUAGAUACGAUCAUAGGAUUUAAUCAAUUGACAGCCUGAAAAACCAGAGAGACCCAAAUCCUAAUAAACACAUCUGAUGAUUCAUUUAAAUUAGAUUGUUUAUUCUCACAACACAACUCUCUGCUAUGUUAUUUGUCACAAACAUUAAAUUCUUCAUACGAUGAAUCCUUUAAUUGACAAUAGAUUAAGUUGAUAAUUAAAUAGUGGCCAAUUACCUAAUUAACAAACUUGAUCAUGAAAAUAAUACAGAGAAUAAACAAAUACCCAAAAAGCAAUAAAACAAUUAAAGCACAAGAAAGAUCUCACAGUAGUGAUGAAUCAAAGCUUCAUUAUCCUUCAACCAGAAAAAUAAGUUUAGUUCUUCAUAGAGAGAAGAGAAAAAUUAAAAUCUAGGGUUUCUUUCUUUUCCUCCAAUCUAAAAUCCCCUAUUUUUCACAAUAGAUUCCUCCCUUAAAUACUCUCUCUCUCUUCUCCUCUAGAAUUCUAUUUAAAAUAAAAUACUAAUAUCUGAAAUAUUAAAUUCGUAAUUACAAAAAUAACCAAAAAUACAAAACACGUUAAACUAAAAACUGCAGGUCCGCAGUUAACAGCACGCACCCACGCCUUAUCAAUAAAGUUCUUCUGAUGCUCAUAAUUUCUCUAAGAGAACAAUCAUCCUUAAACAUCAUCUUAUAGCUCAAUUUUAUCACCAAUCAAUAGAAUUGCACCUACAAAAGUAAAACACAAGUAAAUUACUAUUAUUAAGUGCAAAACAUCGAUAUUAAGGGAAGUAAACAAUGCAAAACUAGUGCAUAAAUUGCACUCUAACAAAUUCCCCCACACCAAGAUGAUGCUUGUCCUCAAGCAUAUAACUCAAGAUUAUUCCCAAAUCUCCACUCAAUUCUCAUCUCAACUCAUCCAAAAAUAAUUUUAAGCAAGCAUACCUCAAGAAAUUAAGUCGAUCAACAUUCGAGAGACAAGGAUUUUAAAGCAUAGAAUUUCAUAAGAUAGAAUAAGAACAUUCAACCACCAAGAAGAUCCAUUCAAAAUUCAAGUGCAACAAGAUUUAAUAGCCCUCUCAAUAACUUCACUCCAUGCACUCAAAGUGUUUAGAGUGUCAUUUAUCCACUCAAAUCAAAUCAAAGAAUGCUAUUACCAUAAGCUUGCUCAUAUAUCACAUCUCAAUCCACAAAACAUGAAUAAAAUGCAAAAAUCUAAGGGUCUUAAAAGGGUUGUAAUGAGGUUAAAUGGGUGAAAUGAAAAAGAAAGGUCUACGAAGGAAAAAGAGAUCAAAACGAGAAGAAUGAACUCAUUGAAUGAACUUAUGAUAUCAAAAUGCUUAUUUCUACUCAAGUCACCAAGAAUGUAAACAUUUUUUUUCUUUUUUUUAAUUUUUCUUUUUCUUCUUUUUCUUCUUUUUUUUUCUUUUUUUUCUUUUUUUUUUGUUUUUGAAUCAAACAAAAGAAACAAACCUUGCACAAUUUAAUUCAAGCAUAAUGCUUGUUGAUCUAAUUGAGAAACUUUAAUACAAGGUAGAAAAAGCAACAAAAUAUAUUCACACAAUGAGUCCAAAAAUCUCCUUAAAUCGAGGCUCAAAAGAAGAAAAAUGGUUAAGUCGACGGAGAGAAUUAGAUGGGUAAUGGUUAAGGCUCAAACAAAGGUAGCAAAUAAAGGUCUUCGGGUAGAGAAAAAAAAAUGCAAGAAUAGAGAAAUGGAAUAUGGUUUGCCCUUAUCAUUUUAAUGCAUAAAAUCCCGUAAUGUGGCUUCAACAUGCAUAACAAAGCAAGUUCUAGAAUAAACAAACUAGGAUUGAUAUUCACAUAACAAAAAAAUAAUUAGAGCAAAGUGGUUGCUCAUAGGCUCAAAUCCUUACAAAGUUGAUAAAUUUGCCAUCAAAUCAUGUACACUCUUCAAAUGAAUCAACCAUCAAUAGUGGUGUAGAAUGAGAAGAAGGUAUGAGUGAGAUAUAAAAGGAAAGGUAAAAAAAAAAAUGUGAGUAAUGAAAGAGUAUGAUAGAAAGAAAAAAAAAUAGAUGUAAAUAAUUUGAGAUAGAUGGGAAAAGAGUAGUGAGAAAGAAAAGAAAAGAAAAUAAUAAUAUAUGAAGCAUACUAACUCCAAAAUCAUUUAAGGAUGAGUAGAGUGAAAAUACUACUUCCAGACAUCAAUAAUGCAAAAAUCCCUCCCCCACACCAAGAACUUACAUUGUCCCCAAUUUAAGAUAAUCAAAGCUCACAUAAAAAUUAAAACGUAAGGAUAAAAGUUUAAGGGCAAAAAGAAACUUCCCUGAAUUGUGAGCUUUGAUCCACAUAACGUUUAUGGGCUUGGCGGAAAUGGUGGGGUAAAUCCCACACUCUUAAAGUAUGCGGCCAAAUUCUGCUCCAUCUUGUUCAGCUUGUGCUCCAUUUUCUCUAACUGAAUGCUCAAAGUGAAAUAUAAGUGUGCAACCCAAGAGGGGGGGUGAAUUGGAAAUUUAAAAAUUAACCUAGCAAAUCCACACAACAAGCAAUCUAAUGCCUUAAUAAAAAUUGAAAGCAAUAAGUUUAAUAAAGGCACAAUAAUUAAAGAGUAAGGAAGAAGAGAAAUAAACACACGAAUUUUUACGUGGUUCGGCAAUCCCCGCCUACGUCCACGCCUCCAAGCGAUCCAAGCUUGAGGAUUCCACUAUCCAAGCCUUUCCAAGGCUUCAACGAUUACAAUUGACUUCGAGGUGUCAAUAAACCUUUACAACAAAGAGAUUAUCUCCCAAUCUCUUCACUCAAGUGUCUCACACACUCAAACUCUUACAAUUGAGAUGAAUAAAUGAAGGUUACAAUGAAACUCACUCAAUGAGUAGAUAUUCAAAAAUGAAGAACAAUUAAAGACUCAAUGUUUGUAUUUCACAAGUUUGAAGGCUCAAGAUAUCACGUGUGCUUUUUGUUCUUGCUUGUUGGAGAGCUUGAAAAUGAGUUGGAUUUGAGUUUUUAUAGUUUGAGCUCGAAAACUAGCCGUUACUCACAUUUUGGUCGUAACCGGAUUACCGGUUAUGGACAUCCGAAAUUCCGCUUAAUGUUACCGUUACAGCCACAAAUUUGAAUUUCUGAACAUCCGGAUUUCCGCUUUGUCACAUCCGGAUUUCCGCUUACGCUCAGUAGUUUACUGCCCAAUAACCGGAUUUCCGUUUGUCAGGAUCCGGAAUUCCGCUUUUAAUUCGGAUAGAUUUUGCCUCGAAUCCGGACUUCCGUUUAUCAGAAUUCGGAUUUUCGCUUGCUACAGUAACUGCUACAGUGAAUAUUUUUCCAAAUUUACAGUUUGACCCCAAAACUUUAUAAAACUAUAAUGUGGCCUAAAACGUUAUGAAAGUUUGCAAAAAGGUCCAAUUUCAGAACUUUAGAAUAAUGCUUUGUCAAUCCCACAACUUUCUGAAAUUAUGACUUUGCCCAAACUUUGUGAAAUUAUAGAAUGGCCCAAAAACAUUUAAAUAGUUUCAAAUAGGUCCAAAUCCGAAAUUUAAAAUACUAUCAAAGAUUUUAAAAAUACUUUCAUUUUAGUCCAAAAUGCUUUAAUUCCAUAACAUCGUUUUCUUAUUAUAAAAGCACAAUUCAUAAAUCUUUGCUUAAUAAAUACAUGUGGUUUGUUAUCAUCAAAAUCAAUAUUUAGCCAUAUAGGCUAACACAAAGGUGGUGCGGAUGUAGAAGGAAUAGUUGGCGGGGCAGCAGUGUCGUCGUCAAACUCAUCAUCAGAGGUAGCACCACUCCUAGCAUAAAGCUUCUUCGGAAGUUGAGUGGGUCCUGGUUCCGUAAAUUGAAAUCUCCCCUCCUUGAAUUCGACCACACCUGUUCUUUCAAACACAGACAUAUCCAAAAAUUCCUUUUUGCAAGCAGGAUGCAAAUCAUUAUUGUCAGGAUCAAGCACACAUAGGUUUAUAGCUAACAUAGUAAUGUAUGGACCAAGAAAUAAAGUCCUAUACCGUUUAAGCACACUUUGAAAUUGAUCCGCUAACCAAAAACCUAAAUUAGGCCUCACAUCAUGUAACAUGCACCAGAUAAAAUAAAAUUCAGUUUUAGAGAAAAUUCAUGAGUGAUCUUUCUUGCCUAAAAAAUUAUAUGCUAAGAAUCGAUGCACGCAUUUCAAAACAGGAUCACGUAAGAAAGAACUCUUUGAUUUACUCGGGUCAUAGGCAUUGUGAUCAACAGAUAAAUUACGCCAAAGACCAUAAGGCUCAAAAUUUUCGCUAAAGUCACAAGUUGUUCCUAAAUAUUCAUCACUAGUAGAAUAAUCAUCAUCAAUGAAUCCUAAAGCUAGGUUAAAAUCCGUGAUAGAGUGUGAAAAAUUUCGUCCCAUUAACCUAAACUUAAUGACAUCUGGAGUAUGCAAAGUAAAAUUAUUCGGCAUAGUAAAUUAAAAAGUAGCAUAAAACUCCCUAAUCAACUCAACAUAACCCAAACAAUCAACAUCAACAAACUUACGCAACCCAAUCUUAUCUAUCAAAGAAUCAAAAUUAUCUUUAACAUUCAAUUUUUCAAGAGUAGGGUAAUGAAUAUACUUAGCUGGAAGUAUUUUGCGCGUGGAAAUAUCUUUGUACCUCUCUUUCUCUUGUUGAGUCGCGAAUGCGAGGCACCCUCCGAGAUUGGAUUCCGCAAGUGGCAAAACACUCAUGCCUUUUCCGUGCUUUGAUCUUUGUCUCACGGCUUGGCGUGAAUUUGAAAUUGUGUUCCAUGGAACCGUAGUGGGAGCGGCAAUCUUAUAUUUCUUUGCGAAAGGAAGAAAAUAAAUUAUUUAUAACCUCGGAAUCAUGUGCGUCAUCAGAGUUGUCUGUCUGCUCCUGGUGGUCAUCAACAGCCACCUCAUCCUCAGAAGUGUCAUGACGCUGCUCUGGUGUUGGGUUUGGUAUGUCGUCAUGCUCGUUUGAUUGCCUUGUAAUGGACGGCAUCGCGUUAAUUGAUGGUUGGUGCUGUAUAAAGUAGCAUUUAAAAUUAGUAAAUGAAAAAUAAAAAAUUUCGAUUAAAUAAAUAAUAGUACUUAUAGGAUACCGACCUUAUGAACCCAGUCUGGAAUGUGUGGCAUGUAAUCCUUUACAGUGAGCCAAUAUUUUAUGCUACUCUCCUUUGUAUUCGGCUCAAGGGUUUGUAAAACGUCCCCCUAUCAUAAAUUCAAUCCAAAAUUUUAAGUAAGUAUAUAUAACUUAAAUUUAGUAACGUUAAAAAAAUAACUAAUACAUAUUACUUACAAGACGAGAUUCGUCGUUGAAGAACGAAUAAACCUCAGCAAAGUUGAUUCUCGAAGACCCCAUGGGCUUCCAUUGCACGAUGCGGGGAAUCUUCUUCUUCGUUUUCACGACCCAUGCUGACGGCAAACCUCCGAUCGCUUUGUAAAUCCAAGCCUGCAACAACCAAAGUGAAAAACCUAUUAAAACAACUAUCAAAUAUUUAAUACUAUAAAACUUAUUAAUAAACAAAAAAACAACGCACCUGAACCCCGGACAUAUAGCCGUAAAGAUUGUACUUUUCAAUGUUAUGAUCUAGGUUUUUCAACCGAGUCGUCUUAAAUUUCUCGUCUUUCUCGAACAGUGCAUUGUCAAGACUCUCGUAUAUCAUUUCCCACGACAAAAGACCCCAUGGAUGCUUUCGGAAGUACUCUAUAUCAUCUACUUCGUUAAGCGAUGAGAAAUUGAUUUGACAGUAAUUUUUUCUUGCAUUUAGAACUAUGUCCGCAAAAUAAAAUAGUGCAAUCUUUAAUGCGUCAAUAUCGUCCAUUUCCUCGAAUUUCAACUUCUUAAAUAAUGCAUCGAAUUCCUUAAGAUUGAUCUUGCGAUGCACACCACCAAAAUACGUAUUCCGUAGCCUAUGCACCGUUUUGUUAUUUCUUAGUUCGGUAUCUACACCAUAUGAAAGUCCAAUAACCAGGCACCAUUCUACAAUUGACAAGCGAAUCAAAUGCUCACCAAUUUGAAACCAUAACUGAUCCUCACGGCUAUCUUCUUCAUGGGCCACUUGCCUCAGUAAAAAAUUGUGCAAAAUUACCCCACUAAAUGAAAAGUUUCGACACUCCAAGAAAUGCCUAAAUAUGUCCUUCUUGAACAGAUUCAAUUGCCGCUUUGUUAAUUUUUUUUCGGUGGCUUUUACGACCGAAGAUAAAUUACACAUGCUCGAAAUUCGACCCGGAAAGUGAUCGGCGUAACGAAAAUACAUCCUGCCUACUUCGAUUUCUGAUGAUUCUGAUUUUUCCAUGUAUCGGUAAUAUUUAUAACAUUAUUACAUUGCAUUUACAACAAAAAUAAAAUAAAUUGACUUGAUGGAAAAAAAAAUUAAACCCACUAUAAUUUGGUGCGACAGCACAGCAAGCGCGUGCGCGCUGUUGCCCAGCGACGGUUCUACACCAUAUGUGCAGCACCAUUCAACCCAAAACAAGUGAAAGAACAAAUCACUCCCAAAACAACAACAACCACCACAAACACCACCACCACCACCACCAUUAUUCUCAAACUACAACCACUAUUAUUCUAAAAUUUCAUUUUAAAUUAAUGAAAUAUAAAUAAAAUGGCUAACUUAGGUUUUGUUGAAGGCUGUAGAUGGUAAAUUGGACGCCGAUAAUAGAUGGAGCAGCCGCCGACGAGGGCUGAUGUUGCCGCCGACUAUAGGUGUUUCUUCGGUUUGGGAGAGAUGAGUGAAAGAGAGAUUAUUGGGGGAGAGAUGUGAGAGGGGUAUUUUGGUCUCAAAGGUUUUUUUGUGGGUAAUGUUGAUAGAAAUUAGUUUGGGGGGUUAAGAUGGAAAAACAAAAACUUUUAUAGUUAUUGGUGUAAAUUUCCCAUUGUAUGUAAUACUUUAGAUUCAGGUAAUGUAGAUUGUGUAUACAACUUUCUAAUAUUCUGUAGAUCUCAAUAUAAAUACUUGUAAUCAACAAAUACAAUAAUAAGAGUCAUCAUUCUUCAUUUUCUCUUUGUUUCUCUCAUAUUUUCUCUUCAUCCAAACACAAUAUUCUCAGUUCUUGACUUGGUAUCAGAGUUGCAGUUUAAUUGUCAUGGCUUCCUUCCUUAAGCACAAAUUAAAAAAAAAUCAGUCUCCUUCAUUCUUUACCCUCACAAAUGCGAUCAAACUGGACAGAUCUAACUAUACGAUCUGGAAAUCUUAGAUCCUCUCUUCAGUGCGUGCCAAUGGACUUGAAGGCUUUCUUAAUGGAACUAAAAUUUGUCCAGAUCAGUUACUUACUCAAGAGAUUGAAAGUUAUGGUGUGUUGAAAUUGCAGUUGGUGAAAGCUCAGCUGAUAGAUCUUAGGAGAAUCCAGCCUUUGUUGCUUGGAAAAGGUAGGAUCAAUUGUUAUUAAGUUGGCUCAUGUCCUCCAUCAGUGUUGAGAUACUUAGUCUAGUGGUAAAUUCUGAUUCUUCUCAUAAACUUUGGACUAAUCUUGAAGAAAAAAUUGGAUUAGAAACUAUGGCUAAGAAAGCACACUUAAAAAUGAUGUUAAGCAAUCUCAGAAAGGGAUCAAUGACAAUAACUGAGUAUUUUGCCAAACUUAGAGCUGUAACUAAUAAACUUGCUCUAACUGGUAGCCCUGUUUCUACUCUUGACUUUAUUAUUCAUCUAAUCUCUAGAUUAGGCCAGCCAUACUACCCUGUUGUUUUGUAUAUUGAAGCUAUUGUUUUGUAUAUUGAAGCUAAUAUGAUGAAAAUAUUCGUCAAUGAAGCAUAUUCUAUGCUUUUAACUCAUGAAGCAAGAAUUAAAGCUAAUCAUCCAAGUGCAAAUAAAGAAGCAAAGUUGAAUUAUGCUGUUAACAUAGCUGAGGCUGGACCGAGUACUAAAUAACAAUAAGAAGUCUAGUAAUCAAGCUAAUUACUAUCAGGGCAACCAAGGUAACUGGAAUAGAAAUGCUCAUUGGUGUGGUAACAAUGGAGGAAGAGGUGGCUUUGGCAGAGGUUUUUCAGGGCAAGGAAGGGGUAAUUAGAAUAAUGGUGGUCAUUGGAACAAUGGACCUUGGAGUAGUAGUCGAGGAGGCUAUAAUGGUUCUAAUAUAAACAAUAUGACAUGGUUGCUGGUGAACCUGCAAACAUAACCACAAAAGUAAGAAGGCAUAAUCUUUUUAUAAGAAACUCAAAAAUGUAUUAAUGAUGAAAAUUUUAAAACAGAUAGUGGACCAGCUGUUCACUAAGAAAACAAAAAACUGAAUAUUUGUGCUAUAAAAAGGCACACCCAAUCUCACCCCUAUAAAAGGCUAGAAUCAACUACAAAUUCCUAUCUCAAAACCCCAUCCCAGUUUAGAUGAAUGAAGAAAAAAGAUGAAUCUUGAAACUCCUUAGAAACUGAAGCCCAAAGUGAAGCAAGAAGAUGAACUCUAUCCCAAGCAAGCAAUAUGGCAUAUUUCUCCAUUAAUGGUUCAAAUAAAGUGAAUGGCUUUCUCUGAUGAAUGGGAAAUUGUCAAGAUCAAUAGUCAAACUCACGCAAAGUAAACGGACUUAAUUCUCAGAGGCUACUCAUUCUAAGUCUUAAAGAAAAAUUUUCUAAUUUCUAAAGAUUAUAUGGGGAAAAAUCAUUAUUUUUUAACAUGGAAAAUUUGAUACGGUGUUUAAUGUCUGAUCAAAAUCAUAAUAUGAGUACUAACAAAAACAUCUUUAAUCGGCAUGGUGCGAGUAAAACACCAUCACUUCAUCUUUGAUGGAAAGAUGAUAAUAUAAGGAGAUGGUGAAAUGGUUUUGGUCCAUGGCAGCUUGUAAUCAAAAGAAAACAAAAAACUACACUAUCAUUAAUGAUUACCGAAGGUACAGAAGUAUCAAAAUCGGAAAGCAAACAAUUGCAAAACACAUCAAUGACUGAAGGUUAGGUUCUAAAACUUCCGUAUUUAAUUUUCAGAGCAUGUUAUGUAUUAUUCAGAAAUAUGCUUUCACUUCAGGCACUUGACCAAGACGCAUUAAACAUAAAACGCGGCGUUUUCAUGGACUAGUACAUUCCAUGCUUCGAAAGUUUAUGUUUUAGACUGAUUGGUUUGAUACAUUAUUUGUUUAUUGCGUUUUUCUUGCUUUAAAUAUUAUGUUGGAUUGAUAAGUUUUGUACACAUUUAUAUUGCUCGCAGUAAAUAAUUUAUGACAUUUAAAAAACUAUCAACCGUCUAUCAAAAGAUUUCUACUAUAAAUAUAUAUACACAAAAAACUUUUAAUUUGGUCAAUUUGUUCUCUUAUUUAUUUUUAUUCUAUUUCUCUUUUCCUUCCCUUUCAUUUUAUUAUUUUAUGGUACAAAAUAAAAAAAUAACCUUAAAAUUUAAGGGUAAAAUACUCAUUUUACUAAAAUUCCGUUUAAUAUUAUAAAGCUGUCAAAUGUCAAUGGCAUAGUACACGAGUGAUACAAAUUAAAAACAAUAAAUUGAAAGUUUUUAUGCAUUUUCCUUUUAUUUUUUUUAUAGCCGAUUGAGAUUCCCCUUCAUUUUUUUAAAUUCAAUAGGUUUAGACCGUUUAACAAAUCUUAAAUUAAAAAAACCCGUGGUGUAAUAACAAACUCACAUCAAACCCUGUCCACUGUCAUCCCUAAUUAUAUUUACCACUUCAUACUCACAGUGAUAAUAACUGUGUAUCACAAUUGAUUUUGCAUACGGGUAAAAGUUCCAAGUCCGGAUAUUUAGUUAAUGAAAUUUUAUGAAAAGGGCAUGAAAGAAAAUAAGAAAUUAAAUAAUACAGGAGGUAUUAAUCAUUACAUCUUUAGUUAAUGAAAAUUGAUGAAAAUAUUUCUGCAGACGUGAGCCGUAAUUAUAUUACCGUUAAGAAUGAAGCAGAAGAGUUUCCCCAAACAAGCUAAAACACAGCACUUCAAUUUAAAGAAUUUUUAUAUCACAGUACCAGGGCAAAAAGUUUAAUGCAACAACAUACAUUAAGUUAAUUCCAUAAUCUAUCCCCAAAGAAAGACAAACACAAGCUUAUAAGAUUAAAACUUUGGAAAACAUUAAAGAGUCAGACAAAAUUGUGUAAUCUUCAGAGUUUGGAGCCUAGUUCAUCCAGGAAAGCAAAAGAAAUAAUAAUAAUAAUAAUAAUAAUAAUAGUAGUAGUGGUUUGAUCUCAAAAGGUGGCAUCAAAGUGGUCACUUUGAGGUAUUGGAAGCAAUUACGUCUUCAACUUUGUCCUGAUUUCGAAGUCCCUUAACCCAUCCGCCAUCAAUGGAUUGAAUGCUUCCAUUCAACCCAUCAUCAACAAAAUCACCAACCCGUUUCACCUUCAUCUCCUUGGGCUUAACAGGGUACUUUCCACAGAAGCAAGGAAAACAAAAAUUCUGAGAAUCAUCGCCUAACAACUAGUUCAAGCUGUAAAUCGGCAGAAAAGCAAGCGAAUCACACCCAAUAAACUCGCUGAUUUCCUCAACGCUCAUCCUGUUGGAAAUCAACUCCUAAGUACUUGUCUGCUCUGUAGUAACAAGAAGCUAUGAUUGGUGGGCUUGCAAUUCUCAUGUGAACCUCUUUAGCUCCAGCCUCCUUAAGCAACCUAACAAUUUUUGAUGAAGUUGUUUCUCACACUAUCGAAUCAUCCACAACCACAACUCUCUUUCCCUCCAACCACAACCUUACAGGAGAGAGCUUAAGCUUGACACCAAAGUCCCUAAUUUUCUGGGAAGGCUCAAUGAAAGUUCUCCCAACAUCAUGUGACCUUAUCAACCCUUGUUGAAAUGGCACCCCGGCUUUCGCAGCGUACUCAAGUGCAGCCACCACUCCAGAAUCUGGUACUGCAAUCACGACAUCACACUCAACUGGAGCCUCGGUAGCAACUACUUCCCCAAAAUGAUACCUCGACUCAUAAACAGACCUUCCAAAAACAACAGAAUUAGGCAAAGCAAAAUAAAUAUGCUCAAAGAUGCACUGCUUAGGUUCAGGGUGAGGCAUCAAACAAGGUGAUUGAACCCCAUCUUCAUCCACCAUCAAAACUUCACCGGGAUAUACCUCUCUCUCUCUCUCUCUCUCUCUCUCGUAUGUGGCCUCAAUCAAAUAGUGCACAAGUCUCUGAUGCAAAACCAGAGCACCAUUACUCCUCCCACCCAUCACCAAUGGCAUAAACCCAUACGGGUCACGAACCGCAACAAGCUUAUCCUCAGUAACUUAUCUCAUUUAUGACUUAUUGUUGCAUUUAAGUGAUUUUGCAAAAAUUAUUUUGCAAUAAUAUUAUUUUUUUGACGAGUAAGUUUGAAGUAAAUAAUACAUAUGGCAAGUGUGAGGUUUGUUAUUGCAUAUAUUUUGUGGAUCCAUUUUAAAGCCAAAAAAAAGGCAUUUUGAUUCAUUCUGAUUCCAGAUAAUUUCAAGCCAUAUGUCAUUAUUGGGAUAAAAAUAAAGUAAAAUGGUUAAAACUAUUUUUAUGUAAUUUAUAAAAAUUAAUGAAGCAGCUACAAAAUUUUUUAAACGAAAAACAAUUGAAAUGUGUGUGGAAAAAGAAGAAAAAAAAUAAGGCAUUUAAAUAUCUUCUUAAAAAAUACGAUUGAGUAAAAUCAUUUUAACAGAAUGCUCUUCCAAAUGCAAUUCCACAUUAUUUUUAUUACAUUGGGAUAUUCCAAAAUUGGCACAACUCAUUAAGAAUUCGGCAACUCAAAUUUUAUUUAUCUCUCUUUGCAUUUGACAAAUUAAAAAGAAAAAAAAAUUCAUAUGUCUUCUGUUCAAAAGAAACCUUGGUAAAUAUUGUAAAACAAAUUACCAAUUUUUUUAAAUUUAUGCCAUUAUAUCGUCGCUAUUUUCUCGCCCACUUUCUUAAAAUACAAUCAAUAUUUAUUGAUGGGUUGCGUUCCAGAGUAAGCACCAAUUCAGCAAAAUGGUUUUAUAGCAGAAAAAGCACUUGUAAGACAUUCAGAACACAUUUUUCAAUUUUGUCUUUUGAAAAUGAGUCUUGAGUUUCCGCAAGCCAAGUAGAAUGGCUAAAAAAUGUAUGGUAUCAAAGAAAGAGAAACACACACACACACACAGAGAUUAGUGGGGAGAUAUAUAUAUGUGUGUAAUUUGUAUAUAUAUCCCCAUUAAUUGUUGAUAGUCCAACGGGUGAGUAUAUGCAAAAGUAAAAAAUUGGCUGUCCUUUAAGACAAGAUUGACUGUCACAUGAAAAUGUUAGCAAACUUGCCACACAACAAAAAUAAAGAUUCAAAGAACAACUUUAUGGUCCCCUUUCUGUCCAAACGUAUGUGAUCGAAAUUAGUGUAAACGACACUUGAAAUAUAUAUGUAGAUCCUCACACAAUUGAUUAAAUAUUUAUAGUAGGAUGAAGUGAUAAAUAGUUUCACAAAAUUAUUGGAAUUAAUUAUUUAAUACAUGAGAUCUAUCUCAUUAAGUAUAAAAGAUUGAGUGCUGCUUCAAAAGCAUGACGUUGCUGGCAACAAAUUUAACACAAAAAUUUAAUUAAUUAUCCUAGUUGAGAUAAUAAAAUCUCGUGUUGAAAACAAAAGGUUUGAGGUUCAAACCUUCUCAUUCAAAAAAAUCAAGUCAAAAUAUUACAUCUUCCAGCACAUAUCAAAGAUUUUUUCAAAGGCAGACUGAUAAUUCAGGGUAAAAAAAAACAAAAAAACAAAAGGAAUAUAUGCUAUUCAAGACAGGUAUACCUUGGACAUGAAGUCUGAAUCCAAAACAUGAAGCACCUAGCUGAUCUUUCACUUUCCAAAACCCAACAAAAUCUUUGUCAAAAUAUAUGAUCUAGUCCCAUAUUAAGCACAUUCAUAGCCAUAUCACCAGGUUCAAAAUAUUUUCCCCAAAAAGAGAUAGAGAUUCCAUUGAAGUUGAGUUGUGACUGUCCCAACGUUUUGUAAUUAUAUGGUUCAGGAUACCAUGCCUAUGACUCUUUUUUUUUUUUUUUUUCUGUUUCCAUGUUUCGAAGUCUAUCAAAUGAAAAUGUAAUUAUAUGGUUCAGGAUACCAAUAUGCCGGAGCUGCAAAGGUUGACUUCCACUAUGCUAUCAAUGUCUAUACUUUCUAUUGAAUUUCCUUGUUUUUUUUUUAAAUUGCAAGAUUUCUUUUUGGAAAUCUUUGACACAUUUUAUGUAAGAUACCAUAAAGCCAAAUACAACCUUUUUUAUUCUCAGCAGCAAUUUUUUUUUUCCUUUUAAAAAAAGGAAGCCAUAUAAAUAAUGCUUAAAACAUUAUUUGCAACAAGGAACAAUUAUUUCAUGCUUUCAUGUAUUAGAAACUUUCCAAAAAAGCUAGCAAGAAAAUGAAAUGGAACUUUACCUAGUCACAGAAUAUUGCUGUUAGCCCAAUUAUUGCUGUUAGCCCAAUUGUUAUGAAGUGGCUUCUGCAUCAGAAGAUUCCAGCUCCCACCAAGCAUUGUUAUCUCUCUUCUGAAUACAAUCUGCAUCGCUGGGCAUGAGUUAUAUCAUUAAUGUCUGCAUCCUCACUUACAUCAUCCCAAUCAAGUGCUUUUUCUCCACAUUUGGAUUAUAAGUCCAAUCUCUUCAAAACAUCCUAGUCCUUCCAUCACAACUGAUACGACUUCCUUCCUAAUUACUUUCCCAUUAAUAAAUCGCUCCAAGAAAAAAAAGCAUUAGCAAUUCUCUUCAACGCCCCAUCACUCAUAUCCCCCACAACAACCAUCUUCAGCCACCUCAACGUUGCCUCUUGAAAGAUCUCCACAAAAUCCGAAUCAUCCGACACAACCACCAAACACCCAAACCUUCUUUUGUCCACCAUAGCCACCAUAUAAUUUCUCAACAAAAUAUCGGCAUCUUGUGGCUUAACUAACACCAUCCUGACCCAAAACCAUGCUCUUUUUAACUCAUCUGCAAAACCAUAACCCACUUUUGGAGUCAAAAUUGCGCUUGCAGCCGUUUUAUUUUUUUCCAUCUUUAUUGAAUAGUUGCCAACCAAAAGCACUCUCACCUGCCCUCUAGCUGAUUCUAUUUGAUUCGACCUUUUCUUUUGUUCACCCUCAUGAAUUUGCCUAAAAUGAUUAACAAGUUUGUCAUUAUUAUAAAAUCUCCUUCCACAAUCACCAAUACAUACGGCUUAGCAUGCCUAAUUACACCCCUGAUUUCUAAUUGGUUAAACAAUUCUCUUUCUUUCUUUGCUCUCUUACAACUUGAGGCACAUAACUAAACGCGUGGCUAUUAGCAUUUGCCACCAUGCAUUUAACAACCCCAAAUGAAGAUAUUAAUUUUUUUAGUUUAAUUGCUGCUUCAAAAUGGGAUACUGAAUUUGGAUUUUGUUAUCCAAAUACCAAAAAUUUCCCAUAUUGUGCUGGACAGUUUUUGGUUCUAAAGUUGAUGACUGGUUUUGCGAAUCAGGCUUUAAAUGAGAACUUCUAAACAAUAAGACAAAUGAGUUUUGAGUUUCUAAUCUUGUAAACUUUGUUCUAUUGUAUAAGUUAUGAAAUCGCUGAAACAUCACUACAGCUACAGGUCUUUAUGUGUCAAUGAACUGCAGAAGCUGAUGAUCUACCUGUAGCAUACUUUUAUUGCCCCUGCCGUUCUAGGAAGACAAACAAGUUCAAGAACUACUUCUGGACCAAACUCAUAAUAUUGCCAUUGCUUUGUGCCAAUCUGAGAGGGAAAGCAUAUUGAAGUUCCUAAAUAAGGCAAAUCAUGAUUUGACAGAAGUACCACUAUGAGGAACAAUUGAUUUCAGGAAAGCACUAAAAUAUGACAUAAUCUCCCCCUGAUGGUCUAAAGUAGUCAAGAAAUGAUAUCAACCAAGUAAAAACACAUAAACUAGUUGAGAUACAAAGUUAUUGUAAAAGUCAAUUUUGAUCACAAAUCCAUUAAAAUUAAAAGACAUCAGAAACAUAGAGAACAUUAUAAUUUAGGACUCAGCUAAGUCGCAGAUUCUGUAACUAACAGCUAAGUCCACAUUGGCCUUGCAUCAACUGAGUUUGGGUUGCUUUUCAUCUCUCCUUCAACGCGUGGAAGCGCCCCAUUUGCUGUGUUAUACAGAGUCGGUACCGUAGCGAGCUCCUAUAAUUUAAGUUUGAUCACUGUAGACAAUAGUCUGCCUCUGCUCAAAAGCUAUGCUGCAAGAUAUAACGUCUUUACAAUGUUAUACUUUCUAAAAGUAAUAAGAAAUGAAACCAAGGGGUAAACCGAACACCAAAAGAAAUUUAGUCGGCCAACUACAUUAUGUUCCCACACAGUCCACUAAUUAAGUUAAUAAUUAAAGGGAAUCAAAAUCUAAUAAAUCUCAUCUUCAAGCAGAAUACAAACACACCGAGAUUAAAAAUCACAAAAUCAUAAAAAGAAGCUGACUUUAAAAGCUCAAAUAUACGUUCAUCAGCCUCUCAACUUAUAUCUAAGAACAAAUGCCUGCAGCUUGUGAAGACAUAGAUAAUUGAAGCUGAUGAGGCAUAUUUAACAGAUGAUAAUCAAAACUCGUGUGAUUAAAAUUAUAAUUCAAUAAUCGAGCACAUAAAACAAGAAGUAACUAGUUGUAUACAUACCAAACAACAUUCUGAAGUUAAGGCGUAAAACCACUAGUGUAAACAAGCGCUAGUGUCAAGAACUAUUGUUAAUAACUCAAAAACCACUAGUGUCAAGAACUAGACUAAUAAGUGAAACCCAUAAUCAAACACAACUACAUCAAAAUCUCUGAAAAUUGAGGUCUAAACAUUGAAAACAAUUAGACAUAUAUAACAGUCAAUCGAAACAAAGCCUCAAAAUAAUAAUGAACUACAAUAAGACAGAACCUAAAUUGUAAACAAGCGCAUACCCAGUAACAAUAAUCAAGUAACAAGUCAAAACCAGAAUCAAACGUAGAAUUUUGAAAUCCAUACGAACUCUAACGUAUUAGAAUGAAAGAAUAAUGACGAUCGAUAAACUAGACUCAAACAAAAACAUGCCCAGUUAAAAAACGAAGGUAAAUAAAUAAAAAUGGUAUAAAAUUGCGAAAAAAAUUAAUGAAAUGAAGAGAAAAUCACAGGAAUCCUAUGAAGAGGAAGGUAAACAAAACCUUCGGGAGCCGAGAAGAUGCCUUUUUUUGUUCACUUUUGUGCCUAUACAUACAUUUUUUUUUUUGUAAUUUUGAAGAAAGUAUUGGUUAAAUAUUGUCAGAACGAAAUAUUAAUAGAUGCUGGCAAUUUCAACAAGGACAAUCUUCGAUUCAAAUGUACCCUUAUGAUAAAGAAAAAGCCAGCUUGUCUAAAUUUUGAGCAUCACAUUACAAGAUUUAGGUGUAUGUUUAACUAUGCAAAAUGAAACAUCUAUUAAUUGUAAGACCAUUGACCUCUGGAACCAGACAACCAGACUCUUUCCUACUAGACAACCUUCCAUUGAUCAGACUAAUAAUAUUUACUAAAUCAAGUUCUACAGUUAAUGAAGUUGGACCAAAGGCAAUUGUUAGCUUAAUGUCAUAGGCCACUCAAAUUUCUCGUAAUUGGAGGAUAAUUUUGUGCACAUGAGUUCGCUUAGCAAAAGUCCGCCUAGGCGUGGAGUGCGCUUAAAGGCGGGAUGCACUUAGAAGUGGGAUGCACUUAGCAAAUCAUUCAAGCCCAACCCAAGAUCUAAAACUCUAUGCAAAUUAUAAAUAAGCUAAAAGUUUCUAUGUUUCUCCACAUAGUUCCCUAGGAUAUUUAUGAAAGUUGCUAGGAAGUUUCCUCCCCUAGAACUCUAAUACCUAUAAAUAGGGGUGGGCCCCCUCAUUUGCCCACCAACCAUACCACACACACAAACACUCCAGCACACACACAAACACUCCAGCACACACACAAGCUCUCUAACUUUUGUAAAAAGCUCUCUUGUAUAUUCUCUCUUUGAGAGUAAUGAAAUCAUAUUCAGCCAUAUUGCUCUACUUCUCUCUACCAUUUUCCGCAAGUGUUCUUGCUUUGCUAGUUUGAGGAGUGUUCUAGGCUUGCUUAGCAACUUGUUUGCUACAAGGACAUCUUGGUCACAAAACAUGGACAUGCAAGGAAAAAAAAAAGAUAUUGAUAUGUUCUAAAAAUAAAACGCAUUCUUCUACAGUGAACCAAAAAAUUUAGGCUAAUGGUAGCAAGUGAAGGAAUUGUGAUUUCACGUGCAUUUUGUUGACAUGAAGGUAAAGAGCUUUUUUAUAGUUUAUAUUGUUUAAUAUAACAUUUGAAUUGCAAAAUAGGGGUACAAAAUGGAUACACGAAGUGAUAAAACUAAGUUGAUUAUGAUAAAUAUUGAAUUAUAAGAUUUAGGUUUAAUCAUAAAGACAUAAGUGGCGCACAAAGUCACGAAUUAUCAUCCAUGAUGUAAGUUCAAACAACUGCAUAAUAAGUUGCCCCAAGCUAAACUAUUAAUCUAGUAACUAUUCUAGUCGAUGUGGGAUAAUUUUCAUAUCACCUCUAUCACGUGCAAGCCGAAUUUGUUGCUUGGUCCUUACAUGUGGUAAGGUAAUAUGAAUCCACUUGUGCAUAAAUUUGGCUCCGAUAUUAUAUAGAAGCCUAUGACCCAAAAUUAUACUUAAAGGUUAUUUCAAGAUUUGAGGGUUGCCUCAAGCUAAUAUUAUUAUUAGCCUGGUAACCCUUUUUUUUGUUGAUAUGUGAUAUUUUCCCUAUAACUUUUAUUAAUCUUUAUGCUUAUGUUUUGUCAUUUAUCCCAAAAUAUAACAUUAACAAAAGUUCCAAAAUUUCCUUCAAGAGAUAUAUUUGAGAAAAGUAAUUUGUGCAAUAACUUUGUGAAUUGAUGAGCAAAUUCAGAGAAAAGAAUAUAUGUGCCAAACGUAACGUUUAUUAUUGUGUUUAUUUGUAGAGCUAUUUAAAGCCCAAAAAAAAAAGCACGGGUCCACUAUUAUUUCAAAUAAGUUCAAGCCCUAUGUCAUUAUUGGUACAAAAAUGUAUCAGAAAGGUUAAAAAAAAUUUUUAUUUAACUUAUAAACUUAGGAAAUUAUCAACUGUCUGCCCUUAAAUUGCACUAUUAUAAAAAAUAUUACAAUAUUUUCAGGUUGUAUCUACCAUAAAUUUACAAUUGCAUCAUUUAUCCACCAAAUCAUUAACUUCGUUAAAAAGUGAUAGACGUCACAAGGGUAGUUCAGACAUUUAACACACAAAAAUAAAAGAGAAAUUAUCUAAGCUUACCAUGUUAUCAAAAUUGCUACAAAAUUUUAAAUUUGUUCAAUUUUUCAAUCUAAGUUUAUGACCUCCAAGAUAUUAAUUGCAGUUUGUAAUUAAUGAGUUCAUAAGGAUAAUUUAGACACUCAAUAUGCAAAAUAAAAAAGGAAAAUUAUCAUUUGUAUACCUUAAAGUUGCGCUUUUAUAAAAAAUAUUACAGCACUUUAAUGGUGUAUCAAUCGUCCACCUUAAAUUGGCAAAACUUAUCUACCGACCACUAAACCAUUAGCUGCCGUUUGAAAGUUAACGGAACUGAAGCGAAUUGACGAUUUUACCCUUGAAAAUUAUCACUUGUAUACCCUUAAAAUCUCUUAUUAUCAAUUAUAUACUCUUAAAUUAUCACUUGUAUCUAUGAAAAGACUAGAUUAACCCUUUGACGUCAUCAUGUUUAAACGGCAACUAAUGGUUUGCUGAACGACAAAUACAUUUUGUCAAUUUAGGGUGGACGACUGAUAUACCCUGAAAGUAUUGUAGUAAAUUUGAUAACGGAGUAAACUAAGGGUAUACAAUUGAUAAUUUCACAAUAAAAAAUAAAAUAAUGGCUUAAAUUAAAACAAAAAACUUGAUAUUCAAUUAAAUACACAUAAACUCUAUUUUUUUCUUAAUUAAAAAUAUUCUAAUUUAGUUUCUCAAUUUAUCAUCAUAAAUUUACAUUAAUAAACUAAAUCCACAAAUUACCCUAAACCCUAAUUCAUAAAUGCCCAAUCAAUCUAAUACUUUAAUUCGAUUUCAUAAUUAAAAAAGCUAAAUUUAUUAUAUUAGUUAUGGUGCAAAGUAAAAAAUGCCCUUAAAUUCAAGGGUAAAAUAACAUUUUAUUUAAAUUCUAUAAAUUAUUCUAACAAUGUUAACAUUUUGGUGGACGGUUAAUAUAAGUUACAAACUUAAAAUAGAAAAUCAAAUAAAUUCAAAAUUUCAAACUAUUUAGAGGAAAUUUAGGAUAUAUGGUUAAUAAUUUUCCCAUGUCUUUUUACAUUGGUUGAUAUAAGCUACAAACUUAAAAUAGAAAAUCAAAUAAAUUUAUAUUUUCAAACUAUUUAGGGCAAACUUAGGGUAUAUGGUUAAUAAUUUUCAUUUGUCUUUUUAUGUUAAAUUGAAUUUCAAAGGUAAAAUGAUCAAUUUAUUAUAAUUCUGUUAAUUGUUUAGUGGAAGCAAACGAUAUAAUGGACGAAUGAUAUAAAUUGUAAAAUUAAGGUGCAUGAAUGAUACAACUUUAAAAUAUUGUAGUAAUUUUAAUAAUAAAACAAUUUAAGGGUAAUGAUACAACUUUAAAAUAUUGUAGUAAUUUUAAUAAUAAAACAAUUUAAGGGUCGAUUGGCAAUAAUUUAAACUUUAAUGAAGCAACUAAAAAAUUUUUUAACAAAAGAAAAAUAAUUGAAAUGCUUUAAGAAAAAUAAAGGAAAUUAAAUAUCUUUAUAAAAAGGCCAUCAAUUUAGCCAGCAAUUUUGUCAAAAUUUCAACAAUUGAAGAAACAAUGAUCACAAACGGAACAUGUGAAUUUUGAAGUUGAAUAAAUCUUGAGAUACAUACAACAAAGCCUUGAAACUUUAGUCUUCACAAUUUGAGCACGCACUAAAUAUUAAACAAGUAUAGAACAAAGCUUAUUUUUAGCUUCUUGUGCGAACUGAACGCGCUGAAAUGUGUGUUUUUUUUUUGGAUUUUUGGAAUUUUUUAAAUUCAUUUAUGUUCGCUGCCAUCUUUUUCUUCGCUGGCGUCUUCCUCCUCUGUAGUUUGCUGUGCCUAUAUAUCCAACCAAUAAAUUGGGCAUUAAAUGCGAAUGAAUGAUGAAUAAAAUGAUUAAAAAAAAACAAACAGAGAAAAUUAUAAUAUAACACAUAUAUUGAAAGAGAAAUUUUGAUUUUAGGAUAGAUCAAUUAGCUAUCACAAACGAAAAUAUUAACCAACUAUGUAUAGAGUCAAUUAAUUUAAAGUUCUCAAGAAUUACCUCUGCUCCAGAAUUCUCGGAAUCAUCUUCUCCUUCUGAACUUGGACGAAGCUUGGGACAAUUACUAACAAAUACAGACUCGGCAGAUGGAAAUGGGAUCUGAUAACCCGCAGGCCAAAAGUUGGUGAGGUUUGGUAAGUCUUCCAGUCUCAAGUACCGAAGUUCAUUCAUAACAAUUUCAUUGUAAUCCGUGACGUCUGCUCCAUCUUUAUGCCAGAAUACUUCUUCUAAUUCAUCAUUACCUAUUAUGUAUAGGCGCGACAGUUUUUGAAGACUUGGAGCUACGCUGAUAUGAAAUAGAUGCUUGAGUUUGAGGCAAUAACUGACAAUGAUGAUUGUGAGUUUUGGGAAACAUACAGGUUGGAGAUGAUCCUCAUCCUCAUCAAUGAUUUGCUCUAAUCCCAAGCAGUUAACAAUACCUAACAUCUCCAAUUGCAACAGAUUUCGAGCAAGUGUUGAUGAGAAGAGACGUCUCAGCAUAGUGCACCCCUUUACAGUUAAUCCAGUAAGAUUUUGCAGGCUAAAAUUAUGCGCGGGACCUUCAUGAUAUAAUAAUACUUGCAGUUCUGGAAGAUCUUCCAAAUGCAACGACUUCAAACAUGGGAAUAGUUUGUUUUCUUGUCCCUCAGCGAUAAUAGCUUCCACUUGAAAUACCACCUGUACUCCAAGUUCUCUAAUAUCCAAUCCUUCCAAAUUUUUUAAUCCGUGCUUCAACAGUGCUGGAAUCGUGUCACUCAAAUGGGAACAAUUGGCCACAUCUAGAGUAUUUAAGUUCUGAGACAAAUAAAUAAAUAACUUGAUGCAAUUAAAAUCUAUUAGCAGCUAGGAUUAUCACAUGAUAAGUGAUGAACACCGCAAAAAUAUCAUAAUACAUAUGUAAACUAAUAAAAUAAUUAAAAAGUAAUGGAUUUUUAAAAAAAAAUUGAAAUUAGUUAAAAGAGAUCAUGUGAAGUGUAUAAAUGUGACAUUAUAUUGUUUGAGAAAAAUUAGUAUUCUAUUAAUUUCUAUCGAUUGAUCAACUAAUUAAUUGAAUUUGAGUAAUAUAAUAUACACUUUAGUAGUGUUUGCAUCAAUUCUUUCUACAGCGAAAUGAGAUAUGACUUUCAUUUGAAGAAUGAUUUUAGGCUCUAAAAUAAAGAAAUUUCCUUAAGAUAUUUGAGCAUUAUUAUUAUCAUCACCACAUCCACGAUCAUCAUCAUCUCCAUAGGACCAAAUAAUUAAUGGCUGAUCAUAAAAUUUAUUGCUAAACUAUUAUUUCGAGUAAAAUUGAAGGAAAAGAAAAAACAUAAACACAAACGAACAUACCUCUCCAAGAUACUGCAAAUUGGCUUCAAGUUCAGUAUUGUUGACAGUCAAGUUGGGACAUUUAUGAAGGUCUAACUGUUCCAAUGCUGGCCAAAUUGAACAAUAAUUUUCUGAACAGAAGCUGACGAGUUCUGGGAGAUUUCGAAGUGUUAAUUCUCUUAACAAAGGGAGGGCGAGCAUCGUAUUUCCAUCUCCGACACUUAUUUCCCCUUCAUUGUGAUCAAACUUUGCUUCGACAAUACAUUCUAGCCUGUCGCAAUAAGUCACACUGAGACAUUUAAGCUGCUCCAAACUUCGGGCUUGUGACAACGUGAAGAUAUAUGUCAACUUGUUGCACCUUUGCAAAUUCAAUUCUGUGAGAGUUUGGAGGCUGAUCACAUGUUGGGCGGGCGUCUUCCAUAUCCACUUCAGUUCUGGUAAUUCCUGCAUAAAUAACUCUGCUAAUCUUGAGAGCACCACAGGAUUCCCACUCUUUCCAUGUGGCAACUUAGAGGCGCCCAUUAUGCAUUCUAAAUCCUCACAUUGUUUGACAAAUAGACGAGUCAACUCAUUUAAGCCCCUUUCAUCUAUGCUUGGCACAAUAUUAUGACAACCUAUUAACCCCCUCAAACGAAGAAAUUUCAGAUUUUGAUACAAUGCUGAAAAAAUAACGAGCGAGGUCGCUUCAUGAGGGUAAUUCUCAAUGAUUAAGCUCCUUGUUUCAUCACCAUGUUCCAUGUCAUGAGCAGAUAAUUGACCAUUACUGAUGACGUACCUUUGCAUUUUCGGGAAUGUAAAGUCUUUUGGAAGACAUAUAACUUGGGAGUUCAACUCAGCAAGCCUAGCAUUACUUUCUUCUGAACUCAUCCCUUCAACCUCCCAAUUUUUUAUCCGACCAUAAAAUUCUUCCAAUUGAGGAAAUUUUUUUAUCCCAAUGGGAGAAACAGAACCGGUAUCAAUAUAUAGAAGUUUCAAUCUACGAAGUUCAUCCGACAAUUCUUCAAGAAUUUUAAUGGGAGACUUCUCGAGAAAAAGAAGUUCAAGCCUCUUCAACUUUCCAAGGAAAGACGCGUCACUCACCUCACAUCGAAUCAAUUGCAGAACCUGGAGGUUGGUGAGGAUCUGAAGCGAUUUAAGUGAAAGAACUCCACCUAUUAUAGUGACAACUUUCAAUGCUGGCAUCCCUUCAAAAAAAUGUUCUGGAACUUGCAAUCGGUGGUCGUAUUCAGGAUUCUCCAAUCGCAAAAUAUGAAGGUUAGGGCAUACCAAACCACUAGGAAGCUCUUCUUUUUUAUUUCCCACCAAAGAAAUUCCUCUGUAUUGUUCCAGGCCUUCUUUCAUUGCCCGUUCAGCCAAUCCAAUGCCAACUUUACUAAAAAAUUUCUUCUCCUCUAGAACUAUUGAGCCUAUCCAUAUGGCUACAUCACGAACUAUGUCAUGCAUUUUCACAGAUCUGUCAUUACCAUUGUCUAACAGCAGUGACGCAGCUUUGAGCGCGUUAAUCGUUCCAUACAGUCGGCUUCUGGCGUUUUCUAUUGACGGAUCACAUUGAUACCAAAUAACCCCCACUGCGUAUCCAACCAAAUCCUCCAAAUAAAUCUCAUAAUCUUCUGGAAACAGAGAACACAACAAGAAGCAUAACUUGGACUCCUCACUAUUUAAAUUGUCGUAACUGAAUUUGAGACAACCGUAAACGUCUUGGUCAUCCUUGUCAAUACCUUCUAUUGCAUAGAGUUUUGCUUCCCUUAGGUUAUAUAGUGCUAGAUUCCAAUCAUCAAAUCCUUUUUCUAUUAGUGCACUUCCAACAGCUUCAAUAGCUAAAGGCAGCCCCUUACAUUCGUCAGCAACUUGUUCUGGAACACGAUCCAAGGAGGAGUCGUUUACAUUAAUACCGGCAUUCAUUUUUAGGAGAGUCAAUCCUUCUUCUGGCGUUAGUGUACUAAGUUGAAUCUGUGUGUCACAACCCAAAGAAUCACAAACUGACUUUUUGCGAGUGGUUAGAAGGAUUUUGCAACAAUUAUCUCUACCACCGACGGUAAUACCUAAUUUUUUCUCCAAGUCGAGCUCUUUCCAGACAUCAUCGAUGAUUAUGAGGAUCUUGGUGCUUUUACUGUCAGAAAACAUCGAGCGCAAUCGGUCUGCUCCAUGUUUUUCAUCUUUCUGUUUUAAUUCCCAACCUAAUGAAUUUGCCAGCUCGUUUUGAACAUUUAUUAUGCUUGGAUCCUGAGAUACAGUGGCUAUCCCCACCAUAUCGAAAAUGUUUUUUUCCCGAAGUUGAUUGCCCACAAAUUUUGCCAGGGUUGUCUUUCCUACACCACCGAGACCAUGCAAUCCCACCAUCUUUGUGCUCUCUUUUUUCAGUGCGUCAAUGAUCUGAUUGCAAGCUGAUUCUGUGGUCUCGAAAAUAGAAGUAAAAUGACUUGGCAAACUUAAUUCUCUUUCUAAUGGUAGAGGUUUAGGAAAGGCAACUGUGUUGAAUUGGCUGCAGUCUUGUAGCAGAUCAGACAACUUGCUAGUCUUCUGUGAUGCUUUUCUACCCAGCCAAUAUCGGCAACACCAAUUAGGACACAAUCCAUGAAGACUACUAUCCUUUUCAUCUAUCUCUGCUUGCAACUUCCAAACAUCGUCCAAUUCUUCGACUCCAUUAUUCAGCCACUCCAUUACAUUUCCAUUGACUACUAUGUCGGGGCAUUUUCGUAGCUCAUCGUAUAUUCUUGUUUUGAUGCCAUCUCGUGCCUUCUUCAACUUAGUUUCUUUAUCCUUAAGUUCUUUAACAAUGCUGUUGAAACAGAACAUAUAGCGAGCUUGGUCAAUUGCUGCAUUCACCAAUAAUUCUUCAACCUUUGAUUUUAAAGCUUCCAUGCUAUUUAUCUGCAAAUAACGAAGUUGAUCUCAGCACGCUAUUAGCAAAACAACAAGGCUUGAUCACUAGACAAAAUGAGAACGUUUAAUUACCUUUUUCUGUACUGUGAAUGCACGUCUAUUAACACCAGCUUUGACCAAUAAGAGCAAAAUGCAGAGGCCGGGGGGGGGGGCUUAAGAGUUUCAGUGGCCUUUAGCUGCAAAACGGAAGAUGACAAAUAAGGUAAACGUUCCCAGCAAACGUGAUUUACGGUGAAUUAUAUUCAAAUUAGAUUAUUUUAAAAGUUGGUAAAUUAUUUAUCACUCUAUCUUAAUGAUACCUUAUUUGGGAUGGUAAAGAUUGGGGGUAAACUCCCUUUUAUUCUCACAUGUUUAUAGUAUUUAUAUUUUUAUAAAUUACCUAAAACAUCCACGUCACUACUUUUAUGGCUAUUGAACAUAUCAUUUCAAAUAUAAAAUACUAUUUCGGUCUAAUAUAAAUUAAAAAUCAAACAAAUCUAUUGUGCAAUAAAUGAAAAGUAAAGAAUAUUAAUUAGGUUUUAAUGGAAACAAAUAUAAAACAUAGAGGUUUUGAGUAACUUUUGUGAUUUUUUUUUUAAUGUUCAAUUUAGAAUUGAAUAAUUUGCAUAAUGAAAUUUUGAGGUUUCUAUAAUUUAUAUGAAGAUAAACUGAAAAAUAAGUUUAUAUGCCGAAAUUAAAAUAGUUAUAUAUUAGCAAUCAUAUAAUUAUCAAAAAAAUUAAUAAAAUUUAUUUAAAAAUUGGCCAAUUGUGUUUCAUGAGGAAAACAGAGAGCAUAAUGGACUUAUGUUGGGUCUUGGGAUUGAAGGACUAAGGGCAAGGGGCUGGGAGGUAGGACGGUAGGAAAAUUAAUUUUUUUUUUUUUUUAAAGUAUGGUCAACAUUAGUGACUUGGAGGUGAUUGCCGUUAAUCAAUUACCUUUAACUUAAGAAUUAAUACAAAUAAAUGGCAAAAAUAAUUUAAUGAAAAUUAAUUUAAUAAAAAAUUGCACUAAAAACUUAGAACUCAAAUUCUCGAUCAUUUUAUCCGUACGUUUUAAUCCGACGCUCAGAAUUGGCAUAAAACAAACUAAUAUAGCCAUUGGAAGUAAAACAAACAUCAAAUCAAGAGCCUAUGAAACGAUAAUAUCUCGUACCUUCUUCCUUAUAGAUCCUCAAUUGCUGCUGAAAGCUGCAUAUGACAAUAUAAAUAAACAUGAGAUCAAAACAUCAUAGGAUAUAUCUAACCAAUUAACAUCAUAUAUAACUCCUUGUUCUCAGUCAAAUCUUUCAUUCUUAGAUUAAAAAAAAAAGAAAUAAUAACUGUUAAGUGAUAUAGGAAGCAAAAGUAACACACCGAAAUGAAAGCAGCAAGUUCACAAAUGACAGAUGCGGUGACUUCAAGAGCAUGAAAAAUGAUUAAACUUUGGUAGAAAGGUCUGAGCCGUGUUUCACAAGUUGCUAUUGACUUCGUGGCUUCGCUUUUAUUUAUUAUUAUUAUUAUUUUUUUAAAUUCUAUAUCAGUGAGAAUUGAAAUGUGGAAAGUGUAAUGAUACACAUGCCUUAUCAUCUAUCAUGAGGGGUGAUUUGGUAAAACCGAUUUAAAAUAAAAAAAAGUUUAAAAAAAUUGAAAAAAGAUGCUUUGUGUCUGACUGCCUGUAUUUGGGGUAUUUUUCGGGUUGUUGAGAGUCAGUUUAAUUAAAUAUAAGAUUUUCAUUUUUCUUAUUAUAUUUUUCUCUUUAGAAUGAAUUUAAAUCUCAUUCUUAUUAAAUCCAUUUUUUUAAAUGAAAGUAGAUUUCUCUCCACACAUUUGAGAUAUAUUUUAAAAUUAAUGUUCAGCAUAUCUCUAAAUUAUAUUAUAAAUAUUUUUAUUUAAAAUCUCAACAAAUUUCAUAACACACAGAGAGAAAUACAUAUAUAUGUUGUAAUGUUUUAAUGAUGGAUCUCUAAAGUUGUCAAGUUAAAAAAUAAAUAAAAAAAUAAAAAAUACACACUUCAACUUAUUAUAUGAUAAAAUAUAGUAUAUUAAAGUGAGUAUUUUUUGUGUGAAAUAAAAUUAAAGUGAGUACUAUUACCACCUCACAUCUUAUAAAUUCUAGAAAAUAAUCAAGGCUUGACAUACUUUUAUUUAUGCAAAAGCAUAAGAAAAUAAUUCAAAGUAAUAAUUAGUGUACUAUUCCUCAAAAUUCUAGAAUAGAUUUGUUAGUUCUCUUUAUCUAUAGAUUGGUCCAUGAUUGGCAUCGCAAUAGCUCAGAAUCGCCUCAACGAUUGUUCCACACGGUCCAAGUCUUCUUAGCAAUAGUUUUAGAGAAAGUGUUUAGUAGUUCCAAGUCUUCUUUUUUUAACACAAAUGUUGGCAUGAUAUUCUUAAUAUAUUUUUAAAAUCAAAAUAAGAUGCAUAGAGGACAAUAAUUUUAUUUGAUAAUUGAUUUUUUUGCAAAGAAAGUUUGAACAUGAGAGUGAUGAGAGAUGAGAAUAUUGAUGAUGGUGUGUACUUUAGAUGGAAAAAUAGAUUGGAAAUAUAUAUAGACAUAUUAAAAGAAAAAAAUUUGGUCUAUUUCAUAAGAGAAACAAAAAAUUAUAAACGCAGGUGUUAAAAUGUAUUCAGAAUUUAUAAAUUUUUAUAAAUAUGAUAAUCAUUAGACCCUUAUAAAAGUAUAGCAAAAAGUUUAAAAUUUUUUAAUAAAUGUCGAAGAGAUGGACGAAGAAACCAUCCACCAGUUCAGAAUUAAUAAUCAAAGAUAUGAGGAUUCGAUCGAAGAAAUGGUGAAAAAUAAAAGGUCACGGGAUUGGUUAGUGGGACCCUAACAUUAAUGGUAAAAAAUAAAAGGACACUGGGUUGCUAUCAAUUUUUACAGUGUAGGUUCAUAGCCGGGGAAGUAAUUGGGCACAAAUAUCUCGGAUGAGAAAUAUCCAUUUUAUCCCGCAACUUUAUGUUUAUGGCCUCUAAAAAUUUUCACCUCUUUCACUUCUGGAACCCGUGCUUUCUGGCACAUGCACAAUACUUGGUUGCUACUUAUAAAGCGUUUUUACAAUUGCAACGACAUGGUGCUCUUUGAUAAUUCAAAAAUCCAAUAUAAUUUAUAGAGAAUUACAGAAUUGUGGUACGUGAUAAUUUGCUGACGCAAUGAGGCGCCUAAAUUCUUAUACAUGGGAUUUAAGUUAAAUAUGUAUAAUUAUGUAAUUAGAAAAUACUAGUUGGGGGUAUUUGUGUCCAUGAAAAUUUACAGCUGGUUGUUGACAUUACACUGCGGGUGUGUAAGUGUAAUCAUGGAUCUGACCAUUCAAAUUAAAAAAUGGGGGUCCCACUAACUUACGGAGUUAGUAAUUAUUACAUAUGCAGAUAUUCUCCCAUACGAUAACCUUAUCAUAAAUUUAAAGGAUACGAGGACUUGAUUGAAGAAAUGAAUGAAUAUUUGAAUUAAAAAAAAUUUAUAAUAAAGACAAGUAUUAAUUUACUAUGAAUGUAACUUACAUAUGCUGUAAGUUAGCGGGACACUAUUGAAUCACAAGCAAAAAACAAUCUGUCUUCUUCUUGAUUCCGUAAUUUGGCUGUCAAAAUGUAAUCUAUAAAGAUUACGAUACCUCGAUUCAAAAAAAUAUUUUUUUUUCUUAUGAAAUAAAUGAAAACUGAACACCAUUCAAUUAACCGUUUAUUUCCCCUUAAAUUUUUAAUCUCAAUGAAACAUAGAUCUAAUGGGAACUACACAUAUAUAAAAAUACUAUAGAUUGAAGAAGUUGAAUUUUUCUUGUGUGUUAAGUAUUUUUGGUUAAUACGAAAGGAUUCUAGCAAGUUAAUACAAAAGUAUCAUAAAUUCACUGUAGUACAAGAUUUUUUUUUUUUUCCUUUGAUGUUAAGAGUUUUGGAGAUUAAAAAAAAAAGAUGAAAGAAGAAGAUGAGAGAAGAAAAAAUAUUAAGAAUAGUUUUGGCAUUUUGAUGCGUUUUAUAGAGUAAAAUUUAUAUUUUAUAGUAUAAAAUGGUACACCCAAAAUUUAAUGAUAAAAUUUUAGGAAAAAAUUGCACUCGUCAAAAAAAAAAAAGAGGCUCAGCUUAGCCCAAAAUUUUUUUAUUAAUCGUCUAGUCACAAAUGUAAUCUCUUUUUUAUGAGAUUCUUUGGCGUUUUAAUUUAGUCCAUUGUUAGCAAUCCUAAUAGCUUUUAUGUGCACCUAUUUUUAUGUGAAAUAUGUUUCAAGCUUGAAUAAAAUCUGCGGGACAACUGGUAAGUAAUAAAGCUCAUCAUUUUUUAUUUUGAAAAUAAAGGGAAUCACUUACACUUUAGCACGAUAUUAUUUUUGAUAAGUCAUUUUUUGGAUAGAUUAUUUUUUCUGACGGGUAAUUUUUAGGACCUCUCCUGAAAUUUGAUGUAUUAACACUUAGAUGAAAUGUAUCCAUAUAAUUACAUAUACCUCCCCUAUUGUUAAUAUAAAAAUAUGUAUAGCGUCAGAUAAAAGGGUAAAUAUGUAAAAAUAUAUUUAAAAUUAAAAAUAUUUACUUUUACCAAAUCAUUAAAAUUUUGACCCACUUGCCCGCUGUUGGCCCAACCUUGACCAGCCGGUCAUGGCUCCACCGGCGACUGGUGGUGGUGCUUUGCCACUGCCGGAGUCCUCUCCUCACACCUGCGACCAAUCCCAUUCACGGCAGCCUUUGAAUCAACUGCAUCAACCAACACACAUUAACACAAGUACACGGCUUUUUGAAGUCUCUUUUGUUUUGCGUUUUCCCUUCACUGAGAAAAUUUGUCAGCUAAUAUAAUAAGCUUUGUUGCCUUAGAUUUGAGAUUACAGAGUCCUGAGCAGAUGUUGUGGCUGUGAUGUGGGUUUUAUUGUAUUUGACUAAUAGGCAAAAUACCUUUUAUUGGCCUACAAGGACGGUGCCUUUUUCUUCUUGUUGGGGAACUUCGUGAAGAAUCCAGCUUGCUUUUUUCUUCCUUUUCUUUCUUCAUUUUAAUUCAUUUUUUAAUUUAUAAUAACUUUUUGAGAUUGAAUUAUCGGCUUCACAUGUAAACAAUGGCAUUUGGUAUGUCACAAGUGCAUAGUUAUUCUUAUUUUUUAAUUUAUUUUUUUCUGAUGUUUUUGUUGCUGGAAUUAAUUUCUCAAGGUUUUGGCAUCACUCCCCAUUGGAUUUGCUAUGUUCAUGGUACAAUUGGCCACAAUCCCAAUCACUCGCACUGGAAUUAACCCAGCAAGGAGUCUCGAAGCUGCUGUUAUUAACAAUAAGGACAAGGCUUGAGAUUGACCAAUGGCUCUUUUGGGUGGUGGUGCUUUGCCACUGCCGGAGUCCUCUCCUCACACCGGCGACCAACCCCAUUCAAAGCAGCCUUUGAAUCAACUGCGUCCACCAACACACGUUAAUCCAAGUAUGCUUUUGUCUCAUCAGAACCCCCACACCCCCGCUGCCCCUUUGGCAAUCGCCGACGCCACCCAAUAGCGGCUAACAUCACCCUUGAACCAUCCCGAUACCAUGCCGCAACCUCUAGCAUCCCAAAACCCAAACUGCACACAACUCUCAAAACCCUUGCUCGAGCUUGUCACGCCGCAUACCACUGCCGUAAUUUGUACCAACAGUGAUGGUUCCAUAUCGUCACUGUCCAUCCCCUCAACCAACCCCCCAUGCAACCCCGACCUCAAUAACAUCUCAACAACCACGAACGCACGAUUUCUUCAACCUGCACUUACGGCCACUUUUAAUGAAAUUCUCACUGCCAACGGAAUUCUCAAAGUUAUAUAUAAUAAUUUAUUAUUUCAGCAGCAAGGAUAGUUUAAUAAUUUUAAAUGUUUAUUAACGGUCAUCUUAAUUAGUAACUAACGGCAGGGGAGGUAUAUGUAAUUACAUAAAUACAUUCUAUCUAAGUAUUAAUAAACCAACCCUCACAGAAGGUCAUUAGAAAUUAUCCUUUUUCUGACAGGCUCUUAGAUUUGGGAAAAUAAAUUGUGUACUUUUAAUGAAGAAAAGUAAAAGAUCAAUAAAAUAUUUUGUUGUUUUCGACAAUUUUUGCGUUGUCAAGUGCGCCUGGUACCUUUUUUUUUUUUUUAACUUUUGAGUUGUUGUUUAAUUUGUAUUAUAAUUAAUUAUCAUGGACCCACGUGCCACUGUUUCCAUUUCAAGUUUCAUAAUUUAACAGUGGAAAUGGGUUCCACAGAUAAUUUAUUUUAUAAUUUUUUAAAAAAAUUAUCAAAAUGUAAUAAAUAAGGUAAUAAUAAUUAAUAAAAAGUAGAUUUUAAGAUGGAAAAAUCUUUUUGUGUACUUAAUAAAAAGAUGAUAAGAUUGGGAUGCUUUUGGUUUACAUUCUCAUAGCUAUUUCUACUGAAAAAUUACAUCAAAAUUUAAUUAAUAAAUCAGUGAACUGCAGACUUAUUAAAUUUAAGCAAUUUUAAUAAGUCAUAAAUAUACUAAGUUAAAAUAGUAGUAAACCCAUCGUUACACAAUUCUCUCCAUUGAAUGUUCACCACUUUAAGAUAAUCAUAAAAUGACACUGGAUGUGCUAUUAUCUGUUUCAUUAAAAGCCUUCACAAAAUAAAAGGCCGGUGAACAAAGUUGGUCAUAGAAAAAAGGAGCAUAGAGCACAUACAUCCAGUUUUUAUAUCCUCUGAUACUGAGUCGUCACAUGCUAAUGCUAUAGACUAUAUGAUAAUCUACUAAGGUGACGCAUGCCAAUGCUAUAGACUAGCUUUUCAAAGGUUGAAGUGGGUAUACUUUUAGUAAAAAGACCUGCAAAAUUAUAAUGUAUCUAUUUGACAUCAACUUUUUUUAUCUGCUGGAGCUUAUGAUUAUAGAAGAUCUUCGGUAAGAUGUGUUUGAUUUUAUCUUCUUUUAUAUAUCCUCCUCUAACUUGUGUAAUAGUAGUAAACCCCUGCCCGUUUUUAUUUCGUUUAGUAUUUUCUAAAUGGCCGAAGGAAAAUUGGUAAAAACUCAUUUAAAAAUAAAAAAAAAUCAAAGAAAUUCAAGAAGAAGCUUUCUAUCUGCCAUUUGUAUUUGGGGUAUUUUUUUGGUUGUUAAGUGAAUGAGCUUAAAUCUAAAACAUUUAUUUAUAUAUUUCUUGUUGGAAAGAAUUUAAAUUUUAUUCUUAUUAGACUUAUUCUCUUUAAACAAAGGUAGAUUUUUCUCUAUGUGUUUAACGUGUAUUUUAAAAUUAAUGUUCAACAUAUCUUUAGAUUCUAUUAUAAAUAUUCAUAUCUAAAAUCUCAACAGAUUUCAUAAUAUAUAAAGAGAGAGAAUAACGUUUCUAAUAAAAAAUUUAUUAAGUUAAAGAAUAAUUCAAAAGAUAAAAUAACACACUCCAAUAUAUUAUAUAAUAAAAUAUAUUGUAUUAAAAUAUAUAUUUUGUUUACUUUUUUUAAUAUAUCUCCUAAUAACUUAAGAAAUCAUUUAUUUAACUAUAUAUAUAUAGAGAGAGAGAGAGAAAAAUGUUCACGAGAAACCUUUAAAACUGCAUGGUUUUAAAUGUUUAAAAUGUAAGAACCGAUGAACAAUUUUUGACAAAGACGUUGCGACCUAAGUAGGGAUAGCAACUAAAUUCGGAUCCAACUCGGAUAUGUAAGGAUCCGAAAGAUCCAGAUCCAGAAAAUUUUUUAUCUGAAUAUUAAAAAAUGUUGAUCCGGAUAUAGAAAUUUGGGAUCUGCACGUAUUGGGAUGGAAGUACAUUCGGAAAAUUGGAUAACGAGAUCUAGAUAACUUUUGUUUCAAAUUAAAAAUAUAUAUUAAAAAUUAAAUGAAAAAUUAAAAAAGUAAAUUUCAUUUGUGGAUUUAUGAUGUUGUUGUAUAUUAUUCAUGUUGAAUUAUUAAUUGCUGGAUAUGAUUGAAUUUUUUUUGAAAUUAUUGGGUAAAUUUUUGAAUUUUAUUUUAAAUUAAAAAUAUUUAUUAAAAAUUAAAUAAAAAUAAAACAUUAAAUUUUAUUUGUAAAUUUAUGAGAUUAUUGUAUGUUAUUCAUUUUGAAUUAUUAAUUGUUGAAUUAUGAUUAAAUUUUAUUUGAUAUUAGUAGGUAAAUUAUUAAACUUUCAAAUUAUAUAUUAAAUUAUUUAAUUAUAAUUUUUACGGAUCCGAAUAUCUAGAAUAUCUGUUCGCAUCCGGAUCUACAUAUUUUUUUACGAAUCCAGAUAUAAAAAUAUGAAUGUGGAUCCAAAUUCGGAUUUUGCCAACCCUAAACCUAAGCAUGAAUGUGCCUAAAGUUUUUACUAAGAACAUGGAUCAUUCAAUGACACGACAUGUUUUGCAGCUCUCAUUAGUAUAAUUGAAUAAUUAAUUCAUCUCUAUAUUCAGCUUACACCGUCUCAAAUUGCAUGCAAAUACGAAAGUACACUUUUGAAUCGUUCACUUGAGGAAAAUUAGAUUCUCCACGUAGAAUUUAGAUUCAAAGCAUAGCAAAUUAGACAUAAUUCUAAUUUAUAUGGGAAAUAUAAUUAGCGAAGACACUCUUUAUAUAAACAUUAUUGUCAUAGGAUGCCAAACCUAAUAAGAUUCAAGAUCUUAACAUACUUCAUAUGAAAUUUGAUCUUGACGCGUACCGACACGCAUAACAUCAAGACUCUACUUCAUAUAAUGUAACUUCAUGGAUUUUUCGCUCUCUUGUGAAAUUGACAAUUAUGGGCGCUGUGUGGCAGUGGUACAUAAUAAAAUAAACAUUUAUUUUUAGAAUAUUAUUAUUUAUCUCAAUUUUUUAUUUAAUAGUUAAUUUUAAUCAAUUCUUAAACUGUCAUAAUCAAUUAAUUUUUUACAUUAUGGUAUCUUAAAUAAAUUUUGGAUCUGUAAUAAAUAAAAACUGGUAACGUUUGUUCUUUUAAAACAUAAAACAACCGUAACAUUGGUUUUUACAUUUUGAAUUUUUCUUGCAUCACUAUUUAGAAAAAUGAUGUUAAAUCAACUCACAAAAUAUAUCAAGUCAUCUAAAAUCCAAAUAUUAUUACAUUUGUAUUUGUAUUGUUAAAUUGUUGGAACGACGGCAAAGCAAUUGAAAAGAGAUUAACAAAAAAGUAAAGAUUGGCCAAGGAUUAUUCAUGUUUAGGAAAUGCCUUAACUUUUGAUAUAAUCAUUGUUAUAAUUAUAUUGUAGAAAUAAUCAAUUACCUGUGUUUAUGUUGGUCUCCUUUUUUUCCAUUUCUGUACAACGAAAUAUUUGCAUGUUUUGAUAGAAAUUGGUUUAAAUGACAUUUAAAAUUGUAUAUCCCCAGACAAUUAACGAAAUAUUUGGAUGGUAGGAUGAAGUAAUAAAUAGUUUUACAAAUUACCAUAUUAGAGGUAAAAAAAAAUAAAAUCGAGAGGUUACUUGACAAUUAUGACGUUACUAACUACAAAUUUAACACAAAAAGUUUAAUUAACUUUUCUUUUUGAGAUGACAAAAUCUCUGGUGUUGAAAACAAUGAGGUUUGAGGUUCAAGCUUGAAUAUUAAGUUACAAUUAGUAGAUGGUCUUAGGACAUAUCAAAGAUUUCUUUAAAGACAAAAUAAUUAUUAUAAGCAAUAGGAAAUUAUGGUAUUCAGAACAUGUAACCUUCGCACAUGAAGCUUGAAUCCAGAACAAGAUGCAGCUAGCCAAUCCUUCCAACUUCCAAAAACCCACAAAAUCUCUGUCAACAUGUCUGUUCUACUUCAAUAAUAAGCACAUUCAUAGCGGUAUCAACAGCUUACAGCGCCAAAAUAUUUUCCCCAAAAAGAGUGAGAGAUUUCACUGAAGCUAAGUUGUGACUUGUGACUGCCCAAAUGUUCUAUAACACGAUAUGAUUAUUCUAGUAACAUCAACAUUUGCAUCCUUCUGUAUCUGUCUGAGCUCCUGAAGCAUGAUACCCGGUUGCCCAGCAAAAGAUGCAGCUAUCACAAUGAAUAAGGGAACAAAAUAGAUAACAAAGUCACAAAAACAAAGCUAAUCACAAUGAAUGAUAAGGUUUAGAGUAAACAUAAAGUUAUAAUCUUGAACAUAAGUGGCGCUCUUGAGGAAAAAAAAAAUUCAUUCUAACACAACAGAAUAAAUUGUAAAGAAAUCCCAGUUUGUAUAAAAGAAAGAAAACAAAAUUAAGGAAAACAUAAGCACAACAAAAUUUGACUGAUUAUUAAAAAUGAGAAAUGAGUUAUAAUGAGAAUUUUGGCUUUGUGGUGAAAUAAAUUGGGAAGUAUCCAAAGUUCGCAUGUAAAUAAUAUAAAUGAUAAGAAGACGAAGGGAACAAAAUGAUAAUAAGCAAGCCAAAUAUUAAAAUGCAGAUUCUACGCUUCCGCCCCCCCAUACUUCAAGUUAGUGUCUCGCUAAUCAUUUUAGAUGUAUCAAUUACAAAGGGAGGCCAUCUAUUUAUGGUAAGCGUACGCCUCUAAUGCUUUGCCAAGUGUCCAUUGAUAAUAUCACAAGGGCAAUUAAAUUGGUGUAUGUGUAUUACACCUCCUAAAGUCAUGUUAAGAUAGUUAGUGAGCUGAUAAAGUUUGUUGCACGUGUGAGUUGGUUAAGUCUGCUAGAAAUGCAAACGUGUAAAGCUGAGUCAGCAAGUUAGUUAACGUUAUUAUGAAUGCUUAGAUUCAGCCCACGUGUAUUGUAUGUAAUACUUAGAUUCAGGUCACGUAGAUUGUGUAUACAACUUUCUAAUAUGAGUAAUGAUACAGCCACAAACUCUUGUACAAACUUAUUUUAUACAAACUGACGUGAUAUUUAAUUCAAACUGAUGUGGGCCAAGUGAUAUUUAAUUCAACCAAUCUUAUCAUGCCACAUCAGUUUGUACAAAAUAAAUUUGUACAAGAGUUUGUGGCUGUAUCAUUACUCUUCUAAUAUUAUUUAGAUCUCAAUAUAAAUACUUGUAAUCAACAAAUACAAUAAUAAGAGUCAUCAUUCUUCAUUUUCUCUCUGUUUCUCUCAUAUUUUCUCUGCAUCCAAACACAAUAUUCUCAGUUCUUGACUGGUAUUAGAGUCGCAGUUUAAUUGUCCUGGCUUCGUUAAGCACAAAUUCAAACACAAAUCAGUCUCCUUCAUUCUUUACCCUCACAAAUGCGAUCAAAUUGGACAGAUCUUACUAUACGAUCUGGAAAUCUCAGAUCCUCUCUUCAGUGUGUGCCAAUGGACUUGAAGGCUUUCUUAAUGGAACUAAAAUUUGUCCAGAUCAGUUACUUACUCAAGAGAUUGAAAGUUAUGGUGUUGAAAAUGUUGUUGGUGAAAGCUCAGCUGAUAGAUCUCAGGAGAAUCCAGCCUUUGUUGCUUGGAAGAGGUAGGAUCAAUUGUUAUUAAGUUGGCUCAUGUCCUCCAUCAGUGUUGAGAUACUUAAGUCUUGUGGUAAAUUCUGAUUCUUCUCAUAAACUUUGGACUAAUCUUGAAGAAAAUUUUUGGAUUAGAAAAUAUGGCUAAGAAAGCACACUUAAAAAAUGAUGUUAAGCAAUCUCAAAAAGGGAUCAAUGACAAUAACUGAGUAUUUUGCCAAACUUAGAGCUGUAACUAAUAAACUUGCUCUAACUGGUAGACCUGUUUCUACUCUAGACUUUAUUACUCAUCUAAUCUCUAGAUUAGGCCAGCCAUACUACCCUGUUGUUGUGUAUAUUGAAGCUAAUAUGUUGAAAAUAUUUGUCAAUGAAGCCUAUUCUAUGCUUUUAACUCAUGAAGCAAGAAUUAAAUUUAAUCAUCCGAGUGCAAAUAAAGAAGCAAAGUUGAAUUAUGCUGCUAACAUAGCUUUGGCUGGACCUAGUAAUAACAAUAAGAAGUCUAGUAAUCAAGCUAAUUACUAUCAGGGCAACCAAGGUAACUGGAAUAGAAAUGCUAAUUGGUGUGGUAACAAUGGAGGAAGAGGUGGCUUUGGCAGAGGUUUUUCAGGGCAAGGAAGGAGUAAUUAGAAUAAUGGUGGUCAUUGGAACAACGAACCUUGGAGUAGUAGUCGAGCAGGUUAUAAUUGUUCUGAUAUAAACAUUAUGACAUGGUUGUUGGUGAACCUGUAAACAUAACCACAAAAGUAAGAAGGCAUAAUCUUUUUAUAAGAAACUCAAAAAUGUAUUAAUGAUGAAAAUUUUAAAACAGAUAGCUGACCAGCUGUUCACUAAGAAAACAAAAAACUGAAUAUUUGUGCUAUAAAAAGGCACACCCAAUCUCACCCCUAUAAAAGGCUAGAAUCAGCUACAAAUCCCUAUCUCAAAACCCCAUCCCAGUUUAGAUGAAUGAAGAAAAAAGAUGAAUCUUGAAACUCCUUAGAAACUGAAGCCCAAAGUGAAGCAAGAAGAUGAACUCUAUCCCAAGCAAGCAAUAUGGCAUAUUUCUCCAUUAAUGGUUCAAAUAAAGUGAAUGGCUUUCUCUGAUGAAUGGGAAAUUGUCAAGAUCAAUAGUCAAACUCACGCAAAGUAAACGGACUUAAUUCUCAGAGGCUACUCAUUCUAAGUCUUAAAGAAAAAUUUUCUAAUUUCUAAAGAUUAUAUGGGGAAAAAUCAUUAUUUUCUAACAUGGAAAAUUUGAUACGCUGUUUAAUGUCUGAUCACAAUCAUAAUAUGAGUACUAACAAAAACAUCUUUAAUCGGCAUGGUGCGAGUAAAACACCAUCACUUCAUCUUUGAUGGAAAGAUGAUAACAUAAAGAGAUGGUGAAAUGGUUUUGGUCCUUGGCAGCUUGUAAUCAAAAGAAAACAAAAAUCUACACUAUUAUUAAUGAUUACCGAAGCUACAGAAGUAUCAAAAUCGGAAAGUAAACAAUUGCAAAACACAUCAAUGACUGAAGGUUAGGUUCUAAAACUUCCGUAUUUAAUUUUCAAAGCAUGUUAUGUAUUAUUCAGAAAUAUGCUUUCACUUCAGGCACUUGACCAAGACGCAUUAAACAAAAAACGUGGCGUUUUCAUGGACUAGUACAUUCCAUGCUUCGAAAGUUUAUGUUUUAGACUGAUUCGUUUGAUACAUUAUUUGUUUAUUGCGUUUUUCUUGCUUUAAAUAUUAUGUUGGAUUGAUAAGUUUUGUACACAUUUAUAUUGCUCGCAGUAAAUAAUUUAUGACAUUUAAAAAACUAGCAACCGUCUAUCAAAAGAUUUCUACUAUAAAUAUAUAUACACAAAAAACUUUUAAUUUGGUCAAUUUGUUCUCUUAUUUAUUUUUGUUCUAUUUCUCUUUUCCUUUCCUUUCAUUUUAUUGUUUUAUGGUACAAAAUAAAAAAAUAACCUUAAAAUUUAGGGCAAAGCUAUGGUACCACAAUUGUAUGGUACCACAGCUGGAUCCAACCAUUGGAUCUAUCCCACAGUUGUCACCAGAAUUAGAUCCAAAGGCUGGAUCCAGCUGUGGUACCAUACAACUGUGGCACCAUAGUUAGACCCUAAAAUUUAAGGGUAAAAUACUCAUUUUACUAAAAUUCCGUUUAAUAUUAUAAAGCUGUCAAAUGUCAAUGGCAUAGUACACGAGUGAUACAAAUUAAAAACAAUAAAUGGCACCCCGGCUUUCGCAGCGUACUCAAGUGCAGCCACCACUCCAGAAUCUGGUACUGCAAUCACGACAUCACUCAACAGGAGCCUCGGUAGCAAGUACUUCCCCAAAAUGAUACCUCGACUCACAAACAUGUUGAAAAGUCAUGCACAUGACAUUCAAAUUCAAAAAUGCAUGCAAAAUUUCAAAUGGCUACCAAACAUUUGAAGAAAAAAAUGAAAAGUUGGCAAAUUUGUCAAAUUUGAGAAAUGGACACCAUUGACUAUUGGCUUAGGUUAGGUGGAAUAGUAAAGGGGUUGGUGCAAUAGUGCUAUUAUUUUUCCUAUAAAUAGAUGGCACUUAUUCCAUUCUUAAGCAUCCCAAAAUUGUUAAGCUUAUAAGUUUCUAAGAUUUUAAGAGAAGUGAGAGAAGUGUGUCUGUGGAAUUUAUCUUUCCUGCAGAGUGUGAGAGUACUGGGUAUAUUUAGGUUUUUGGGAAGUGAGAUUCGUUACUCAAAUAUUGUACUCUAUUAAUUGUUAAAUAAACAAUUAUUCUUUCUUACCUCCGUGGAUGUAGGUUUAAUUACCAAACUACGUAAUUCUUGUGUCCUUUAUUUUUUUGUAAUUAUUUGGUGCGCUUGAUUCCGCAUUCCGCGCACAACAAGUGGUAUCAGAGCCGACGGUUCGUACUUGGGGAGAUACGGUACUGUUCACGUAUACGGUAUUAUUCCCGUAUACAGUACUAUUCACGAAUACGGCGGAGACGGCCAUUUGUACUUGGGAGACAGUCUAUUAUAAGUAGUGUGUAUUUUUGCAUGUCUAGGAAAGUUUUGUCAACAAAGGCGAUAAGAGUCUAAGGAUUCUGGUUUUUAAUUGGGACCGAGUUCCCGUCCAGUCUCCUGAAAACUUUCCUGGUGCAUUUAUUCACGUGAAAUUAACAUUAUAGAGACUGUUUUUCAAGUGGAAAUAGUUCGUUGAGAAAAUGGUAGAAGGUGAAACUUCCAGAAUUGGGGAGAGAUCUACCGAGACUAUUUCAGGAGACACUUCAGGUGGGAGGCGAGAUUUGUCAAAUCGCUAUUCAGCACCUGUUAUAGGAGGCUAGAAGACCGAUGUUGAAAAGUUUGAUAGGAAAAUCAACUUCGGCAUGUGGAGGCGCGAAGUUAUGGAUGCCCUUAUUCAAAUUGAUCUCGGUGUUGUGUUGUUGAGAAAGAUCGAUACCAAAGAUAAUCCAUCAGAUAUAUUGAUGAAGGUAGUUUCUGGAGUUAAGUUUCAACAUUACUUGAAAUUAAUUCAAAUCCUUCAAUUGUAUUAAGAUAUGUCCUUCGGGAAUUAUGAACUACGGUUGGCUUGAUCCCAAAUUUUGGGUACGUAGGCAGUCGAAUCGACACAGCCAUUCUGGAUCCUUAUUGAAGGAUCACUUUGGGGAUGAGGGUUCAUUGGUAGUUGGCUCAGAUUUGGACAAAUUUUCGUCGAGGUGGAGAAUUGUUGAAAAGUCAUGCACGUGACUUUCAAAUUCAAAAAUGCAUGCAAAAUUUCAAAUUGCUACCAAACAUUUGAAGAAAAAAUGGAAAGUUGGCAAAUUUGUCAAAUUUGCCAAAUGGACACCAUUGACUAUUGGCUUAGGUUAGGUGGAAUAGUAAAGGGGUUGGUGCAAUAGUGCCAUUAUUUUCCCUAUAAAUAGAUGGCACUUCUUCCAUUCUUAAGCAUCCCAAAAUUGUUAAGCUUAUAAGUUUCUAAACUUUUAAGAGAAGUGAGAGAAGUGUGUCUGUGGAAUUUAUCUUUUCUGCAGAGUGUGAGAGUACUGGGUAUAUUUGGGUUUCUGAGAAGUGAGAUUCGUUACUCAAAUAUUGUACUCUAUUAAUUGUUAAAUAAACAAUUAUUCUUUUUUACCUCCGUGGAUGUAGGUUUAAUUACCGAACCACGUAAUUCUUGUGUCCUUUAUUUUUCUGUAAUUAUUUAGUGCGCUUGAUUCCGCAUUCCGCGCACAACAAAACAAACCUUCCAAAAACAACAGAAUUAGGCAAAGCAAAAUAAAUAUGCUCAAAGAUGCACUGCUUAGGUUCAGGGUGAGGCAUCAAACAAGGUGAUUGAACCCCAUCUUUAUCCACCAUCAAAACUUCACCGGGAUAUACCUCUCUCUCUCUCGCUCUCGUAUGUGGCCUCAAUCAAAUAGUGCACAAGUCUCUGACGCAAAAACCAGAGCACCAUUACUCCUACCCAUCACCAAUGGCAUAAACCCAUACGGGUCACGAACCGCAACAAGCUUAUCCUCAGUAACAAACACCAUUGAAUAAGCACCCUCAAGCUUCUCACAAACAUCCAUAAUCCUCAAAAAGAACGGCCUAGCUUUCGAUAUCGGAAUCAAAUGGAGAACAACCACAGUAUCAGAACUAGUAUUGAAAAUGGAUCCAUUAUCUUCGAGCUUAGCCCUCAAAGUAUUAUAAUUAACUAAUGUGCAACACCAACAGAACCAAACCUGUACCCAGCAACAAAAGGCUGCACAUUCUUAAGCAUAGAACUACCCGCAGUCGAAUAUCUAACGUGACCAAUGGCCAUAUCACCCGGCAUUUGAUCAAGUUUAGACUGAUUAAACACAUCAGACACUAAACCAACACCAGUAAUAGACUGAAGAACUUUGUUAUUCACAGCAACUAUACCUGCACCUUCUUGGCCGCGAUGCUGCAUCGCGUGUAGCGCCAAAUAGCACAAACGCGAGGCCUCUGGGUCACCAUAGAUGCCCACAACACCACACUCCUCACGGGGCUUAUCGUCGUCAUCAUCAUCAAAACUGCCAAAACCGUCAUCUGGGUAUUCUUUAUUUGUGGUGAAAAACUCAGAGAUGGGGUUUUUUUGAUAGAACAGUGAAGUUAUUUUUGUGGGUUAAAGAUUGUUGUUUCUGAGGAAAAAAGGGGUUUUUUGCGGGGUUUUGGAGAAAAGAGAAAGAUGGGUUUUUUGCGACGGCUUAGGGUUAGCAGAGGGAGAUGGGUUUGAGAGAAGGCAGAUGUUGGCGGUGCCUGUUGUGGUGGCUGCCAUUAAUGGCUGAAUUUAUUUUAUUUUAUUUGUUUUGGGUUGCCUUGCUCAAAGAAAAAACAUAGGAGGUGUGUGGAGGGAGACAGUGGCGAAGGGUACUUUAAGUAGAGGGGAACUUGUUCUAGGUUUUUUUCUGGAAUUGUGAGGGAAUCUGAUCCUGGGUUUGUGCAUAUGAUUCAAUUACUUAUAGGUGAUACUGUUGUGUCACCACAAAUUCUAAUUGGGAAGCUUCAGUUGUCAAAUUUUUUUCCAAGGGUUAAUUAGGUAGAACUUUCAUGUCGUCGAUUUUAUUUGGAGAUUCUAAAAGUAGUUUCCAAAAUCAACAAUGUGACACAGAUGCUUUAGAUUUUUUCCCUUGUGGGACAUGAAAAUUGAUGCAUGUUCCAACGCAUUGCUCUAUCAGAAUUGGAAUUAAACUUAGGUGCCGUUUGUUUUUUUGUCUGAAAUCUGAAUAGACUUGAAUUAGUCUGAAUUCUGAAUAGGUCUAAAUGUCUGAAUCCGAAUAAUAUGUUUGUUUUUUCGUCUGAAUCUCGAAAAAUAAGUAUUAAGUUGUUUUUUUUUUUUCAACUUAAAAAGCUGAAAAUAUGUACUUUUACAUUUGUAUCCUUAUUAAAUUUGAAUGUCAAAUAAAUAAUAUAUUAAAUACCACAAUAUUUUAAUAUUUAUAAAUAAAACUAUAUUCAAGUGAAUACAUAAUUAUUUUAGAAUUUUAAUAUAUAAAAUACCAUAAAUUUCAAAUUUUAUCGUAUAUAAUAUAAGAAAGAAAAAACAUGGAUAUUUUUAUAUGGGGUAAAUAUCUAUAGGUAAGUUUUGGGAUAAACAUGAAAAAUAAAUUAUAAAACAGAGAUAUUUUUGACAUUAGCAAGUAAUUGACUUAAUUCAGAUUUCUCCAUUAAGUAAAAAGCCAAAAAAAUUAGCUUAUUUUAUUAAGUCAAAAUUAUCUAAAAAGUCUCAUUAAGUUAUAAAAACAAACACCUCUAAUUAACUUAAUUAAUUAAAUUAAGUCACUGUAAGUCAUUAAGUUAAACAACAAACGCCACCUUAGUUUGUAUUCUCCUAUUCCGAAAGCAAAACUUAUAAGUGAUAUUCUAAGAAGAAGAAAUUAAGAACCAUAACAAAUUUGAUGAUUCUAAUUUGCUAGAAAUAUUGCAAUCCCAAACUAAGAAAGUUCAAACCAAUUAUUUGAAGAAAAAAGUAGGACGGAAGCUCCCAAAAUAUUGUUAUGUGUUGUAUGUUUUAGUUUGUGUUUCCCAAUCAAUAAGGAAAAGUAAGUACACAUGUAACAAAAAUUUAAUAAAAAAGAUUGGAGGUGACAAAACCGUCAAUCUUCUAAUUAACUUUCUCUCCUUUCGAAUUUCCUCGAGUUUGGUAGAGACUGCUUAAGUGGUAUAUCUAUUAUAAACACCUGAAGUCAAAGUUAAUAUUUUAAUUGUUAAGAAAAGUUAGAAAAAGAAAUUUUUGUAUAAGAGAAUUGAGUUUAAAUUUAGAAUUCCUUGGGAGGAAAUGAGUCUAAAUUCCAAUAAUAUAAUUAAACACUAUUUAUAUAUAUCAUUAGUUGGGUGAAAAUUUAAUUUCCAUCCUUUGAUGUGAAAAACUCUCUUGAUCAUCUAUUUUCAUAUGAUGGUAAUUUUUUGUUUAAAGUGAAGUUAUUGGCACCCUUUCAUUAUGCUUAUAAAAUCCUACUUCAAAUAAAAUUACACUUAAAGACAAUAGAAUUAAAUAAUAUAAUUUUUUCUUUAAAACAAAUUACUCAUCUAAUUUUUUAUAGGUUGCUUUGUAUCAAAUUAAAAAAAUUUUUUACAAAUUUAAAAUAAUCUAUUUUUUUUUCAAAUUUCUUAUUGAUUAAAUAUUUGUGUGCUUAAGAUAGCUUUAAAAUUAUAAGAUAAAAUAUAUAUAAUUUAAGCCAAUGAUUAACAUUAAAAAAUUUAUCUCUCAUAAAAGUUUUUAAUUUGUGCGUAGGGUAAUAAUAAAAUUGCAAAAGAAAUGAAAAAUAGCAAAACACUAUUUUGAGUUUAAACAAUAAAAAAAUUAAAUGAAAAAUUAGAAAUGUAUUUGAAAAAGGAUAUUUUUUGAAAAUAAAAUAAAUAUAAUUUAAAAAGAAAGAGUUUCACGAGGGGUGCAAUAGUUCAACUCUUUUGUUUAUAAGUUUUAAUGUGUUGGUAUCCUUAGCUUAGCUUUUCCCUAAUUAUUAUAUUAAAAUGUAACAACAAUGAUGAUCAACCCUAAUUUCAUGGAGGUCAAAGAUUUUGGUCAUGCCGCAUUAAUUAGUUCGGUCAUACUUUCUACAAAUUUAUUUACAUUUAAUAAUUUGCCCAAGACUAGGUAAGGCGCCGCCUGGAGUCAUAGAAUUUUAUAUGUCAAAAGUGCGUUUCACUUCAAUUAAGCUAUAAAUGUCGUUUAAUAUGCUCAUUUUGUAUUUUUUUUUAAAAAGUUUUAUUAAUUUUUAAAAAAAUAUUAUUUAUUUAUUUAUUUAUUUUUUUAAAGGUAAAGAAGUGGAUAAAGUUCAAAUUUAAUUUUUAUCCCUUACGUCAUGACCCUUAAGAUUUGAACUUAGGUAACCAAACGUAUAAUAAUAAUAUCUCAAAUUUCAUUUCAAAUGAUAUGCAAUAUAUUAAGUGAUUGUUAAUUUUUAUAAGAUCCGAGUGAAUGAAUUGUAUUAUCUCACUAAUUAAUUAAUGAGUGUCAUAUCAUUUAUGAUAACUUUUGUAUAAAAAAAAUUGCAUGGAUGAAAUAUCCUUUUGAGAAUUUAAUGGUUUAUCUCAUUUAUGAUUUAUUGUUGCAUUUAAUGAUAUUGCAAAUAAUUUUCUGAUAAUAUUAUUGUUUUGACGAGUAAGUUUGGAGUAAAUAAUACAUAUGGCAAGUGUGAGGUUUGUUAUUGCAUUUAUUUUGUGGAUCUAUUUAAAAGCCAAAAAAAGGCAUUUCGAUUCAUUAUGAUUCCAGAUAAUUUCAAGCCAUGUCAUUAUUGGGAUAAAAAUAAAGUAAAAUGGUUAAAACUAUUUUUAUGUAAUUUAUAAAAAUUAAUGAAGCAACUACAAAAUUUUUUUAAACGAAAAACAAUUGAAAUGUGUGUGGAAAAAGAAGAAAAAAAAUAAGGCAUUUAAAUAUCUUCUUAAAAAAUACGAUUGAUUAAAAUUAUUUUAACAGAAUGCUCUUCCAAAUACAAUUCCACAUUUUUUUUUAUUGCAGUGGGAUAUUCCAAAAUUGGCACAACUCAUUAAGAAUUCGACAACUCAAAUUUUAUUUAUCACUCUAUGCAUUUGACAAAUUAAAAAGAAAAAAAAUUCAUAUAUCUUCUGUUCAAAAGAAACCUUGGUAAAUAUUGUAAAACAAAUUACCAAUUUUUUUAAAUUUAUGCCAUUAAAUCGUCGCUAUUUUCUCGCCCACUUUCUUAAAAUAGAAUCGAUAUUUAUUGAUGGGUUGGGUUCGAGAGUAAGCACCAAUUCAGCAAAAUGGUUUUAUAGCAGAAAAAGCACUUGUAAGACAUUCAGAACACAUUUUUCAAUUUUGUCUUUUGAAAAUGAGUCUUGAGUUUCCGCAAGCCAAGAAGAAUGGCUAAAAAAUGUAUGGUAUCAAAAGAAAGAGAAACACACACACACAUUUUAUGUAAGAUACCGUAAAAGCCAAAUACAACCUUUUUGAUUCUCAGCAAUAACUUUUUUUUUUCCUUUUAAAAAAAGGAAGCCAUAUAAAUAAUGCUUUAAACAUUAUUUGCAACAAGGAACAAUUAUUUCAUGCUUUCAGGUAUUAGAAACUUUCCAAAACUGCUAGCAAGAAAGUGAAAUGUAACUUUACGUAGUCACAAAAUAUGUAUUGCUGUUAGCCCAAUUGUUAUGAAGUGGCUUCUGCAUCAGAAGAUUCCAGCUCCCACCAAGCAUUGUUAUCUCUCUUCUGAAUACAAUCUGCAUCGCUGGGCAUGAGUUAUAUCAUUAAUGUCUGCAUCCUCACUUACAUCAUCCCAAUCAAGUGCUUUUUCUCCAUAUCUGGAUUAUAAGUCCACUCCAAUCUCUUCAAAACAUCCUAGUCCUUCCAUCACAACUGCUACAACUUCCUUCCUAAUUACUUACCCAUUAAUAAAUCGCUCCAAGAAAAAAAAGCUUAGCAAUUCUCUUCAACGCCCCAUCACUCAUAUCCCCUACAACAACCAUCUUCAGACAAAAUCCGAAUCAUCCGACACAACCACCAAACACCCAAACCUUCUUUUGUCCACCAUAUAAAUCCUCAACAAAACAUCGGCAUCUUGUGGCUUAUCUAACACCAUUCUGACCCAAAAUCAUGCUUUUUUUAACUCAUCUGCAAAACCAUAACCCACUUUUGGAGUCAAAAUUGCGCUUGCAGCCAUUUUAUAUUUUUCCAUCUUUAUUGAAUAGCUGCCAACCAAAAGCACUCUCACCUUCCCUCUAGCUGAUCCUAUUUGAUUCGACCUUUUCUUUUGUUCACCCUCAUGAAUUUGCUUAAAAUGAUUAAAAAGCUUGUCAUUGUUAUAAAAUCUCCUUCCACAAUCACCAAUACAUACGGCUUAGCAGGCCUAAUUACACCCUUGAUUUCUAAUUGGUUAAACAAUUCUCUUUCUUUCUCUGCUCUCUUACAACUUGAGGCAUAUAACUAAACCCGUGGCUAUUAGCAUUUGCCACCAUGUAUUUAAGAAUCCCAAAUGAAGAUAUUGAUUUUUUUCAGUUUAAUUGCUGCUUCAAAACGGGGUACUAAAUUUGGAUUUUGUUAUCCAAAUACCAAAAAUUUCCCACAUUGUGUUGGACAGUUUUUGGUUCUAAAGUUGAUGACUGGUUUUACGAAUCAGGCUUCAAAUGAGAACUUCUAAACAAUAAGACAAAUGGGUUUUUGAGUUUCCAAUUUUGUAAACUUUGUUCUAUUGUUUAAGUUAUGAAAUCGCUGAAACAUCACUACAGCUACAGGUCUUUAUGUGUCAAAGAACUGCAGAAGCUGAUGAUCUAGCUGUAGUAGACUUCUAUUGCCCCUGUCGUUCUAGGAAGACAAACAAGUUCAGGAACUACUUCUGGACCAAACUCAUAAUAUUGCCACUGCUUUGUGCCAAUCUGAGAGGGAAAGCAUAUUGAAGUUCCUAAAUAAGGCACAUCAUGAUUUGACAGAAGUACCACUAUGAGGAACAAUUGAUUUCAGGAAAGCACUAAAAUAUGACAUAAUCUGCCCCUAAUGGUCUAAAGUAGUCAAGAAAUGAUAUCAACCAAGCAAAAACACAUAAACUAGUUGAGAUACAAAGUUAUUGUAAAAGUCAAUUUUGAUCACAAGUCCAUUAAAAUUAAAAGACAUUAGAAACUUAGAGAACAUUAUAAUUUAGGACUCAGCUAAGUUGCAGAUUCUGUAACUAACAGCUGUGUCCACAUUGGUCUUGCAUCAGCUGAGUUUGGGUUGCUUUUCCUCUCUCCUGCAACGCGUACGUGGAAGCGCCCCAUUUGCUGUGUUCUAUACCGAGUCGGUACCGUAACAAGCUCCUAUAAUUUAAGUUUGAUUACUGUAGACAAUAGUCUGCCUCUGCUCAAAAGCUAUGUUGCAAGAUAUAACAUCUUUGCAAUGUUAUACUUUCUAAAAGUAAUAAGAAAUGAAACCAAGGGGUAAAUCGAACACCAAAAGAAAUUUAGUCGGCCAACCACAUUAUGUUCCCACACAGUCCACUAAUUAAGUUAAUAAUUAAAAGGAAUCAAAAUCUAAGAAAUCUCAUCUUCAAGCAGAAUUAAUACAAACACACAGCGAUUGAAAAUCACAAAAUCAUAAAAAGAAGCUGACUUGAAAAGCUCAAAUAUACGUUCAUCAGCCUCUCAACUUAUAUCUAAGAACAAAUGCAGCUUGUGAAGACAUACAUAAUUGAAGCUGAUGAGCCAUAUUUAACAAAUGAUAAUCAAAACUUGUGUGAUUAAAAUUAUAAUUCAAUAAUCGAGCACAUAAAACAAGAAGUAACUAGUUGUAUAUAUACCAAACAACUUUCUGAAGUUAAGGCAUAAAACAACAACGUAGAACAAAUUAAUUAAAUAUACCAGCACCAAUACUCUUAUUAUUAUCCAAAUAUAGAAGACCAAUGUAUCAAACAAGGAAAAUGAAAUAUUGUUAAUAAAUAAAAAACGACUAGUGUCAAGAACUAAAGUAAUAAGUAAAACCCAUAAUCAGACACGACCACAUCAAAAUCUCUGAAAAUUGAGGUCUAAACAUUGAAAACAAUUAGACAUAUAUAACAGUCAAUCAAAACAAAGCCUCAAAAUAAUAAUGAACUACAAUAAGACAGAAACUAAAUUGUAAACAAGCGCAUACCCAAUAACAGUAAUCAAGUAACAAGUCAAAACCAGAAUCAAACGUAGAAUUUUGAAAUCCAUACGAACUCUAAUGUAUUAGAAUGAAAUAAUAAGGGCGAUCGAUAAACUAGACUCAAACAAAAACAUGCCCAGUUAAAAAACGAAGGUAAAUAAAUAAAAAUGGUAUAAAACUGCGAAAAAAAUUAAUGAAAUGAAGAGAAAAUCACAGGAAUCCUAUGAAGAGGAAGGUAAACAAAACCUUCGGGAGCCGAGAAGAUGCCUUUUUUGUUGACGUUUGUGCCUAUACAUGCAAUUUUUUUUUUUAAUUUUGAAGAAAGUAUUGGUUAAAUAUUGUCAGAACGAAAUAUUAAUAAUAGGGACUUGACUAGCUUACAGAAUCUGUAAGGUACAAACUGCAGCAUCAGCCGUUGGAUGUGGUUGGAUGUGGAGUGAGAAACUAAACAAUAGAAAAUCGGAUGGUGGGAUGACGGGAGAUGUUUGUUACAGAAUCUGUACUGUAGACAAGUCCUAAUAAUAGAUGCUGGCAAUUUCAACAAGGACAAUCUUCGAUUCAAAUGUACCCUUAUGAUAAAGAAAAAGCCAGCUUGGCUAAAUUUUGAGCACCACAUUAUAAGAUCUAGGUGUAUGUUUAACUAUGCAAAAUGAAAUAUCUAUUAAUUAUAAGUCCCUUGACCUCUGGAACCAGCCAACUGGUCUCUUUCCUACUAGACAACCUUCCAUCGAUCAGACUAAUAAUAUUUACUAAAUCAUGUUCUACAGUUAAUGAAGUUGGACCCAAGGCAAUUGUUAGCUUAAUGUCAUAGGCUGCUCAAAUUUCCUGUAAUUGGAGGAUAAUUAUGUGCACAUGAGUUCGCUUAGCAAAAGUCUGCCUAGGCGUGGAGUGCGCUUAAAAGUGGGAUGCACUUAGAAGUGGGAUGCACUUAGCAAAUCAUCCAAGCCCAACCCGAGAUCUAGAACUCUCUGCAUAUUAUAAAUAAGCUAAAAGUUUUUAUGUUUCUCCACGUAAGUCCCUAGGAUAUUUAUGGAAGUUGCUAGGAAGUUUCCUCCCCUAGAACUCUAAUACUUAUAAAUAGGAGUGGGCCGCCUCAUUUACCCACCAACCACACCACACACACAAACACUCCAGCACACAUACAAGCUCUCUAGCUUUUGUAAAAAGCUCUCUUGUAUAUUCUCUCUUUGUGAGUAAUAAAAUCAUAUUCAGCUAUAUUGCUCUACUUCUCUCUAGUAUUUUCCGCAAGUGUUCUUGCUUCGCUAGUUUGAGGAGUGGUCCAGGCUUGCUUAGCAACUUGUUUGCUACAAGGACAUCUUGGUCACAAAACAUGGACAUGCAAGGAAAAAAAAAUAUUGAUUCGUUCUAAAAAUAAUAUGCACUCUUCUCCAGUGAACCAAAAAAUUUAGGCUAAUGGUAGCAAGUGAAGGAAUUGUGAUUUCACAUGCAUUUUGUUGACAUGAAGGUAAAGAACUUUUUUAUAGUUUAUAUUGUUUAAUAUAAUAUUUGAAUUGCAAAAUAGGGGUACAAAAUAGAUACACGAAGGGAUAAAACUAAUCUGAUUAUGAUAAAUAAUGAAUUAUAAGAUUUAGGUUUAAUCAUAAAGACAUAAGUGGCACACAAAGUCACGAAUUGAUAUCAUCCACGAUGCAAGUUCAAACAACUGUAUAAUAAGUUGCCCCAAGCUAAACUAUUAAUCUAAUAACUAUUCCAGUCGAUGUGGGAUAAUUUUCCUAUCACCAUCUAUCACGUGCAAGCCGAAUUUGUUGCUUGGUUCUUACAUGUGGUAAGGUAAUAUGAAUCCACUUGUGCAUAAAUUUGGCUCCGAUAUUAUAUAGAAGCUUAUGACCCAAAAUUAUACUUAAAGGUUAUUUCAAGAUUUGAAGGUUGCCUCAAGCUAAUAUUAUUAUUAGCCUGGUAACCCUUUUUUUUUUGUUGAUAUGUGAUAUUUUCCCAAUAACUUUUAUUAAUCUUUAUGCUUAUGUUUUGUCAUUUAUCCCAAAAUAUAACAUUAACAAAAGUUCCAAAAUUUCCUUCAAGAGAUAUAUUUGAGACAAGUAAUUUGUGCAAUAACUUUGUGAAUUGAUGAGCAAAUUCAAAGAAAAGAAUAUAUGUGCCAAACGUAACGUUUAUUAUUGUGUUUAUUUGUAGAGCUAUUUAAAGCCUAAAAACAAAAAGCAUCAGUCUGCUAUUAUUUCAAAUAAGUUCAAGCCCUAUGUCAUUAUUGGUACAAAAAUGUAUUAGAAUGGUUAAAAACUAUUUUUAUUUAACUUGUAAACUUAGGAAAUUAUCAACUGUCCACCCUUAAAUUGCACUGUUAUAAAAAAUAUUACAAUAUUUUCAGAUUGUAUCAUUCAUCUACCAUAAAUUUACAAUCUGCAUCAUUUAUCCACCAAAUCAUUAACUUCGUUAAAAAGUGAUAGACGUCACAAGGGUAAUUUAGACAUUUAACACACAAAAAAAAUAAAAGAGAAAUUAUCUAAGCUUACCAUGUUAUCAAAAUUGCUACAAAAUUUUAAAUUUGUUCAAUUUUCCAAUCUAAGUUUAUGACCUCCAAGAUGUUACUUGCAGUUUGUAAUUAAUGAGUUCAUAAGGAUAAUUUAGACACUCAAUACGCAAAAUAAAAAAUAAAAUAAUGGCUUAAAACAUUAAAACAAAAAACUACAUUUUAUAAUUGAUAUUCAAUAAUACACAUAAAUUCUAUUUUUUUCUUAAUUAAAAAUAUUCUAAUUUAUUUUCUCAAUUUAUCAUCAUAAAUUUACAUUAAUAAACUAAAUCCACAAAUUACCCUAAACCCUAAUUCAUAAAUGCCCAAUCAAUCUAAUAGUUUAAUUCGAUUUCAUAAUUAAAAAAGCUAAAUUUAUUAUAUUAGUUAUGGUGUAAAGUCAAAAAUGCCCUUAAAUUCAAGGGUAAAAUAACAUUUUAUUUAAAUUCUAUAAAUUAUUCUAACAAUGUUAACAUAUUGGUGGACGGUUAAUAUAAGUUACAAACUUAAAAUAGAAAAUCAAAUAAAUUCAAAAUUUCAAACUAUUUUGGGCAAAUUUAGGACAUAUGGUUAAUAAUUUUCUCAUGUCUUUUUACAUUGGUUGGUAUAAGUUACAAACUUAAAAUAGAAAAUCAAAUAAAUUUAUAUUUUCAAACUAUUUAGGGCAAACUUAGGGUAUAUGGUUAAUAAUUUUUCUUUGUCUUUUUACGUUAAAUUGAGUUUCAAAGGUAAAAUGGUCAAUUUAUUAUAAUUAUGUUAAUGUUUUAGUGGAAGCAAACGAUAUAAUGGACGAAUGAUAUAAAUUGUAAAAUUAAGGUGCAUGAAUGAUACAACUUUAAAGUAUUGUAGUAAUUUUAAAAAUAGAACAAUUUAAGGGUGGAUUGGCAAUAAUUUAAACUUUAAUGAAGCAACUAAAAAACAUUUUUAACAAAAGAAAAAUAAUUGAAAUGCUUUAAGAAAAAUAAAAGAAAUUAAAUAUCUUUAUAAAAACAUAAUUGAGUAAAAUCAUUUUACAAAAUGCUCUUUCAAAUGCACAUUCCACAAGGCAGGGAGAACGGGUGGGUAACAAAAAUCUCACUUUUUAUGAGUUUAUAAAAUCUUACUUUCGCAGAAUCAAAAAAUAACCAAUACUAAUCACACAAAAAAUAAAAAUUAUUGUUGUCACGACAUUACGCACUUUCUUCGCUGUCUAGAAAUUAGAAAGCUAGAACAUUUUGAAGUUCCUCAAUACAAAAUGUGUGCUACUACUAAAUUGGCCCAAUUAAUGCCCAUCGAAAAGGCCAUCAAUUUAGCCGGCAAUUUUGUCAAAAUUUCAACAAUUGAAGAAAUAAUGAUCACAAACGGAACAGGUAAAUUUUGAAGUUGAAUAAAUCUUGAGAUACAUACAACAAAGCCUUGAAACUUUAUUCUUCACAAUUUGAGCACGCACUAAAUAUUAAACAAGUAUAGAACAAAGCUUAUUUUUAGCUUCUUGUGCGAACUGAAUACGCUGAAAUGUGUUUUUUUUUUUUUGGAUUUUUGGAAUUUUUUAAAAUCAUUUAUGUUCGCCGCCAUCUUUUUCUUCGCUGGCGUCUUCCUCUCUUGGCUGGCAUCUGCCUCGUCUGUAGUUUGCUGUGCCUAUAUAUCCAACCAAUAAAUUGGGCAUUAAAUACGAAUGAAUGAUGAAUAAAAUGAUAAAAAAAAAACAAACAGAGAAAAUUAUAAUAUAACACGUAUAUAUUGAAAGAGAAAUUUUGAUUUUAGGAUAGAUCAAUUAGCUAUCACAAACGAAAACAUGAACCAACUAUGUAUAGAGUCAAUUAAGUAAAGUUCUCAAGAGUUGACCUGUGCUCCUGAAUUCUUGGAAUCAUCUAUCUCCUUCUGAAUUUCCACGAAACUUGGGACAAUUAUUAACAUCUUCAUUGUAUGCAGAUGGAAAUGGGAUCUGAUAACCCGCAGGCCAAAAGUUGGCGAGCUUUGGUAAACCAAACAAUGUCAAGUUCCGAAGUUCAUUCAUAACAAUUUCAUUGUAAUCCGUGAUGUUUGCUCCAUCUUUAUGCCAGAAUACUUCUUCUAAUUCAUCAUUAGCUUCUAUCCAUAGGCCCUUCAGUUUUUGAAGACUUGGAGCUACGCUGAUAUGAAAUAGAUGCUUUAGCUUGGGGCAAUAAUGGACAGAGAUCCAUGUGAGUUUUGGGAAACAUACAGGUUGGAGAUGAUCCUCAUCCUCAUCCUCAUCGAUGAUUUGCUCUAAUUCCGAGCAAUAUAAAAUACGUAACUCCUCCAAUUGCAACAGAUUUCGAGCAAGUGUUGAUGAGAAGAGACGUCUCAGUGUAGUGCACCCGUCCACUCUUAAAUCGGUAAGACUUUGGAGGCUAAAAUUAUGAGUGGGACCUUCAUGAUAUAAUAAUACUUGCAGUUCUGGAAGGUUUUCCAACCACAACGACUUCAAACAUGGGAAUAGUUUGUUUUCUUGUUCCUCAGCGAUAAUAGCUUCCACUUGAAAUACCACAUAUACUCCAAGUUCUCCAAUACCCAAUGUUUCCAAAUUUUUAAAGCCAUGCUUCAACAGUGCUGGAAUCGUGUCACUCAAAUGGGAACAAUUGUCCACAUAUAGAUUUCGUAAUUUCUGAGACAAAUAAAUAAAUAACUUGAUGCAAUUAAAAUCUAUUAGCAGCUAGGAUUAUCACAUGAUAAGUGAUGAACACCGCAAAAAUAUCAUAAUACAUAUGUAAACUAAUAAAAUAAUUAAAAAGUAAUGGAUUAAAAAAAAUGAAAUUAGUUAAAAGAGAUCAUGUGAAGUGAUAUAAAUGUGACAUUAGAUUGUUUUAGAAAAAUUAUGGCUUGAUCAACUAUUUAAUUGAAUUUGAAUAAUAUUAUAUACACUUCAGAAGUAUUUGCAUCAAUUCUUUCUAAACUAAAAUGAGAUAUGAAUUUCAUUUGAAGAAUGGUUUUAGGCCCUAUAAUAAAGAAAUUUCCCUAAGAUAUCUGAGUAUUAUUAUUAUCAUUACCACAUCCACCACCACCAUCAUCAUCUCCAUAGGAUCAAAUAAUUAAUGGCUGAUCAUAAAAUUUAUUACUAAACUAUCAUUUUGAGUAAAAUUGAAUGAAAAGAAAAAACAUGAAUCCAAACAAACAUACCUCUUUGAGAUACUGCAAAUUGGCUUCAAGUUCAUUACUGUUGAUGGUCAAGUUGGGACAGUUAUGAAGGUUUAACUUUUCCAAUGCUGGCCAAAUUGAACAAUAAUUCUCUGAACAGAACUUGGUGAGUUCUGGGAGAUCUUCAAGUUUUAAUUUUCUCAACAAAGGGAGGGCGAGCAUCGUAUUUCCAUCUCCGACACUUAUUUCCCCUUCAUUAUGAUCAAACUUUGCUUCGACAAUAUAUUCCAGUCUCUCGCAUCCACUUACAUUGAGACUUUUAAGCUGCUCCAAACUUCUAGCUUGUGACAACGUGAAGAUAUAUGUCAACUUGUUGCACCUAUGCACAUUCAAUUUUGUAAGAGUUUGGAGACUAAUCACAUGUUGGGCGGGCGCCUUCCAUAUCCACUUCAGUUCUGGUAAGUCCCACAUAGAUAACUCUGCUAAUCUUGAGAGACUCUUUCCAUGCGGCGACUUAGAGGCUUCCAUUAUGCAUUCUAAAUCUUCGCAAUCGCAGACAUCAAGACAAGUCAACUCAUUUAAGCCCCUUUCAUCUAUGCUUGGCACAAUAUUGUAACAACCUAUAAUCCCACUUAAAUAAAGAAUUUCCAGUUCUUGAUACAAUGCCGAAAAAAUACCGAGCGAGGUCGCUUCAGGAGGGUGGUUACCAAUCAUUAAGAUCCUUGCCUUAUCAUCAUGUUCCCUUUCAUCAUAAACUCCUUCAACUUUAUAGAUGACGUACCUUUGCAAUUUCGGGAAUGUAAAGUCUUUUGGAAGACAUACAACAGAUCCGUCGACUUGGGAGUUCAACUCAGCAAGCCUAGCAUUACUUUCUUUUGAACUCAUCCCUUCAACCUCCCAAUUUUUUAUCCAACCAUAAAAUUCUUCUAAUUGAGGAAAUUUUUUUAUCGUAAUGGGAGACAUAGAACUAGAACCAAUAUACAGAAGUUUCAAUCUACGAAGUUCAUCCGACAAUUCUUCAGGAAUUUCAAUGGGAGACCGCUGGAGAUAAAGAAGUUCAAGUCUCUUCAACUUUCCAAGAAAAGACGCGUCACUCACAUCACAUCGAAUCAACUGUAGAACUCGGAGGUUUUUGUCGAGGAAUCGAAGCAAUUUUAGUGAAAGGACUCCACCUAUUAUAGUAACAACUUUCAAUGCUGGCAUCCCUUUAAAAAAAUGUUCUGGAAUUUGCAAUUUGUAAUUAUAUACGGUGUUCACCAAUCGCAGAAUAUGAAGGUUAGGGCAUAUCAAACCACUAGGAAGCUCUUCUUCCUUUUUAUCUACGACCAAAGACAUUCCUCUGCACUGUUCCAGGCCUUCUUCCACCCCCUGUUCCACCAUUUCGAUGCCAGUUAUACUAAAAAAUCUCUCCUCUUUCUCCUCCUUUUUGCUUAUCCAUAUGGCUACAUCACGGACUACGUCAUGCAUUUUCACAGAUCUGUCAUUGCCAGUGUCUAACAGCAAUGAAGAAGCUUUGAGCUCUUUCAUCGUUCCACUCAGUAGGCUCCUGACUUUUUCAAUUGCAUCAGCUCGAUACCAUCUCAACCCCACUGCAUAUCCAACCAAAUCAUCCAAAUCUACCUCAUAAUCCUCUGGAAACAAAGAACACAAUAAGAAGCACGACCUGGAAUCCUCACCAUUCAAAUAUUUGUAACUAAAUUUGAGACAAUGGUAAAUGCCUUGGUCCUCCUUGCCAAUACCUUCUAUUGUAUUGAGUUUUGCAUCUUGUAGUUUAUCUAGAGCUAGGUUCCACUCAUCAAAUCCUUUAUCUCUUAGUGCACUUCCAACAGCUUUAAUAGCUAAAGGCAGCCCCUUACAUUCAUCAGCAACCUGUUCUGAAACACCAAUCAAGGUUGAAUCAGCAACAUCAAUGCCAGCAAGCUUUCUUAGUAAAUCCAAUCCUUCUUCUUGUUGGGAAAAUAUGCUCUUUAAAAGCAUAUGUGUUUAUUUAAUUGUAAUAAACAAUUUUUCUGAUUAAUAAAAUAAAUGAGGUAUUUUAUUCAAAUAUCUUAAUUGCAUUAAUAUUUGUAUUAAAGUCCAUUUAAUCAUAUUAUAUGUAUUUAUGUGAUCACCAUGUGGAUUCACAGAAGACAUAAAUACAAGUUAUCUUAUGAUUAAAUAAAUUUAGUUCGCAGUUGAUAAAUAAAGUUGGGCACUUUAUUUAGGUAUAGACUGUAAUAAAUUCAUUGAAUGAUUUGUCUUAAUCAUGUAUGAAUUUAUUGAUGUAGUACGACUACAUUGAACAGGAUCACAUAUGAGAUUUAAUUAACUUUGUAAUAACUGUCAGACUUAUUAAAUCUCAUAGGCGUUGAUUUUACUGUAAUCUUAAUCUUGAGUUAAUUAUGAUUUCAUGAUUGUGAUUGUUAUUUCAUUUGAGUUACCAAUGGGCACGACACAUCCUUGUGGUCAAGAUUACCCGGUAUCUUGGUGGGAGCAAUUAUAAAUAUUGGAGUUAUGGAUUAACAAUAUAGAAUUUGUACAACACAUCUCUUGAUAGGUUUUCGGUACUUGAUCAUAGAAUUCUCUGGCCAGAGUGUGUCAACAUAUUUAGUAUGUUGAAAAUGAUCAUUAGAGAAAACCAGUAAGGAUCAAGGAAUAAGAUGUUAUUAAAUUGAUUGGACAGUUGAGAUAUCAAUUUAAUUAACGAUGUGGUACAAAGGAUUGUGCAGUAAAGAAAUCAAUGUGGCUUGGGACGAAUUAUUAUUCGAGCGUACAAUUAUGGAAGUCGGUUCCAAUCUUUUAGUGGAGUAGAUUUGGAAUUAAAUAAUUGGGCUAGUUUAAUUACAGGCAUAAUUAUUGUAGCCACUAUUGUAUGUUCCCAAAUGAUCCCCGGGUUAGCUCAUUUAAUUGACUGCACCACUACUGGACUAAUAAGCAAGAUAACUAGCUAUUUGGGUCAAAAACCUAAAUAUAUCAUUUAGUGGGAGGCUCCAUUUAAUUAGCUUAUGUGUAAGGGGCCUUAUGUUAUUUUACAUGGUGGGUCCCCUACAAAAUAAAAAGGAACGUGAGUUUUAUUUUGGGCUUUAUUUGGAGCCUAGGGUUUUCACUAAAGGGAGAUAUAUAAGGCUUAUUUUCCCAAAAGAAAAGAGAGAAGCCACUUUAUACAGAUCAGAGAAAAAGAUUUUUCUCUCCAUUGUUGAGAGAAAAAUUUUCUCGUGCUAGUUGCUUUGGUAGUGAUAAAGGCGCCCACACGUCAAGUGCAGAUCGAACCUGAGUCAUAACCUGGAAGAUCAUUGGAGACAGUUCGUGAUCUAACAAGAGUGGUGGUGGCGGAUCGUGAUCUAAGAGCCUAAAUCACUUCAACGGAAAAAGUCCAAUCGGAUUUUCAAGGUACGAUUUCUGGAUUACGUAUUCCUAUAUAUUAUAUGAGAGCGGUCCUUAAAAAGGUUUUAUAAAAUUUUAAAAACCAGAUUUUUCCCCAACACUUCUCGCUUUAGAACACCUAGUUGAAUCUGCGGGUCACAACGCAUGCGAUCACAAACUGGCUGCAGGCGAGUGGUUAGCAGGAUUUUGCAACAAUUGUCUCCAUCACCAACAGGAAUACCUACUGUCUUCAAGUCAAGUUCAUUCCAGACAUCGUCAAGUAUUAUGAGUAUCUUGCUGCUUUUACUCUCAGAAAACAUCAAGCGCAAUCGGUCUGCUCUCUCUUUUUCAUCUUUCUCAUUUAGUGCCCAGCCUAACGACUUUGCCAGCUCACCUUGAACCUUUAUUAUAUCUGGAUCCUGAGACACAGUGGCUAUCCCCACCUCAUCGAAAAUCUUUUCUUGUCGAAGUUGAUUGCCCACAAAGUUUGCCAAAGUCGUCUUUCCGACACCACCGAUACCAUACAAUCCCACCAUCGUCGUGCUAUCUCUUUUUAGUGCUUCAAUAAUCUGAUUGCCAGUCGAUUCUGUGGUCCCGAAAGACAUAAAAUGUCUUGGCAUAUGCAAUUCUUUGUCUGAUGGUAGAGGUUUAGGAAGGGCAACUGCGCUGAAUUUGCAACGAUGUUGCAGUUCGGACAACUUGCUACUCUUCUUUGAUGCUUGUCUACCCAGCCAAUAUUGCCAACCCCAAUUAGGACACCAUCCAUUAAGACAGCUCUUCUUUUCAUCUAUCUUUGCUUUCAAAUUUCGAACAUCGGCCAUUUCUUUGUCCACAUCCUUCAGCCACUUCUCCACAUCUUUCUCGAUUACAAUGGCUCGGUGUAUUUGUCGCUCUUGUUUUACUUUUUCAUUGAUGCCAUCUUGUGCCUCCUUCAAAUUAGUUUCUUUAUCCUCAAGUUCUUUAAUAACGCUGUUGAAACAGAGCAGAUAACGAGCUUGGUUCAUGGUUGCAUCCACCAGCAAUUCUCCAAGCCUUGAUGCAACACCUGACAAAAGUUCCAUGCUAUUUAUCUGCAAUUAAUAAAGUUGAUCUCAGUAAGCUAUAAGCAAAACAAUGAGGCUUGAUCACAAGAUUGAACGAGAAAGUUUAAUUACCUUUUUCUAUUCUGUGAAUGCACGUUUAUUGACACUAGCUUUGACUAGGGAUGGCAAUGGGGCAGAUAUGGGUUGGAUCUACUCUGCUCCAGAUCCAAAUCCAUAAUAAAAAUUAAGAUCCAUAUCUGCUCCAGAUCCGUCAUGAAUCCAUAUUUUUCGCUCCAUAUCCAGAUCCAAAAAAGAAAUAAAUAUCUAUAUCUGCUCCAAAUCCGAAAAAAAAAUAAAAAUCCAAAUCUGCUCUAGAUCUGUCGUGAAUUCUAAAAUUCAUUAAUAAAAAAGUAAUAAUUUUUUAGAUUGAAAAUUGAAGGGUAAAAUGUAUUGAUAACAAAUAAAUUAUAUAAUUUUUCUCAAAAAUAUAAUAAAUAUUGUAGCUUAUACUUUUACACCAAAACAACAAAUAAGUAAUUGCAAGAGUAAGAUCAAUCUAAUAUUCUAUUGUUUCCUUCAUCAUUUAAAUAUCCACGAUACACCUAUCUUCAUUCCUACAACAUUAGAUAAUGACAUAUAAAUUAAAUAUGAUUUAUAUUCAGUCCUUUAUUAUUUUUAUUAUGACCAUAUUUGACUAAAUAUAUGAAUAACUAUAUUCCUUAAAAAUUAUUUGGCCAAUAUAAUAAAAUAAAUUGCCAGGUUAUUUUACUUGGUUUGCAAUUUGAAUAUUGCAUGUACAUGCUUUGGGGCUGGCUGACCUUUAAAUUUACAAAACUAACCUUUAAGUUUUAAGAGUUUAAAUGCAUGGUAAAUACUACUAAUAUGUUAUGAAUAAAAUUUAUUAUCAUUAUAAUUUCACAAUUGUUAAGAAACUUUUAAAAUAAAAUAAAAUUAAAAGAUGAGUGGAUAUGGAUAUGGAUUUAGAUAUUAAGAUAGAUCCAUAUCUGCUCCAGAUCCGUCUUAGAUCCGCACAUCGAUAUCCAAAUCCGAUCCAAAUCCAUUUUAAACCGAUCCAAAUCCGAUCCGAUUGGAUUUGGAUCACGUGGAUCUUGGAUCAGAUCCAAUCCAUUGCCAUCCUUAGCUUUGACCAGUAAGAGCAAAAUGCAAACGCCGAGCUUUAAGUAGCCUUUAGCUGCAAAACAAAAGAGAAGAAAUAAGGUAAUUUAUUAUUAUUAUUAUUUUUAAGGACGGAUAAAGGGUAGCUAGCUUGCAGACAAAUUUAAUAAAAUCAAGACAAACCUAAGAGUUUUCCUAAUUUGUUCAAACAUGGAAUAAGCGUUUCACAACAGUAUAUCCAUAAAGGCCCCAGCGAACGUAAUAUGUGCUGGACUAUAUUGAAAUUAGAUUAUUUUAGAAAAUUUUAAAUAAAAAAUAUCAAACAACAAAGAAAUCUAAUAGAAUCUGGAUAAACAGCAUGGGAGAAUAUGGUAAAAUUGAUCAACUUGGUUCAAAAAUUACAAUUCUUUUUGAGAUUUGAACCAACGAUUUUGACUAAGGUCUCCUAAGCCACAAAGCAUAACUCUUACUACUAAAUUACACGCAUUUUGUUACAUUUAAAUGUGGUCAUAUUCUUUUUAUUAUCUUUUUUUAGAAGGGACUCAUGGUAUACUUAAAAGAAAUAAUAAUGAUUUAGAUGGGGCUGAAGCCCACUCAUGAAAAAAUUUAAAGGUUUUCAAGAUAAUUAACGAUUUUUUUCCAUCCAAUAUUCUAAUAGAAUGGUGCCAGAAUUCUCAAAUAAUAUCUUAAUAUUAUUCAACUAGUUGGCACCCACCUAUUGGAUGAUUAAUUUAAUAAUUUGUUAAAUUAUUUAAUACUCCAUCUCACUAUCUAAUGAUGUAAAUGGUGGAGAAGGAUCGUCUCCUAGACUUUUUUCUCUCACUAAUCUCUUAGUGAAAUAAGUGGCCGAAAUUGAAUUUUAAUUUUUGAUAUUGACAAUUAAAUUGGCUUGUUUCACAUUAUUAACAAUUAAGCCAACUUUUUUUUUCUCAUUUUUUCAAUUAGAUUUGGAAGGCUAUAAGAGAGUAGGAGAGAAAAAACACUAGAAGGAGAUCUUAAUCCAUAAAUAGUACCUUAUUUGGGAUGGUAAAGAUCGAGAUAAAUUUCCUCUUAGUCUCUAAAGUUUUGGCCUAUGCGCAGCCAUAAUUUUAGUAUUUUUAAAAAGAAUGGGAUUAGUUACAUUCUAAAAUUUAUUUUGAAUACUCUUUUACUCAACACACUCAUUCAAUAAAUAAAUUUUAAAAAAAAUAAUUUUUACUUUACACACUAUUUCAAUUGUCAAAACUAUCCUUCAUUAGGACCAUUUCAUUAACUAAUUAUUUUCUAUUGACACCCAUAAAAUAUUCAUCAUUCUUGAACCAUGUGGCGUUAAUUAAUGAUUCCGAAGCAUUAUCAAGAUUCAAGAUUUAUGUUGAAAUUCUUUCAUCAGACAUUUGAACCCAGCCACUAGCUAUAUACAUAUAUACUUUCAAAUGCAGCUCUGGGAAUAUUUUGUGACUGAUUUAUAAAGUGUUUUAGUUACAUUAAUGCAGUGAAACAAUAAAGAGUACGUGGCUUUGCUGAUUUCCAAAUCAAGUUGGGGAAAAAACAGAGCAUUUUUCUUUUAUAAUGGAUUAGAUUAGACGAUGAAGGAAAAAUUAUUAGCGAUAAUUAGUACUUUUGUGUGUGUUUAGAGUAAUAAUAUUAUUUUAAAUUAUAUUAAUGCCUUUGGUAGUGAAUUCAAUUAGGGUUAUUUUAGUAAUAUAAAUUUUCAUUAAAAUUAAAGUGUCCAAAUUAUAAUUUAGAUUUUUCAAAUGUAAAAUAAUAUUUUUUUAUCUGAUAUAAAUUAAAAUUCAAACAAAUGUAUCAUGCAACAAAUGAAAAGUAAAGAAUAUUAAUUAGGUUUUAAUAGAAACAAAUAUAAAUAGAUGUUUUGAGUAGUUAAUUUUUGUUAUUUUAUGCUAUUGGUAGUUUGUGGAUUAAAUAAUUUGUAUAAGGAUAAAUGGGGGUUUGUAUAAUUUAUACGAAGAUAAUCUCCAGAUAAUCUCCAAAAUAAGCUUAUAUGUCGAAUUUAAAAGUGUUAUAUAAGUAGUAAUCGUAUAUGCAUCAAAAUUUUUAAUAAAAUUUAUUUAGAAAUUGGCCAAUUGGGUUUUAUGAAGAAAAUAGACGGGCAAGUAAUUAUGUAACAAGUAAUUUGUAGGUUGUGGUACUUCUCCAUACUUCAAAUCACUUUUAUCUAAUCAAUUGAUAAAUAUUUUUUGGGCUCCAAUAAAAUGAAAAGAAAAAGUUAAAAAUAAUUCUGAAAUUAAAAACGUUAGGUACUGCCUAUAAGCUAUACAAUUUUACCUUUUCUUCUAUCACAAUUAGUAUUAGAAAUAAAAAUAGUUUCCAAAUAAAUGUAAUUAGGAGGUAAUAUUAUCUCAACAAUACCUUAUAGGGAAAAAGACAUCUACAUCCUAAAGUUCGGAGAAAUGGUCGUAAAGACCCCAGGUUUUCAGAAAGGGAUAUCAAAACCCUUUUUUGACCGUAAUACCCUUUAAAUCUAGUAAUUAGAAAAUUGUCUUUAAGAUUUUUUAAUUGACAAAUUUAAUAUAAAUAAUAUAAUCUAUCUAGUAGAUUAAUAAUAUUAACAAUAAAAAUAAUAUUAAAAUUUAAAUUCUUAUAUUUAUUUUAAUAAUAUAUUUUUAUUUAUUAUAAAGAUUUUAAAUAAAUCCUUGGGUUAAAUAGGUUUUCUAGUUAACAAAAUAUACCCCUAUUAAUAAUAUUGAAAUUACUUUCUACAUAAUAUUUAAAAUAAUUAUAAUUUAUUUAUUUUAAUAUUAUGUUUCUAUUUAUUAUUAAAAAUUACUUUAUUAGAGUAAAUUUUUAUUAAUUAAAGCUUUAAAAUCAAUUUUCUAAUUACUAAAUUAAAAGGGGAUUAUGGUCAAAAGGGGUCUUUCCUUUUUGAAAACUUAGGGUUUUUGCGACCAUCUCCCCAAACUUUGGAAUAUAGGUGUCCUUUUCCUGACUUCAUAUAAAGAUAUUCCAUAAGGUCUUAUAAUAACUUAUAUUAUAUGAAUUUAAUUAAAAGAUCAUUAAUACUUAAAUAAUAAUAAUUAUAGAAGACAUUGUAAUAAAUUAUUUGAUAUAUAUUAUUAAUGAUACUAUAUGUAUGUGUAUAUAACUACAUGAUGGCUUGGAUAUAUAUUGUUAGUGGUAAUAAAUUUUUUAAAAAAAAUUAAACUAAUGAUUUCAUGUGAUUCAAUGGUGGAUAAUUUAAAAUCAUAAAAUAUUAUUUUGACUUUCAAUAUUAACCGUUAGACUGUGAGAAAUUAAUUGCUCAAUAUUUUUUGUUAAAGUUUUAAAUUAAAAUAUCCCAAACCAUUUGUUUUACUUAAAAUACAAAAAAUAUAUAAAGAAAAUUUCUCAUUAAUUUUCAUAUUUUUAUUAGAGGUAAUAUUUUAUGUAUCGUCACCAUUAAUUGCCAUCAUUAAAGUAGUGACUCUCGGUAAUAUAAAAUUUUAUAAUUAGUUAAUUGCAAUCAAAUGAUAUCAAUAAAAUAAUAUUUCAUGAUUCAUAAAUUAAAGCUAAUUAAGAAUAUAUGUUAGUUUUAACUUUUAUGAAAUCAACUAAGUGAUAUUAGAAAAUAAAAUGAAAAUAAACUAGUGAAACUUAAAUUUUAUAAGGUUUGAAUAAUUUUCUACUAUGUAAGAAUAUUAAUUGUGACAUAAACCAUAGUUUCAUGGUAUAUGUAUGCCAAAUGGGGUAACAAAUAAUAUAUACUUCAUGAUCAUGAUAGUAUAUAAAGUAGUGGAUAUUUUAAUAUAUAACAUAAAAUUCUUUAAGACAUAGGUGGUCAAUUAUAUAUUUUUUAGGAUAUAGACAAUCUCAAUCAAGAGUUUAUUGAUGUGAAUAGAUGGCAUUCUCUUAAAUGUAUGUACUUAAUUGUGUUGUUUAUUGGUAUUAGAUACUCACUUAAAUGUAUAUACUUAAUUUUGUUGUUUAUUGGUAUUACAUGUAACAAAAUUUUAUAUUAAAUUUUGAAGUUUUAUAUUGUUGUUUCUAUUGAAUUUAUAAAUACAAUAAAAUUAUGGCCAUCAACAAUCACAACCAACUGCCACCAACAAUUAGAUUCUCAUAUCUGUUGACGACAAUUUUUUAUACUAUUGGAACUCCAAUCUUUGAUGCUACACAAUAGUUAAAGUACCGACAUCAAUAGAAUUUCCGUUCAUUGUAGAUCUAUAGUCAAAGUUUCGAAUCUUAAAAAUUUGACAGCAGAUUUAUGUCAAAUGAAAGCUUGUUACCAGUGAUUCUUAUACAAUUAUGUUGUUAUAGUAAUAAGGAUUCUAAUGGUACUAAAAUGCACUCCAUUAGACAUAAAGAUCCGACGACUAGUGGCGACAAUAACUAUCAUUAGUGACUUGGAGGUAAUUGCUGUUAAUAAAUUAUUUUUUAACUUAAUAAUUAAUACAAACAAAUAAAAAAGUAAUUUAAUGAAAAUUAAUGUAAUAAAUAAUUGAAUUAAAAAAAUUAAAACCUAAAUUCUCGACCAUUUAUCCGUAUGUUUCAAAUCCAACGUUCAAAAUUGGAAUAAAACAUAGUAUAGCCAUUGGAAGUAAAACAAACAUUAAAGAGACUAGGAAAAAAAUAUCUCAUACCUUCUAUAAUGAUACAUCCUCAAUCACUGCAGAAAGCUCCAAUUAAAAAGUCGCACAAGUUCGGAGAAAAUUACCUAACAACACAAAUAAACAUCAAAUCAAAGCAACAUAGGAUCCAGCUAAUUAACAUCAUAAGUAAGUCCUUGUUCUCAGUCAAAUGUUGCAUUCUUAGGAUAAAAUAAAAAAAAAAUUGAAAGAAUAACGGUAACUAGAAAGUUUGACGACAUAAAGAUCUAGCUAAAUUUUAAGAAGCAAAAGUAAAUAAUGAAAGCUCAAUAAAAGAUCAUCAGCAUUAACAUACCGAAAUGAGAGCAGCUCACAGAACUGGUAAUUUCCAAGAACGGGAAAAAUAAGUGAGCUGAUAUUGAGGACAACUAAAGUAGUCAUGGAGUAAUUUGCUAUUGAGGACACCUAAAAUAAGAAAAUUAAUUAACAUUGCUCUAUACACCAUUUCAAUAAUUUGACUAUUAAAAAAAAAAUCUAUCUAGAUCACGAUUUCUCAAAAUGAUACUUUUUCUAAUUAAAUAAAUCAAAAUGCUUGCUUCUUUCUUUUUCAGAAAAGAAAAAGUGGCAAUGGCAUCAAUUUUUUUGCUAGAUUAUUAUCACCAAAAGCACAAGCAAGGAAUAAGAAUACUCUCUGAAACCAACCAUGUAAAGAGUAGAAGUAAGUGGUCAAUUGUAAAUUAGUCUUUCUUUUUUCUUUGUUAUUUUUUCAUUUUUUGAAUGUGAACUAAAUAAAUUUAAGGGUGAAGCUAUUACACCUUGAAAACUAUAACUGAACACCCAUUUUUUUAAUUAAAUUUUUAUUACUAAAAUAACCAUGGAGUAAUUUGCUACUAAGGAAAACUAGAAUAAUAAAAUGAAUAAUGAUUGCUCUAUACACCCUUUUCUAAGUCUAUCUUCUUCUUAAUUUCAUAAUUUGGCUGUCAAAAAGUAAUCUAUCUAGAUCACGAUUUCUCAAAAUGAUGCUUUUUCUAUCUAAAUAAAUGAAAAUGCUUGUUUCUUUCUUUCUCGAAAAGAAAAAGUGGCAAUGGCAUCAAUUUUUGCUUGCAAGCACAGCGAGGAAUCAGUAUAAUCUCGGAAACUAACCAUAUUAAGAGUAGAAAUAUUUAUUUGGUUAUCACGAAGUAAGUUAGAAAUCAAUUAUAAAUGGUCUUUUUUUAUUUUUUAAUGUGAACUAUAUAAAUUUAAGGUGAGGUUAUUUACACUUUGAAAAACAUUCUGAAAACCAUUAUUUCAUUAAAUUUUUUAUUAUUAAAGGUCCGUUUGGGGCAGCUACGUUGAAGCAGCGCAGCUGCCCCAAACGCUCUCUAAAAUAGCCAUGGAGUAAUUUCUUACUGAGGAAAACUAGAAUAAUAAAAUCAAUUAUCAUUCUUCCAUGAACCCGUUUCUAGAUGUAUCUUCUUCUUGAUUUGGUAACUUGGCUGUCAAAAAGAAAUCUAUCUAGCUCACGAUUCCUCAAAAUGAUGCUUUUUCGGAUGAAAUAAAUGAAAUUGAACCUACGUACAAUCUGUCACAAACACGUUAUAAUGAGCCUAAUGAAAAGCAGUAUGAGAAAUUUUGCUUCCAUGUUGUUUCUUCCAUAUGUAAAGGUAGUAAAAAGAAAUUUAAGUCCUAGAAACAAAUGGAUGAAGAAUUAUCAAUAAUUAAAAUUAAAAAAAGAAACAGAGUUAUAAAAGAAUCACAGUUCCACCAAAAAUUAAGAGUUAUUUUAUUUGGUGGUUUCCUAUCCCGAAAGCAUUACUUGUAAAUAUGUGCUAACAAGUAAUAAUUAAGAAAGUUAAGGCCAAUCAUUUAGAAGGGAGAAAAAUGGAAACAUCCGGAAUAUUGUUAUGUGUUUUCAGUGCGUAUCUACCAAUCAAUAAUGAAAAAUUAAAUACGCAUGUGACGAAAAUUUAAUAAAGAGAACUGGAGGUGACAAAAUUUUUAUUAUUCUAUCUUUCUCUCCUCUGAAACUUCCUUAAUUUGGUUGGGAAGUGCUUUGUCUUAGGCAGUGGAUCUGUUAUAAAUACCCUAUGCUAAAGUUAAUAUUUUGAUUGAAGAAAAAAAUAGAGGAGAAAAAUUUUAUUAAAGUAUAACAUAAUUUGAUAAAUUUAGAAUUGAGGAGAGAAAAUGAGUCUAAAUUCGAAAAUUUUGGCACUAUUUACAUAUCAUUAUUUGGGCAAAAAUUCAUUUCUCUGCUUUCAUAUGAUUUGGUCUUUCAUUGUUACGGUGCCAAUUUUUUAUUUAAAGAUGUAAGAUAGUGGUACUAUAGCUUAGAUUUUCCGUAAUUACUACAUGGUAAGUACAAAAUAAAAUACUAGUUUAAAAUAUAAAAAUGAAAAACUAUUUUUAUAACCAAUAUUCAAUUAAAUACACUUGAAACUCUAUUUUUUCUUAAUAAAAAAAUUCUAAUUUAUUUUCUCAAUUUAUCUAAACAACUUUACCUAAUCAAGCUAAAUCUACAUAUUACCCUAAACCUUAAUUCAUAAACACCCAAUCAAUCCAAUUGUUAAAUCCGAUUUCAUAAUUAAAAAAGCUAAAUUCUAUUUUAUUAUUUAUGGUGCAAAGUAAAAAAUGCCCUUGAAGUUAAGGGUAAAAUUGAUAUUUUAUUUAAAUUUUGUUAAUAUUCUAAUAAUGUUAAUGUCUUAGUGGUUAAUAAAAUCACAAAGUCAAACUUUUGUAGUAUUUUUUAUAAUAAGUUAAAGAUAUAUGUUUGAUAAUUUUCCUACGUCUUUUUACGUUAAAUUGAGUCUCAAGAGAAAAAUGAUUAAUUUGCUACAAUUCUGUCAGUUUUCUGAUGGAAGAUAAUGAUACAAUGAAUAAAUAAUACAAAUUAUUAAAUUGAUGUUGAUGAAUGAUACAACUUGAAAAUAUUGUAGUAUUCUUAAUAGUAGAGAAAUGUAAAGGUGGAUGGUUGAUAAUUUAAUGAAGUAACUACAGAAUUUUCCUUUCAAAUAUUUUUUUAAAAUAUAUAAUGAGUAAAAAUCAUUUUACAGAAUGAUCAUACGCAUUUUGUAUCACAAACGAAAACAUGAACCAACUAUGUAUAGAGUCAAUUAACUGAAGUUCUCAAGAGUUGACCUGUGCUCCUGAAUUCUUGGAAUCAUAUAUCUCCUUCUGAAUUUCCACGAAGCCUGGGACAAUUAUUAACAUAUACAAACUUGGCAGAUGGAAAUGGGAUCUGAUAACCCGUAGGCCAAAAGUUGGUGAGGUUUGGUAAAUCUGACAGUAUCAACUCCCCAAGUUCAUUCAUAACAAUUUCAUUGUACUCCGUGACGUCUGCUCCAUCUUUAUGCCAGAAUACUUCUUCUAAUUCAUCAUUACCUAUUAUCCAUAUGUACUUCAGUUUUUGAAGACUUGGAGCUACGCUGAUAUGAAAUAGAUGCUUUAGUUUGGGGCAAUAACCGACAGAGAUCCUUUUGAGUUUUGGGAAACAUACAGGUUGGAGAUGAUCCUCAUCCUCAUCCUCAUCAAUGAUUUGCUCUAAUUCGAAGCAAUUCCAAACAUAUAACGCCUCCAAUUGUAACAGAUUUCGAGCAAAUGUUGAUGAGAAGAGACGUCUCAGCAUAGUGCACCCGUCCACUGUUAAAUAGGUAAGACUUUGCAGGCCAAAAUUAUGCGUGGGACCUACGUGAUAUAAUACUUGCAGUUCUCGAAGGCUUUCCAACUGCACCUCCUUCAAACAUGGGAAUAGUUUGUUUUCUUGUCCCUCAGCGAUAAUAGCUUCCAAUUGAAAUACCACAUGUACUCCCAGUCGUCUAAUACCCAAUUCUUCCAAAUUUUUUAAGCCGUGCUUCAACAGUGCUGGAAUCGUGUCACUCAAAUGGGAACAAUUGUCCACAUAUAGAAUUUUUAAGUUCUGAGACAAAUAAAUAAAUAACUUGAUGCAAUUAAAAUUUAUUAGCAGCUAGGAUUAUCACAUGAUAAGUGAUGAACACCGCAAAAAACAAAAAACAGAAAACAAAAUCCAUACAAAAAUAUCAUAAUACAUAUGUAAACUAAUAAAAUAAUUAAAAACUAAUGGAUUUAAAAAAAAAAUGAAAUUAGGUAAAAGAGAUCAUGUGAAUUGAUAUAAACGUGACAUUAGAUUGUUUUAGAAAAAUUAUUAUUCUAUUAAUUUAUAUGGCUUGAUCAACUAUUUAAUUGAAUUUGAAUAAUAUUAUAUACACUUCAGAAGUAUUUGCAUCAAUUCUUUCUAAACCAAAAUGAGAUGUGAUUUUCAUUUGAAGAAUGAUUUUAGGUCUUAUAAUAAAGAAAUUUCUCCAAAAUAUCUGAGCAUUAUUAUUAUCACCACCACAUCCACCACCAUCAUCAUCUCCAUAGGAUCAAAAGUUUAAUGGCUGAUCAUAAAAUUUAUUGCUAAACUAUCAUUUUGAGUAAAAUUGAAUGAAAAGAAAAAACAUGAACCCAAACAAACAUACCUCUUUGAGAUACUGCAAAUUGGCUUCAAGUUCAUUACUGUUGAUGGUCAAGUUGGGACAGUUAUGAAGGUCUAAAUUUUCCAAUGCUGUCCAAAUUGAACAAUAAUUCUCUGAACAGAACUUGGUGAGUUCUGGGAGAUCUUUAAGUUUUAAUUUUCUCAACAAAGGGAGGGCGAGCAUCGUAUUUCCAUCUCCGACACUUAUUCCCCCUUCAUUGUGAUCAAACUUUGCUUCGACAAUAUAUUCCAGUCUCUCGCAAUAAGUCACAAUGAGACUUUUAAGCUGCUCCAAACUUCUAGCUUGUGACAACGUGAAGAUUGAAAAAUUGAAUCGAAAAUGCUGUUUGGUUACUAAGAAAACAGAGAGAAAUAUGAUGAAUAUACUGGAUUGUUUAUUAAUAAUAACAAAUGAGUAAAACUCCAGACUUUAUAUAGUUACAUAUUUUGUUAGUAAAAGCUAUAUCAACUAAUCUAUAUUACUCUGAAAUUUAACUAACUAAUCAGUAAGAGGUUAGCUAAUACUAACUAACUGCAACACACGUGAGCUCUCAUUGUUGUUUAACAGAAUCAGCUGACUCAGCAUUGUUGACGUGGCAUUGCUGAUGAACCUUAGCUUCUGACUUCCUCUCUUUUCUCAGUUCAGCACAAUGAGCUUUCUUCACAGCCCCUCUCAAACUCAAGGGGCAUAAAUGCACAUUAAGUUUGUCUCUCAGAUAGGUGAACUGAGUAGAGUUUAAAGGCUUAGUCAUUAUGUCUGCUAUCUGCUCUGCACUGGGAACAUAGAGAAUCUUAAGAUCUCCAGCUAGAACCUUAUCUCGGAUAAAAUGCAGAUCAAUUUCUAUGUGUUUUGUUCUUGAGUGAAACACUGGAUUAUAAGCAAGUUCUUUGGCACUCACAUUGUCACACCAUAUAACUGGUUUCUCCACACAACAUAAACCAAUCUCAAGAAAUAAGGAUUUUAACCAUGUUAUCUCUGAAACAGCUGCUGCAAGUGCUCUGUAUUCACUCUCUGCAGAAGAUUUUGUAACUACAGAUUGCUUCUUUGAGGACCAUGAGAUUAAAUUGUUCCCUAGAUACACACAAUAGGCACCAGUGGAUCUUCUGUCAUCAAGAUCACUUCCCCAAUCUGCAUCUGUAAAUGCUGUAACCUUCAACUCACCUUCUUUAACAAAUUUCAGCCCAUAGUCUUGUGUUUCCUUAAGAUAUCUAAGCACACGUUUACAAGCCAUAAGAUGUUGAAGUGUUGGUGAAGCUACAUACUGACUUAGCUUAUGAACAGAGUAGGCAAUCUCAGGUCUUGUCAAAACUAAAUACUGGAGGCCUCCUACUAUGCUUCUGUAAUGAGAUGGAUCUUCUAUGUAGUAACCCAUUUCUCCUUCAACACUCUUCUGCAAUCUGUAAUCUUUGCUGCUGCUCAUUGGUGUGUCUAUUCCUUUACACUCGAGCAUAUCAACUUUAGCCAGCAGAUCUCUAAUAUACUUCCUUUGUGAUAGAUAUACACUAUCAGUAUCAUACAAGACUUCUAUUCCAAGGAAGUAAGAUAGCUUUCCCAGAUCCUUUAAUGCAAAUGCAGAACUAAAUAGCUUGAUAAAAUCUUCCAGCUCAUCACCAUUUGAUCCUGUAAUCAAUAUAUCAUCUACAUAUAUCAGGAUUAAAAUAAUUGAUCUUUUAUUCUUCUUCAAGAACAAAGAUGAAUCAGACUUUGAGUUCUCAAAUCCCCAUUGCAUAAGACUGUUUCUCAGCUUGUCAAACCAUGCUCGUGGAGCUUGUUUCAAACCAUAGAGUGCCUUGUGAAGUUUGCACACAAAAUCAGGCCUUUUGGAAUCAAUAAACCCUUCUGGUUGACUCAUAUAUACCUCCUCAAUUAGAUCUCCAUUUAGGAAUGCAUUAUUUACAUCAACCUGUCUUAUUUGCCAUUGAUUCAUUACUGCUAAGCUUAGGACCACUCUAACUGUUGCUGCUUUCACCACUGGACUGAAAGUCUCAAAGUAGUUAACUCCUUCUAUCUGCUGAAAUCCUUUAGCAACCAACCUUGCCUUAUAUUUUGCAACACUUCCAUCAGUGUUUGAUUUUACUCGAAACACCCAUUUGUUACCAACAAGUUUGUGAUGUUCUGUUCUUGGCACAAGUGUCCAGGUACCAUUUGACAUCAGUGCAUCAUAUUCAGUCUUCAUUGCUUGAAACCAUCUCUCAUCAUUUAUAGCCUCCUGAGCAGUAUCUGGUUCUUUAUGCAACAAUACUGCAGUAUAUACCUUUGGUUUAAAGAUACCUGCUUUCCCUCUAGUGAUCAUAGGAUGUUGGUUUAAUGGUGGUGGGGUUAUCACUGUCUGAUUGAGAUGAGAGGUAUUAUUAUUGUGUUGGUUUUGGGAAAUUUCAUCUGAGGGCUGAUCUAAUAUUGUAUCAGGUACAGAAGGCAACACUGUAGGUGCAGAUGAAUUAUUUCUAUCUGUGUUUGAGGGUUGCUGAUCUGUUACCUGUGUUGAGACUACUGCUGGAGGGAAAAUGUUGCCACUGGAGUAUGCUUGAGAAAAAGAUUCAUUGCUGGUGACUGAAAGAUCUGAUAUGACAGGUAAUGUUGACAACUGAAAAACUUGAAUAGGAGUAAUUGUGCAAUAUGUAUCAGACUUAGAUUUAUCUGAAGGAUGAAAGCUAGGAUCUGAAGCAAAUGGAUAUGAGUAUUCAUCAAAAACAACAUGCCUAGCUAUAUAUAUAUGACCAGAGGGAUGAAAACACUUAUAACCUUUAUGAAAUGGGCUGUAACCAAGAAAGAUGCACUUGGUUGUGUGAUAGUCAAACUUAUGCUUAUUGUAAUCUCUCAGAUAUGGAUAACAAGCACAUCCAAAGCAUUUCAGCAUGGUAUAAUCAGCUUUGUGUUUGUAAAGUUUUUCAUAUGGAGUGGUCAUCUUAAGUGCAGAAGUAGGGAGUCUAUUAAUGUGAUAAACUGAGGCAUGAAAAGCAUCCCACCAGAAUUGAAAAGGGAGUUUGGCUUGAGCUAGAAGUGUCAAUCCUAAUUCUACAAUCUGUCUGUGUUUCCUCUCAACAAGGCCAUUUUGAUGGUGAGUGUAAGGGCAAGAAUGUCUAAAGAGAAUGCCACAUUCAUUUAGGAAGGCAGUGAAUGGCCUGUAUUCUCCCCCCCAGUCAGAUUGGAGAAUUUUGAUAGUUGUUUGAAAUUGAUUUUCAACUUGAAGUUUAAACAGUUUGAACACUUCUAGAGCUUCUGAUUUCAGUUUCAAAGGAUAAAUCCAGGUGUAUCUUGUAUAAUCAUCCACAAAGCUAAUGUAAUAUCUAAAACCAUCUCUAGAACAUGCUGGUGAGGGACCCCAUAAAUCAGUAUGAACAAGUUCUAGUGCUGAUUUGGAUUUUAUAUCUGUAAUUGGAAAGUGGAGUCUGUGAAAUUUUCCCAGCUGACAUGCUUCACAGAAAUGCUUUGUUGCUUGAUUAACAAUAUUUGUAGAGCACAAAUUAGGAUGCACAAGCUUAAGUAAAUGAAUUAGACUUUGAGUAUUAGGAUGACCAAAUCUUUUGUGAAACAAAGACAUUUUAUUGAAUGAAUCAGUGCUACAAGUGUUCUUAUUGGACUGAGAAUAUUUUCCAGAACAAUGACUAUUGACUGAAGUGCUGAAAUGACACUGAGAUAGCAUAGAUACAGGCUUAUUUAUUGAACUCUGGGAUAGAAAAGAUGUAUAUGUAGGUUGUGGUGAUGAACUCAGCUGCGAUUUGUAUAAACCUUUCUCAGCAAUACCAAGUAGCAGAAUUUUCCCUUUCAGUAUAUCCUUCACAAAGCAAACAGAACCAAGAAAUUCAACAGAUAAGUCAUUAUCAGUGGUGAGUUUAGAAACACUUAUUAGGUUCUUUGUAAUAGAUGGAACAAGCAGUAUAUCUUUAAGUGCAAUGCAUGUACUAGCAGAUUGUGUUUUAGAGCUUUGAACUUUAAAAUUGGCAUUACCAACAUGUGUGAUUGACAGACCUUUACCAUCACCAAUGAUAAGCUUGUCAUUACCUCUGAACUCACUGCUGACAUGCAUAUUUGCCAUAUCAUUUGUCAGAUGGUGUGUAGCUCCACUGUCAAGAUACCAUCCUUCAUCUGCUGGUCCUUCAAAGUUAGCAGCAUAAGCAGCUCCAGCUCCAGCCACAGGCAAGCUCAUUGAAUCAGAUAUGUAUGAAGAACAUGGUGAUUAUACAUGUGAGGUAUUCCUGAAUAAGCAGCUGUAGCAGGCCAUGAAUCUUCAGAAGGUGCAGUAAGGUAUGUCAUAUAGGCUGAUCUCUGAUUUCUUCCUCUUUUCAUGUGUUGAGGCAUAUAGUUUUCUUCAAACCUAUGCCAACAUUCAGCUGCUGUGUGUCCAGUUUUAAAGCAGAUUUGACAAACAACAGAUUGUUCAUCACUACCAUCAGGAUUUGACAAACCAGAGUUAAUACUAUAUUGUCCUCUCAUGAAUUGUGUCUGCUUAUUGUUGUUUCCAAUCAUUUGACCUCUACCAAGAUUAUUACCAAAAUUUCCAGAUCCAGAAGGAAAUCCUCUUGGAUGAGAAUUGAUAAACAUUCCCCUUCCAGUAUGAAAAUUAUUCCUUCCAAAUUGAUUUCCACCAUGAAAUCCUCCAUUAUAUCCACCUCUUCGAGCAUUACCUCUUGUUUGAGCAUAAUAAGUAUUCAUCAUACCAUAGCUAUUGUUAUUAUGAGAAACAUUAGCAAGAUUUGCAUUGAGCAUCUGUUUUUCAUUUAGACUCUGUUCUAAUCUUGUUUCAUGUGUCAAUAGCAAUGCAUAUGAAUCAUCAAAAUCCAGCUUACUUGCAGUAAUGAAAGUUGCUAAAUCUAGAUAGCCUGGUCCAAGACCAUUAAGAAUCUGUUGUAACAGAUCUUUAUCAGAAACUGGACUACCAGCACAGGUUAAUUUGUCAGCUAUUUGUUUCAUUUUCAAACAAUAAUCCUCUAUAUUUAGCGAAUCUUUUCUCAAAACACUCAUCUCAUAUUUGAGUUGAAGAACUCUACCUUCUGAUUUUGCACCAAACUUUUUCUCCAAAGUUUUCCACACAUCAUAUGCAGUAUUACAAGAAUGAACAUGACUGAGAAUACCUUCAGUAAUUGAGCUUAAUAGCCAGCUUAGUAAUGUCUGAUCCUGUGAUCUCCAGAUCGUGUAUUCUGGAUUUUCAACUUGUUGUGAAACUCUUCCCAUUGUUUCAGCAUAGCUUCCAGAAGUAAGAAACUGAGUAGGUGCUGCUUUUUCUCCAUUGAUAUAGCCUUCGAGUCUGUUUCCUCUUAUGGAAGCUAAUACUUGAUUUCGCCAGAGCAUAUAAUUGGAUCUAUCCAAUUUGAUUGGCGUAAUAAAUGAAAAGGUAGUUUGUAUUGAUUGAUUCAUGUUUGUUGCGUUUGGAUUUGUGUUUAAAUUGCUUGAGCUUGCCAUAUUUCUGGCUCUGAUACCAUGAAAAAUUGAAUCGAAAAUGCUGUUUGGUUACUAAGAAAACAGAGAGAAAUAUGAUGAAUAUACUGGAUUGUUUAUUAAUAAUAACAAAUGAGUAAAACUCCAGACUUUAUAUAGUUACAUAUUUUGUUAGUAAAAGCUAUAUCAACUAAUCUAUAUUACUCUGAAAUUUAACUAACUAAUCAGUAAGAGGUUAGCUAAUACUAACUAACUGCAACACACGUGAGCUCUCAUUGUUGUUUAACAGAAUCAGCUGACUCAGCAUUGUUGACGUGGCAUUGCUGAUGAACCUUAGCUUCUGACUUCCUCUCUUUUCUCAGUUCAGCACAAUGAGCUUUCUUCACAAAGAUGUAUGUCAACUUGUUGCACAUAUGCACAUUCAAUUCUGUAAGAGUUUGGAGACUGAUCGCAUGUUGGGCGGGCGCCUUCCAUAUCCACUUCAGUUCUGGUAAUUGCAACAUAAAUAACUCUGCUAAUCUUGCGAGACUCUUCCCAUGCGGCGACUUAGAGGCAUCCAUUAUGCAUUCUAAAUCUUUGCAAUCGCGGACAUCAAGACAAGUCAACUCAUUUAAGCCCCUUUCAUCUAUGCUUGGCACAAUAUUGUGACAACCUAUAAUCCCACUCAAAUAAAGAAUUUCCAGUUCUUGAUACAAUGCCGAAAAAAUAACGAGCGAGGUCGCUUCAGGAGGGUAAUUAUUAAUUAUUAAGCUCUUUCUCUGACUAACAUAUUUCAUUUUAUCAACAACUCCUUCAACUUUAUAGAUGAUGUACCUUUGCAAUUUCGGGAAUGUAAAGUCUUUUGGAAGACAUACAACAGAUCCGUCGGCUUGGGAGUUCAACUCAGCAAGCCUAGCAUUACUUUCUUCUGAACUCAUCCCUUCAACCUCCCAAUUUUUUAUCCAACCAUAAAAUUCUUCCAAUUGAGGAAAUUUUUUUAUCGUAAUGGGAGAAACAGAACCGGUAUCAAUAAAUAGAAGUUUCAAUCUACGAAGUUCAUCCGACAAUUCUUCAGGAAUUUCAAUGGGAGAAUCCUCGAGAUAAAGAAGUUCAAGUCUCUUCAACUUUCCAAGAAAAGAUGCGUCACUCACAUCACAUCCAAUCAGCUGCAGAACUCGGAGGCUGCUGGCGAGGAAUCGAAGCGAUUUUAGUGAAAGGACUCCAUCUUUUAUAGUAACAACUUUCAAUGCUGGCAUCCCUUCAAAAAAAUGUUCUGGAACUUGAAAUUUGUAGUCACAUAGAGUAUUGUCCAAUCGCAAAAUAUGAAGGUUAGGGCAUACCAAACCACUAGGAAGCUCUUCUUCUUUAUUUCCCAUUACAAAGAUUCCUCUGUAUUGUUCCAGGCCUUCUUCCAUUGCCCAUUCUGCCAAUCCAAUGCCAACUUUACCAAAAAAUUUCUUCUCCACUAGUACUUCUGACCCUAUCCAUAUGGCUACAUCACGAACUAUGUCAUGCAUUUUCACAGAUCUGUCACUACCAGUGUCUAACAGCAGUGAAGCAGCUUUGAGUCCUUCAAUUGUUCCACGCAGUAGGCUUCUGGCGUGCUCUAUUGAUUCAGCUUGAUACCAGGUCAGCCCCACUACAUAUCGAACCAAAACCUCCAAAUUAAUCUCAUAAUCUUCUGGAAACAGUGAACACAACAAGAAGCAUAACUUGGAAUUGUCAUCAUUCAAAUUGUCGUAACUAAAUUUGAGACAACCGUAAACGUCUAGGUUCUCCUCAUCAAUACCUUCUAUUGCAUAGAGUUUUGCAGCCUUUAGGUUAUGUAGAGCCAGGUUCCAUUCAUUAAAUCUUUUUCCUCUUAGUGCACUUCCAACAGCUUCAAUAGCUAAAGGCAGCCCCUUACAUUCUCCAGCAACUUCUUUGGAAACAUCAUUCAACGUGGAGUCAUUUACAUCAAUGCCGGCAUUUUGUCGCAGUAAAGCCAAUCCUUCUUCUGGCGUUAGUGUACUAAGUGGAAUCUGUGUGUCACAACCCAAAGAAUCAAAAACUGACUUUUUGCGAGUGGUUAGAAGGAUUUUGCAACAAUUAUCUCUACCACCGACGGGAAUACCUAAUUUUUUCUCCGAGUCGAGUUGUUUCCAAAUAUCAUCAAGGAUUACGAGGAUUUUGCUGCUUUUACUCUCAGAAAACAUCAAGCGCAAUCGGUCUGCUCUCUCUUUUUCAUCUUUCUCAUUUAGUGCCCAGCCUAACGACUUUGCCAGCUCACCUUGAACCUUUAUUAUAUCUGGAUCCUGAGACACAGUGGCUAUCCCCACCUUAUCGAAAAUCUUUUGUUGCCGAAGUUGAUUGCCCACAGAUUUUGCCAAGGUCGUCUUUCCUACACCGCCGAGACCAUGCAAUCCCACCAUCUUUGUGCUGUCUUUUUUCAGUGCUUCAGUGAUCUGAUUACAAGCCGAUUCUGUAGUCUCGAAAGAAGAAAAAAAUCUUGGAAUAGGCAUUUCUGUGUCUGAUGGUAGAGGUUUAGGAAGGGCAACUGUGCUGAAUUUUCCGCGGUCUUGUAGAUCGGACGACUUGAGAGUCUCCUUUGAUGCUUUUCUACCCAUCCAAUAUCGGAAACCCCAAUUAGGACACCAUCCAUUAAAACAACUCUUCUUUUCAUCUAUCUCUGCUUUCAAAUUUCGGACAUCGGCCAUUUCUUCGACUACAUCCGCCAGCCACUUCUCUACAUCUUUCUCAACUACUACAGCGCAAUGUUUUUGUCGUUCUUCUUCUACUUUUUUGUUGAUGCCAUCUUGUGCCUCCUUCAAAUUAGUUUCUUUAUCCUCAAGUUCUUUAACAAUGCUGUUGAAACAGAACAGAUAGCGAGCUUGUUUUACGGUAGCAUCCACCAAUAAUUCUACAAGCUUUGAUCCAAUACCUGAUAAAAUUUCCAUGCUAUUUAUCUGCAAUUGACAAAGUUGAUCUCAGUACACUAUAAGCAAAACAACAAGGCUUGAUCACAAGAUCGAACGAUAAUGUUUAAUUACUUUUUUAUUGAAUGUUUAAUUACUUUCUUUUAUUAUAUGAAUGCACGUUUAUUAACGCCAGCUUUGAUCAAUAAGAGCAAAAUGCAAACGCCAGGCUUUAAGUAGCCUUUAGCUGCAAACAAAAGAGAAGAAAUAAGGCAAACGUGAUAGAUGGUGGAUUAUAUUGAAAUUAGAUUACUUUAGAAAUUUUUAAAUAAAAAUAUCAAACAACAAAUUUAAUAAUAGAAUCUAGAUAAAUCGAAGAGUUUGUUGUGCAUUGCGAGUGAAGACAGGCAGUUACAUGGGGGAAUCUUGUAAGAGUGAUGAAAAUUAAAAAGCCAUCCAUAAUUGAAGUUAAAAAGAGUAUUAGAGAUUAGAGGGGUUCAACAUCUUAUGCAAGCUCACUCAUGAUAAAAUUUGAAGAUAAUUAUCCCAUUUUUACUUCAAUCAAUAUUCUAAUACAAUAAUUCCAUAAAUCUCAAAUAAUAUCUUAAGAUUUUUUUUUUUCCUCAAAAUUACCAUUAAAAGUAAAACAAACAUGAAGCUAAGAGCCUAUGAAACAAUAAUAUCUCAUACCUUCUUUCUCAUAGAUCCUCAAUUACCCCUGAAAGCUCCGGUUAGAGAGUCGCACAAGCUCGGAGAAAAUUAAAAGCUGCAUCCAGCAAUAUAAAUAAACAUCAGAUCAAAACAACAAAGCAUAUAUCUAGCUAACUAAACAUCAUCUAUAACUCCUCGUUCUCAGUCAAAUCUUUCAUUCUUAGGAGAUAAAAAAAAGAUUGAAAUAAUAACUGUAACUGAUAUAGGAAGCAAAAGUAACAUACCAAAACGAGAGCGGCUAGCUCACAGAUCUGGUGACUUCCAAGAGCAUGAAAAAUGAUUGAGGUUUAAUAGCAAGUUCACAGAUGACAGAUGUGGUGACUUCAAGAGCAUGAAAAAUGAUAAAACUUUGGUAGAAAGGUCUGAGCCGUGUUUCACAAGUUGCUAUUGACUUCGUGGCUUCGCUUUUAUUUAUUAUUAUUAUUUUUUUUUUAAAUUCUAUAUCAGUGAGAAUUGAAAUGUGGAAAGUGAAAUGAUACACAUGCCUUAUCAUCUAUCAUGAGGGGUGAUUUGGUAAAACCGAUUUAAAAUAAAAAAAAGUUUAAAAAGAUGCUUUGUGUCUGACUGCUUGUAUUUGGGGUAUUUUUCGGGUUGUUGAGAGUGAGUUUAAUUAAAUAUAAGAUUUUCAUUUUUCUUAUUAUAUUUUUCUCUUUAGAAUGAAUUUAAAUCUCAUUCUUAUUAAAUCCAUUUUUUUAAAUGAAAGUAGAUUUCUCUCCACACAUUUGAGAUAUAUUUUAAAAUUAAUGUUCAGUAUAUCUCUAAAUUAUAUUAUAAAUAUUUUUAUUUAAAAUCUCAACAGAUUUCAUAACGUACAAAAAGAAAUACAUAUAUAUGUUGUAAUGUUUUAAUGAUGGAUCUCCAAAGUUAUCAAGUUAAAAAAUAAAUUAAAAAAUAAAAAAUACACACUUCAACUUAUUAUAUGAUAAAAUAUAAUAAAUUAAAGUGAGUAUUAUAUUUAUUUUUUAUUUUAUCUCUUAACUUAAUAACCUAAAAUAUAUUUAUUUAAUAAUGAUUAUAUAUAUAUCUAUAUAAUUUUUUUAAAAAAUAAACAAUUUAAGUGAAGCAAAGGACAUUUUAGAGGCAUUGCGAGACUACCAAUUUACCAUUUUGGGUUGCAAUAAAGUGAAAACUGUAGACUACCAAUCUACCAUUUUAUUGAAUCGGGUCCCGCUGACUUGGAGCUUAUGUAAAGUUACAUUCAUAACAAAUUAAUGAUGUCGUUGUAUAUUAUUCAUGUUGAAUUAUCAAUUGUUGGAUUAUGAUUGAAUUUUAUUUGAUAUUAUUGGGCAAAUUAUUGAAUUUUAUUUUAAAUUAAAUAAAAAUAAAAAAUUAAAUUUUAUUUGUAGAUUUAUGAGAUUAUUGUAUGUUAUUCAUUUUGGAUUGUUAAUUGUUGAAUUAUGAUUAAAUUUUAUUUGAUAUUAUUAGGUAAAUUAUUAAACUUUUAAAUUAUAUAUUAAAUUAUUUAAUUUUAAUUUUUGCGGAUCUGAAUAUUCAGAAUAUCCGCCUGCAUCGGUUACGGAUAAUACCCGCAUCUGGAUCCACAUCUUUUUCUACGAAUCCAAAUAUAGAAAUAUGAAUGCGGAUCUAAAUUCGGAUUUUGCUGACCCUAAACUUAAGAAUGAAUGUGCCUAAAGUUUUUACAACGAACAUGGAUCAUUCAAUGACAUGACAUGUUUUGCAGCUUUCAUUAGUAUAAUUGAAUAAUUAAUUCAUCUCUAUAUUCAGCUUACACCGUCUCAAAUUACAUGCAAAUACGAAAGUACACUUCUGAAUCGUUCACUUGAGGAAAAUUAAUUUUAACUCAAUAAGUCGUAAUUCUCCACGUAGAAUUUUAAUUCAAACCAUAGCAAAUUAGACAUAAUUCUAAUUUAUAUGGGAAAUAUAAUUAGCGAAGACACUCUUUAUAUAAACAUUAUUGUCAUAGGAUGCCAAACCUAAUAAGAUUCAAGGUCUUAACAUACUUCAUAUGAAAUUUGAUCUUGGCGCGUACCGACACGCAUAACAUCAAGACUCUACUUCAUAUAUUAUAAUGUAACUUCAUGGAUUUUUCGCUCUCUUGUGAAAUUGACAAUUAUAGGCGCUGUGUGGCAGUGGUACAUAAUAAAAUAAACGUUUAUUUUUAGAAUAUUAUUAUUUAUCUCAAUUUUUUAUUUAAUAGUUAAUUUUAAUCAAUUCUUAAACUGUCAUAAUCAAUUAAUUUUUUACAUUAUGGCAUCUUAAAUAAAUUUUGGAUCUGUAAUAAAUAAAAACUGGUAACGUUUGUUCUUUUAAAGCAUAAAACAACCGUAACAUUGGUUUUUACAUUUUGAAUUUUUCUUGCAUCACUAUUUAGAAAAAUGAUGUUAAAUCAACUCACAAAAUAUAUCAAGCCAUCUAAAAUCCAAAUAUUAUUACAUUUGUAUUUGCAUUGUUAAAUUGUUGGAACGACGGCAAAGCAAUUGAAAAGAUAUUAACAAAAAAUAAAGAUUGGCCAAGGAUUAUUUAUGUUUAGGAAAUGCCUUAACUUUUGAUAUAAUCAUUGUGAUAAUUAUAUUGUAGAAAUAAUCAAUUACCUAAUGUUUGUGGUGGUAAAAAUUAUUAACUUGUUUUAGUAUACCCGUGUUUAUGGUGGUCUCCUUUUUGUCCAAUUCUGUACAACAAAAUAUUUGCAUGUUUUGAUAGAAAUUGGUUUAAAUGACAUUUGAAAUAGUAUAUCCCCAAACAAUUAACGAAAUAUUUGGAUGGUAGGAUGAAGUAAUAUAGUUUUACAAAUUACCAUAUUAGAGGUUAAAAAAAAUCAAGAGGUUACUAACUACAAAUUUUAACACAAAAAGUUUAAUUAACUUUUCUUUUUGAGAUAACAAAAUCUCUGGUGUUGAAAACAAUGAGGUUUGAGGUUCAAGCUUGAAUAUCAAGUUACAAUUAGUAGAUGGUCUUAGGACAAAUCAAAGAUUUCUUUAAAGACAAAAUAAUAAUUACAAGCAAUAGGAAUUUAUGGUAUUCAGAACAUGUAACCUUCGCACAUGAAGCUUGAAUCCAGAACAAGAUGCAGCUAGCCAAUCCUUCCAACUUCCAAAACCCCACAAAAUCUCUGUCAACAUGUCUGCUCUACUUCAAUAUUAAGCACAUUCAUAGCGGUAUCAACAGCUUACAGCUCCAAAAUAUUUUCCCCAAAAAGAGUGAGAGAUUUCACUGAAGCUAAGUUGUGACUUGUGACUUGUGAGGCCAUCUUUUUUUAUAGUAAGCGUACGCCUCUAAUGCUUUGCCAAGUGUCCAUUGAUAAUAUCACAAGGGCAAUUAAAUUGGUGUAUGUGUAUUACACCUCCUAAAGUCAUGUUAAGAUAGUUAGUGAGCCGAUAAAGUUUGUUGCACGUGUGAGUUGGUUAAGUCUGCUAGAAUUGCAAACAUGUAAAGCUGAGUCAGCAAGUUAGUUAAGGUUAUUAUGAAUGCUUAGAUUCAGCAAGUUAGUUAAGGUUAUUAUGAAUGCUUAGAUUCAGCAAGUUAUGGUGUUGAAAAUGCUGUUGGUGAAAGCUCAGCUGAUAGAUCUCAGGAGAAUCCAGCCUUUGUUGCUUGGAAAAGGUAGGAUCAAUUGUUAUUAAGUUGGCUCAUGUCCUCCAUCAGUGUUGAGAUACUUAGUCUUGUGGUAAAUUCUGAUUCUUCUCAUAAACUUUGGACUAAUCUUGAAGAAAAUUUUUGGAUUAGAAACUAUGGCUAAGAAAGCACACUUAAAAAUGAUGUUAAGCAAUCUCAGAAAGGGAUCAAUGACAAUAACUGAGUAUUUUGCCAAACUUAGAGCUGUAACUAAUAAACUUGCUCUAACUGGUAGCCCUGUUUCUACUCUAGACUUUAUUACUCAUCUAAUCUCUAGAUUAGGCCAGCCAUACUACCCUGUUGUUUUGUAUAUUGAAGCUAAUAUGAUGAAAAUAUUUGUCAAUGAAGCCUACUCUAUGCUUUUAACUCAUGAAGCAAGAAUUAAAUUUAAUCAUCCGAGUGCAAAUAAAGAAGCAAAGUUGAAUUAUGCUGCUAACAUAGCUUAGGCUGGACCUAGUAAUAACAAUAAGAAGUCUAGUAAUCAAGCUAAUUACUAUCAGGGCAACCAAGGUAACUGGAAUAGAAAUGCUAAUUGGUGUGGUAACAAUGGAGGAAGAGGUGGCUUUGGCAGAGGUUUUUCAGGGCAAGGAAGGAGUAAUUAGAAUAAUGGUGGUCAUUGGAACAAUGGACCUUGGAGUAGUAGUCGAGCAUGUUAUAAUUGUUCUGAUAUAAACAUUAUGACAUGGUUGCUGGUGAACCUGUAAACAUAACCACAAAAGUAAGAAGGCAUAAUCUUUUUAUAAGAAACUCAAAAAUGUAUUAAUGAUGAAAAUUUUAAAACAGAUAAUGGACCAGCUGUUCAUUAAGAAAACAAAAAACUGAAUAUUUGUGCUAUAGAAAGGCACACCUAAUCUCACCCCUAUAAAAGGCUAGAAUCAGCUACAAAUCCCUAUCUCAAAACCCCAUCCUAGUUUAGAUGAAUGAAGAAAAAAGAUGAAUCUUGAAACUCCUUAGAAACUGAAGCCCAAAGUGAAGCAAGAAGAUGAACUCUAUCCCAAGCAAGCAAUAUGGCAUAUUUCUCCAUUAAUGGUUCAAAUAAAGUGAAUGGCUUUCUCUGAUGAAUGGGAAAUUGUCAAGAUCAAUAGUCAAACUCACGCAAAGUAAACGGACUUAAUUCUCAGUGGCUACUCAUUCUAAGUCUUAAAGAAAAAUUUUCUAAUUUCUAAAGAUUAUAUGGGGAAAAAUCAUUAUUUUCUAACAUGGAAAAUUUGAUACGGUGUUUAAUGUCUUAUCACAAUCAUAAUAUGAGUACUAACAAAAACAUCUUUAAUCGGCAUGGUGCGAGUAAAACACCAUCACUUCAUCUUUGAUGGAAAGAUGAUAAUAUAAGGAAAUGGUGAAAUGGUUUUGGUCCCUGGCAGCUUGUAAUCAAAAGAAAACAAAAAACUACACUAUUAUUAAUGAUUACCGAAGCUACAGAAGUAUCAAAAUCGGAAAGCAAACAAUUGCAAAACACAUCAAUGACUGAAGGUUAGGUUCUAAAACUUCCGUAUUUAAUUUUCAGAGCAUGUUAUGUAUUAUUCAGAAAUAUGCUUUCACUUCAGGCACUUGACCAACACGCAUUAAACAUAAAACGCGGCGUUUUCAUGGACUAGUACAUUCCAUGCUUCGAAAGUUUAUGUUUUAGACUAAUUGGUUUGAUACAUUAUUUGUUUAUUGCGUUUUUCUUGCUUUAAAUAUUAUGUUGGAUUGAUAAGUUUUGUACACAUUUAUAUUGCUCGCAGUAAAUAAUUUAUGACAUUUAAAAAACUAUCAACCGACUAUCAAAAGAUUUCUACUAUAAAUAUAUAUACACAAAAAACUUUUAAUUUGGUCAAUUUUUUCUCUUAUUUAUUUUUGUUCUAUUUCUCUUUUCCUUCCCUUUCAUUUUAUUGUUUUAUGGUACAAAAUAAAAAAAUAACCUUAAAAUUUAAGGGUAAAAUACUCAUUUUACUAAAAUUCCGUUUAAUAUUAUAAAACUGUCAAAUGUCAAUGGCAUAGUACACGAGUGAUACAAAUUAAAAACAAUAAAUUGAAAGUUUUUAUGCAUUUUCGUUUUAUUUUUUUUAUAGCCGAUACAAAUUAAAAACAAUAGGUUUAGACCGUUUAACAAAUCUUAAAUUAAAAAAACCCGUGGUGUAAUAACAAACUCACAUCAAACCCUGUCCACUGUCAUCCCUAAUUAUAUUUACCACUUCAUACUCACAGUGAUAAUUAUAUUACCGUUAAGAAUGAAGCAGAAGAGUUUCCCCAAACAAGCUAAAACACCGCACUUCAAUUUAAAGAAUUUUUAUAUCACAGUACCGGGACAAAAAGUUUAAUGCAACAACAUACAUUAAGUUAAUUCCAUAAUCUAUCCCCAAAGAAAGACAAACACAAGCUUAUAAGAUUAAAACUUUGGAAAACAUUAAAGAGUCAGACAAAAUUGUGUAAUCUUCAGAGUUUGGAGCCUAGUUCAUCCAGGAAAGCAAAAGAAAUAAUAAUAAUAAUAAUAAUAGUGGUGGUUUGAUCUCAAAAGGUGGCAUCAAAGCAAUAACGUCUUCAACUUCCAUUCAACCCAUCAUCCACAAAAUCACCAACCCGUUUCACCUUCAUCUCCUUGGGCUUAACAGGGUACUUUCCAGAGAAGCAAGCAAAACAAAAAUUCUGAGAAUCAUUGCCUAACAACUUGUUCAAGCUGUCAAUCGGCAGAAAAGCAAGCGAAUCACACCCAAUAAACUCCCUGAUUUCCUCAACGCUCAUCCUGUUGGAAAUCAACUCCUCAGUACUUGGAGUGUCUACUCCGUAGUAACAAGAAGCUAUGAUUGGUGGGCUUGCAAUUCUCAUGUGAACCUCUUUAACUCCAGCCUCCUUAAGCAACCUAACAAUUUUUGAUGAAGUUGUUUCUCACACUAUCGAAUCAUCCACAACCACAACUCUCUUUCCCACCAACCACAACCUUACAGGAGAGAGCUUAAGCUUGACACCAAAGUCCCUAAUUUUCUGGGAAGGCUCAAUGAAAGUUCUCCCAACAUAAUGUGACCUUAUCAACCCUUGUUGAAAUGGCACCCCGGCUUUUGCAGCGUACUCAAGUGCAGCCACCACUCCAGAAUCUGGUACUGCAAUCACGACAUCACACUCAACAGGAGCCUCGGUAGCAAGUACUUCCCCAAAAUGAUACCUCGACUCAUAAACAGACCUUCCAAAAACAACAGAAUUAGGCAAAGCAAAAUAAAUAUGCUCAAAGAUGCACUGCUUAGGUUCAGGGUGAGGCAUCAAACAAGGUGAUUGAACCCCAUCUUUAUCCACCAUCAAAACUUCACCGGGAUAUACCUCUCUCUCUCUCUCUCUCUCUCGCGUAUGUGGCCUCAAUCAAAUAGUGCAGUGCACAAGUCUCUGACGCAAAAACCAGAGCACCAUUACUCCUCCUACCCAUCACCAACGGCAUAAACCCAUACGGGCCACGAACCGCAACAAGCUUAUCCUCAGUAACAAACACCAUUGAAUAAGCACCCUCAAGCUUCUCACAAACAUCCACAAUCCUCAAAAAGAACGGCCUAGCUUUCGAUAUCGGAAUCAAAUGGAGAACAACCACAGUAUCAGAACUAGUAUUACAAAAUGGAUCCAUUAUCUUCAAGCUUAGCCCUCAAAGUAUUAUAAUUAACUAAUGUGCAACACCAACAGAACCAAACCUGUACCCAGCAACAAAAGGCUGCACAUUCUUAAGCAUAGAACUACCCGCAGUCGAAUAUCUAACAUGACCAAUGGCCAUAUCACCCGGCAAUUGAUCAAGUUUAGACUGAUUAAACACAUCAGAGACUAAACCAACACCAGUAAUAGACCGAAGAACUUUGUUAUUCACAGCAACUAUACCUACAUCUUCUUGGCCGCGAUGCUGCAUCGCGUGUAGCGCCAAAUAGCACAAACGCGAGGCCUCUGGGUCACCAUAGAUGCCCACAACACCACACUCCUCACGGGGCUUAUCGUCGUCAUCAUCAUCAAAACUGCCAAAACCGUCAUCUGGGUAUUCUUUAUUUGUGGUGAAAAACUCAGAGAUGGGGUUUUUUGAUAGAACAGUGAAGUUUUUUUUGUGGGUUAAAGAUUGUUGUUUCCGAGGAAAAAAAGGGUUUUUUUGCAGGGUUUUGGAGAAAAGAAAAAGAUGGGUUUUUUUGCGACGGCUUAGGGUUAGCAGAGGGAGAUGGGUUUGAGAGAGGGCAGAUAUUGGCGGUGCCUGUUGUGGUGGCUGCCAUUAAUGGCUGAAUUUAUUUUGUUUUAUUUUAUUUUUUUGGGUUGACUUGCUCAAAGAAAAAAGAGAGGAGGUGUGGAGGGAGACGGUGGCGAAGGGUACUUUAAGUAGAGGGUUACUUGUUCUAGGUUUUUUUCUGGAAUUGUGAGGGAAUCUGAUCCUGUGUUUGUGCAUAUGAUUCAAUUACUUAUAGGUUUAUUGUUGUGUCACCACAAAUUCUAAUUGGGAAGCUUCAGCUGUCAAAUUUUUUCCAAGGGUUUAUUAGGUAGAACUUUCAUGUCGUCGAAUUUAUUUAGAGAUUCUAAAAGUAGUUUCCAAAUAAAGAGAUGGACCAAAAUCAACAAUGUGAAACAGAUACUUUAGAAUUUUUUUCCUAUUCCGAAAGCAAUAGGAAUGUUCCAAUGCAUUGCUCCUACCAGAUUUGGAAUUAAACUUAGUUUGUGUUUUCCUAUUCCGAAAGCAAAACUUAUACUUACUGUAUAAGUGAUAUUCUAAUAAGUAGAAAUUAAGAACCAUAACAAAUUUGAUGAUUCUAAUUUGCUAGAAAUAUUGUAAUCCAAAACUAAGAAAGUUAAAACCAAUUAUUAGAAGAAAAAAGCAAGACGGAAGCUCCCAGAAUAUUGUUAUGUGUUGUGUGUUUUCAGUGUGUAUUUCUCAAUCAAUAAUGAAAAGUAAGUACACAUGUUACAAAAAUUUAAUAAAAAAGAUUGGAGGUGACAAAACCUUCAAUCUUCUAAUUAACUUUCUCUGCAUUGGAAUUUCCUUAGUUUGGUAGAGAUUGCUUAAUUGGUGUAUCUAUUAUAAACACCGUAAGUCAAAGUUAAUGUUUUAAUUGUUAAGAAAAGUUAGAAGAAGAAAUUUUUGCAUAAGAGAAUUGGGUUUAAAUUGAGAAUUCUUUAGGACGAAAUGAGUCUAAAUUCUAACACUAUAAUUUAGCACUAUUUAUAUAUAUAUAUAUAUAUAUAUAUAUCAUUAAUUGGGUGAAAAAUUAGGGUACGCCUAUGUUGUAACAGUUGCAAAGUACCACUAAUUUUUAUCUUUUGUGAUGUCAAAUUUCAUUUAAUCUCUUUUUUUUUUUAUAAUUUAUUUAUAACGUUAUGUGUUUUGGCAGGUGAAUUUUUAAAAUAUAAUUUUAUUUUAUUUAAUAUAAUUUAUUUUUUUUCUUUAUAAUUUAUUUAUAAGUUUAUGUGGUUUGGCUGACGAUCUAUUAAAAUGUAAUUUUAUUUCAUUUAAUAUCAUUUAACUUCUAAAAGAACAAAUAUAACAAUAAGCCUUUAACUAGAUAAUAUUAACUAAUAUUUUUAAUAAAAUAAAAUAUUAAAAAUAUAUUCUUUUAAAUAAAAUAAAUAAUAUUAAAAAAUAUUUAUUUUUUAGGACUCACAAUUGCUUAUUCUAUUUUAUUUAAUAUUAUUUAAUUUUGAAAAAUAAAUAUAAUAAUCUAUGAGUAAAUAAUAUUAAAUAAAAUCAAAUAAAAAUUAUUAAAAAUAAUAUUAAUUUUUUUUAGACUCAUUAUUGAUUAUUUCAUUUUAUUUAACAUUACUUACUUUCAUGAAGGAAUAAAUAUAACAAUAAGCCUAUGACUAUAUAAUGUAAAAUAAAAUAAAUAAAUAAUAUUAAAAAUAUUUAUAUUUAAUAAAAUAAAUAAUAUUAAAAAUUUAUCUUUUUGAAUAAAAUAAAUAAUAUUAAUUACAAAUUAUAUUUUUUUAAGACUCACAACUGAUUAUUUAUUUUAUUUAAUAUUAUUUAGUUUUUUAAAAGAAUAAAUAUAAUAAUAACUCUAUAACUAAAUAACAUUAAAUAAAACAAAAAUAAAUACUAUACAUAAUAUUAAAUAAAAUAAAAUAAAUUAAUAUUAAAAAUUAUAUUUAUUUUUUAAUGCUUACUACUGAUUAUUUUACUUUAUUUAAAAAAAUUUAAUUUUUUGAAAGAUUAAAUACAACAAUAAACUUGUAACUAAAUAAUAUUAAAUAAAUGAGAUUAAUAAUAUUAAAUAAUAUUUUUAAUAAAUAAAUGAUAUUAAAAAUUAAUUUUUUAAAUAAAAUAUAUAAUAUUAAAAUAAAAUUUAUUUUUUAAGACUCACUACUAAUUAAACAACAUAAAAUUUUAAACAAUUUGGACUUAUGUGAUAAAAGUUUUAAUUCUUUAGCUCUUUUGCGUUUUUGAUAAAUAGCAGGGAGCAUAAUGUUAAUAUUCAAAUAAACAAAUCUCUACCCUUCAAUCUAUCUUUUCAUUAAAUCCAAUGAUGAAGAAUUGAAACCAUAAAAAAUAAAAUUAGGUGGUACCUUGCAACUGUUGCAAGGUAGUUAAGUCCAAAAAAUUACAUUUGAUGUGAUUUUGAUCGUUUAUUUUUAUAUGAUGGUAAUUUCUUGUUCAGAGUGAAACUAGGGGUGGGUACGGUUCGGUUCGGAUCGAAAUUAAGAAGAAUCGACUUAAAUCGGUUAUUUUAUAAAAAGAACCGAAUAAGAACUGAAUUCAAUAAGAACUGAUUUAACAAGAUUCGUUUGAGUUCGAUUCGGUUUGGUUUGGUUUUUUCGGUUCUGGGCCUAUUGACCCUAUUUUGAAUUUCUAAAUUUUUAGCUCAUUGGGCCUCAUGAAUGUCAUAAUUUUUUUCAACAAUUAAUUCAUCCUAAUUUCAUUACAAAUAUUAACAAUAAAUACAAAGUAUUCAAAACACAUUUGAUCACUAAUAUCUUACUAACUACUAAUAAGGUACUCACUACUCACAAAAUAUGAAAUAUUAAGAUUUCAAAAUACAUAACCAAACUCUAAUACUCCAUCUACAUAAACAUAAUGUUGUAAAGACAAAUAAAAAUAACAACAGUGAUUCGGUUCUUCGGUUCGGUUUUUCGGUUCAGUUGAGUGAACCGAAUAUCGAACCGGUAUUUCGGUUUUUUUAUAAAUAAUAUAUUUCAGUUUUUUUUAACAAUUAAAACCAAACCAAAUUAGAACCAAACUGUCGGUUUGGUUCUUUUUUUAAGAAUACAGUUUUUUUGUCCAGUCCUAAGUGAAGCUAUUGGCACCCUUUCGCUAUAUUUAUAAAAUCCUACUUCAAAUAAAAUUACACUUAAAGACAAUAGAAUUAAACAAACAUGUUUUUUUUUUCCCAAACAAAUUACUUACAUUCAUAAUUAUUUUUCUUCUAAUUUUCUACAUGUUGCUUCAUAUCUAAGUAAAAUAAAUUGUAUAAAUUUAGAAUAAUCUAUUAUUCUUUUUAAAUUUCGUAUUGAUUAAAUACUUUUGUGCUUAAGAUUGCUUUAAAAUUAUAAGAUAAAAUAUGUGUAAUUUAAGCCAAUGAUUAACAUUCAAAAUUUUAUCUCUCAGAAACAUUUUUAAUUUGUGUGCAGGGUAAUAAUAAAAUCGUAAAAGAAAUAAAAAAUAGCAUAACACUACUUUGAGUUUAGAAAAUAAAAAAAUUAAACAGAAAAUUAGAAGUGUAAUCUAAAAAAAGGAUAUUUUGUAAAAUAAAAUAAAUAUAAUUAAAACAAGGUUUCAUGAGGGGUGCAAUAGUUCAACUCUUUUGUGUAAAGUUUUAAGAUGUUAGUAUCCGUAGCUUAGUUUUUCCCUAAUUAUUAUAUGAAAAUGUAAUAACAAUGCUGAUCACCCCAAUCUCAUGGAGGUCAAAGAUUUUGGUCAUACCGCAUGAAUUAGUGCUUUUGGUUGGCAAAUACUUGUAUAAAUUUAUUAACAUUAAAUAAUUUGACCAAGACUACGUAAUGCGCCGCCUGAAGACUGGAGUCAUCGUAUUUUAUACGUCAAAAGCGCGUUUCAGUUCAAUAAGCCAUACAUGUCGUUUAAUAUGACCAUUUUGUACUUUUUUUAUAAAAAAAAAUUAUUUAUUUUAUUAAAAUAUUGUUUAUUUAUUUAUUUUUUUUAAAGGUAAAGAGGUGUGUAAAAUCUAAAUUCAAUUUUUAUCCCUUAUGUCCUGGCCCUAAGAUUUGAACUCAGGUGAACAGCCAAAUGUAUAAUAACAUGUAUUUCGAAUUUCAUUUUAAAUGAUAUGCAAUUCGUUAAGUGAUUGUUAAUUUUUUAUAAGAUACGAGUGAAAGAAUUAUAUUAUCUCACUAAUUAAUUGAUGAGUGUCAUAUCAUUAUGAUUCCAAAUAAUUUCAAGCCAUGUCAUUAUUAGGAUAAAAAUAAAGUAAAAUGGUUAAAACUAUUUUUAUGUAAUUUAUAAAAAUUAAUGAAGCAACUACAUAAUUUUUUAAACGAAAAACAAUUGAAAUGUGUGAGGAAAAAGAAGAAAAAAAUAAGGCAUUUAAAUAUCUUCUUAAAAAAUAAGAUUGAGUAAAAUCAUUUUAACAGAAUGCCUUCCAAAUACAAUUCCACAUUUUUUUUUAUUGCAGUGGGAUAUUCCAAAAUUGGCACAACUCAUUAAGAAUUCGGCAACUCAAACUUUAUUUAUCUCUCUACGCAUUUGACAAAUUAAAAAGAAAAAAAAAAAUUCAUAUAUCUUCUGUUCAAAAGAGACCUUGGUAAAUAUUGUAAAACAAAUUACCAAUUUUUUUAAUUUAUGCCAUUAUAUCGUCGCUAUUUUCUCGCCCACUUUCUUAAAAUAGAAUCAAUAUUUAUUGAUGGGUUGGGUUCCAGAGUAAGCACCAAUUCAGCAAAAUGGUUUUAUAGCAGAAAAAGCACUUGUAAGACAUUCAGAACACAUUUUUCAAUUUUGUCUUUUGAAAAUGAGUCUUGAGUUUCCACAAGCCAAGUAGAAUGGCUAAAAAAUGUAUGGUAUCAAAGAAAGAGAAACACACACACACACAUAGAUUAGUGGGGAGAUAUAUGAGUGUGUAAUUUGUAUAUAUAUCCCUAUUAAUUGUUGAUAGUCCAAUGGGUAUAUGCAAAAUGAAAAAAAUUGGCUGUCCUUUAAGACAAAAUUGACUGUCACAUGAAAAUGUUAGCACACUUGCCACGCAACAAAAAUAAAGAUUCCAAGAACAACUUUAUGGUCCCCUUUCUGUCCAAACAUAUGCGAUAGAAAUUAGUGUAAACGACACUUGAAAUAUAUAUGUAGAUCCUCACACAAUUGAUUAAAUAUUUAUAGUAGGGUGGAGUGAUAAAUAGUUUCACAAAAUUAUUGGAAUUAACUGCUUAAUACAUGAGAUCUAUCUCAUUAAGUAUAAAAGAUUGAGUGCUGCUUCAAAAGCAUGACGUUGCUGGCAACAAAUUUAACACAAAAGUUUAAUUAAUUAAAAUCUCGUAUUAAGAACAAAAGGUUUGAGGUUCGAACAUUCUCAUUCAAGAAAAUCAAGUCAAAAUAUUACAUCUUCCAGCACAUAUCAAAGAUUUUUUCAAUUUCCAAAACCCAACAAAAUCUUUGUCAAAAUAUAUGAUCUAGUCCCAUAUUAAGCACAUUCAUAGCUGUAUCAACAGGUUCAAAAUAUUUUCCCCAAAAAGAGAUAGAGAUUCCAUUGAAGUUGAGUUGUGACUGUCCCAACGUUUUGUAAUUAUAUGGUUCAGGAUACCAAUAUGCCGGAGCUGCAAAGGUUGACUUCUACUAUCCUAUCAAUGUCUAUACUUUCUAUUGAAUUUCCUUGUUUUUUUUUUAAUUUGCGAGAUUUAUUUUUGGAAAUCUUUGACACAUUUUAUGUAAGAUACCAUAAAGCCAAAUACAACCUUUUUUUAUUCUCAGCAGCAACUUUUUUUUUUCCAUUUAAAAAAAGGAAGCCAUAUAAAUAAUGCUUAAAACAUUAUUUGCAACAAGGAACAAUUAUUUCAUGCUUUCAUGUAUUAGAAACUUUCCAAAAACGCUAGCAAGAAAAUGAAAUGGAACUUUACCUAGUCACAGAAUAUGUACUGUUGUUAGCACAAUUGUUAUGAAGUGGCUUCUGCAUCAGAAGAUUCCAGCUCCCACCAAGCAUUGUUAUCUCUCUUCUGAAUACAAUCUACAUCGUUGGGCAUGAGUUAUAUCAUUAAUGUCUGGAUCCUCACUUACAUCAUCCCAAUCAAGUGCUUUUUCUCCACAUUUGGAUUAUAAGUCCAAUCUCUGCAAAACAUCCUAGUCCUUCCAUCACAACUGAUACGACUUCCUUCCUAAUUACUUUCCCAUUAAUAAAUCGCUCCAAGAAAAAAAAGCAUUAGCAAUUCUCUUCAACGCCCCAUCACUCAUAUCCCCCACAACAACCGUCUUCAGCCACCUCAACGUUGACUCUUGAAAGACCUCCACAAAAUCCGAAUCAUCCGACACAACCACCAAACACCCAAACCUUCUUUUGUCCACCAUAGCCACCAUAUAAUUUCUCCCCAAAACAUCGGCAUCUUGUGGCUUAACUAACACCAUCCUGACCCAAAACCGUGCUCUUUUUAACUCAUCUGCAAAACCAUAACCCACUUUUGGAGUCAAAAUUGCGCUUGCAGCCAUUUUAUUUUUUUCCAUCUUUAUUGAAUAGUUGCCGACCAAAAGCACUCUCACCUUCCCUCUAGCUGAUUCUAUUUGAUUGGACCUUUUCUUUUGUUCACCCUCAUGAAUUUGCCUAAAAUGAUUAACAAGUUUGUCAUUAUUAUAAAAUCUCCUUCCAUAAUCACCAAUACAUACGGCUUAGCAGACCUAAUUACACCCUUGAUUUCUAAUUGGUAAACAAUUCUCUUUCUUUCUUUGCUCUCUUACAACUUGAGGCACAUAACCAAACGCGUGGCUAUUUGGAUUUUGUUAUCCAAAUACCAAAAAUUUCUCACAUUGUGUUGGACAGUUUUUGGUUCUAAAGUUGAUGACUGGUUUUGCGAAUCAGGCUUCAAAUGAGAACUUCUAAACAAUAAGACAAAUGGGUUUUUAGUUUAUAAUCUUGUAAACUUUGUUCUAUUGUAUAAGUUAUGAAAUCGCUGAAACAUCACUACAGCUACAGGUCUUUAUGUGUCAAUGAAUUGCAGAAGCUAAUGAUCUACUUGUAGUAGACUUCUAUUGCCCCUGCCGUUCUAGGAAGACAAACAAGUUCAGGAACUACUUCUGGACCAAACUCAUAAUAUUGCCACUGCUUUGUGCCAAUCUCAGAGGAAAAGAAGAUUGAAGUUCCUAAAUAAGGCACAUCAUGAUUUGAUAGAAGUACCACUAUAAGGAAAAAUUGAUUUCAGGAAAGCACUAAAUUAUGACAUAAUCUCCCCCUAAUGGUCUAAAGUAGUCAAGAAAUGAUAUUAACCAAGUAAAAACACAUAAACUAGUUGAGAUACAAAGUUAUCAUAAAAGUCAAUUUUGACCACAAAUCCAUUAAAAUUAAAAGUCAUCAGAAACUUAGAGAACAUUAUAAUUUAGGACUCAGCUAAGUUGCAGAUUCUGUAACUAACAGCUGAGUCCACAUUGGUCUUGCAUCAGCUGAGUUUAGGUUGCUUUUCCUCUCUCCUGCAACGCGUACGUGGAAGCGCCCCAUUUGCUGUGUUAUAGAACGAGUCGGUACCGUAACAAGCUCCUAUAAUUUAAGUUUGAUUACUGUAGACAAUAGUCUGCCUCUGCUCAAAAGCUAUGCUGCAAGAUAUAACAUCUUUGCAAUGUUAUACUUUCUAAAAGUAAUAAGAAAUGAAACCAAGGGGUAAAUCGAACACCAAAAGAAAUUUAGUCGGCCAACCACAUUAUGUUCCCACACAGUCCACUAAUUAAGUUAAUAAUUAAAGGGAAUCAAAAUCUAAGAAAUCUCAUCUUCAAGCAUAAUACAAACACACCGGGAUUGAAAAUCACAAAAUCAUAAAAAGAAGCUGACUUGAAAAGCUCAAAUAUACGUUCAUCAGCCUCUCAACUUAUAUCUAAGAACAAAUGCCUGCAGCCUGUGAAGACAUAGAUAAUUGAAGCUGAGGAGGCAUAUUUAACAGAUGAUUAAACUCAUGCGAUUAAAAUUAUAAUUCAAUAAUCGAGCACAUAAAAUAACAAGCAACUAGUUGUAUAUAUACCAAGCAACUUUAUGAAGUUAAAUAUACCAACGCCAAUACUCUUAUUUUUAUCCAAAUAUAGAAGACCAAUGCAUCAAACAAGGAAAAUGAAAUAUUGUUAAUAACUCAAAAACCACUAGUGUCAAGAACUAAACUAAUAAGUAAAACCCAUAAUCAGACACAACCACAUCAAAAUCUCUAAAAAUUGAGGUCUAAACAUUGAAAACAAUUAGACAUAUAUAACAGUCAAUCGAAACAAAGCCUCAAAAUAAUAAUGAACUACAAUAAGACAGAAACUAAAUUGUAAACAAGCGCAUACUCAGUAACAGUAAUCAAGUAACAAGUCAAAACCAGAAUCAAACGUAGAAUUUUGAAAUCCAUACGAACUCUAACGUAUUAGAAUGAAAGAAUAAGGACGAUCGAUAAACUAGAAUCAAACAAAACAUGCCCAGUUAAAAAACGAAGGUAAAUAAAUAAAAAUGAUAUAAAACUGCGAAAAAAAUUAAUGAAAUGACGAGAAAAUCACAGGAAUCCUAUGAAGAGGAAGGUAAACAAAACCUUCGAGAGCUGAGAAGAUGCCUUUUUUUGUUCACUUUUGUGCCUAUACAUACAUUUUUUUUUUUUUUGUAAUUUUGAAGAAAGUAUUGGUUAAAUAUUGUCAGAACGAAAUAUUAAUAAUAGAUCCUGGCAAUUUCAACAAGGACAAUCUUCGAUUCAAAUGUACCCCUAUGAUAAAGAAAAAGCCAGCUUGGCUAAAUUUUGAGCACCACAUUACAAAAUCUUGGUGCAUGUUUAACUAUGCAAAAUGAAACCUCUAUUAAUUGUAAGUCCCUUGACCUCUGGAACCAGCCAACCAGUAUCUUUCCUGUUAGACAAACUUCCAUCGAUCAGACUAAUAAUAUUUACUGAAUCAUGUUCUACAGUUAAUGGAGUUGGACCCAAGGCAAUUGUUAGAAGUCCGCCUAGACAUAGAGUGCGCUUAGAAGUGGGAUGCUUAGAAAUGGGCCGCCAACACAACCAGCCAACCGUAGUGUGCUUAGCAAAUCACUGAAACCCGGCCCAAGAUCUAGAACUAUCUACAAAUUGUAAAUAAGCUAAAAGUUUCUAAGUUUCUCUACAUAGGUCCCUAGGAUAUUUAUGGAAGUUGCUAGGAAGUUUCCUCCCCUAGAACUCUAAUACCUAUACCCUCUCAUUUGCCCACCAACCACACCACACAGACAAACACUCCAGCACACACACAAGCUCUCUAGCUUUUGUAAAAAACUCUCUUGUAUAUUCUCUCUUUGUGAGUAAUAAAAUCAUAUUCAGCCAUAUUGCUACACUUCUCUCUAGCAUUUUCUACAAGUGUUCUUGCUUCGCUAGUUUGAGGAGUGUUCUAGGCUUGCUUAACAACUUGUUCGCUAUAACGACAUCUUGGUCACAAAACAUGGACAUGCAAGAAAAAAAAAAUAUUGAUACGUUCUAAAAAUAAUACGCGUUCUUCUACAGUGAACCAAAAAAUUUAGGAUAAUGGUAGCAAGUGAAAGAAUUGUGAUUUCACGUGCAUUUUGUUGACAUGAACGUAAAGGACUUUUUUUUAUAGUUUAUAUUGUUUAAUAUAACAUUUGAAUUGCAAAAUAGGGGUACAAAAUAGAUACACGAAGUGAUAAAACUAAGCUGAUUAUAAUAAAUAUUGAAUUAUAAGAUUUAGGUUUAAUCAUAAACACAUAAGUGGUGCACAAAGUCACGAAUUGAUAUCAUCCACGAUGCAAGUUCAAACAACUGCAUAAUAAGUUGCCCCAAGCUAAACUAUUAAUCUAGUAACUAUUCCAGUCGAUGUGGGAUAAUUUUCCUAUCACCAUCUAUCACGUGCAAGCCGAAUUUUUUGCUUGGUCCUUACAUGUGGUAAGGUCAUAUGAAUCCACUUGUGCAUAAAUUUGGCUCCGAUACUAUAUAGAAGCCUAUGACCCAAAAUUAUACUUAAAGGUUAUCUCAAGAUUUGAGGAUUGACUCAAGCUAAUAUUAUUAUUAGUCUGGUAACCUUUUUUGUUUGUUGAUAUGUGAUAUUUUACCUAUAACUUUUAUUAAUCUUUAUGCUUAUGUUUUGUCAUUUAUCCCAAAAUAUAACAUUAACACAAGUUCCAAAAUUUCCUUCAAGAGAUAUAUUUGAGACAAGUAAUUUGUGCAAUAACUUUGUAAAUUGAUGAGCAAAUUAAGAGAAAAGAAUAUAUAUGCCAAACAUAACGUUUAUUAUUGUGUUUAUUUGUAGAGCUAUUUAAAGCCCAAAAAAAAAAGCACCGGUCCGCUAUGAUUUCAAAUAAGUUCAAGCCCUAUGUCAUUAUUGGUACAAAAAUGAAUCAGAAAGGUUAAAAACUAUUUUUAUUUAACUUAUAAACUUAGGAAAUUAUCAAAUGUCCGCCCUUAAAUUGCGCUAUUAUAAAAAAUAUUACAACAUUUUCAGGUUGGAUCAUUCAUCUACCAUAAAUUUACAAUCUGCAUCAUUUAUCCACCAAAUCAUUAACUUCGUCAAAAAGUGAUAGACGUCACAAGGGUAAUUUAGACAUUUAACACAAAAAAAUAAAAGAGAAAUUAUCUAAGCUUACCAUGUUAUCAAAAUUGCUACAAAAUUUUAAAUUUUUUCAAUUUUCCAAUCUAAGUUUAUGACCUCCAAGAUGUUAAUUGCAAUUUGUAAUUAAUGACUUCAUAAGGAUAAUUUAGACACUCAAUAUGCAAAAUAAAAAAUAAAAUAAUGGCUUAAAACAUUAAAACAAAAAACUACGUUUUAUAAUUGAUAUUCAAUUAAAUAAACAUAAACUCUAUUUUUUCUUAAUUAAAAAUAUUCUAAUUUAUUUUCUCAAUUUAUCUUCAUAAAUUUACAUUAAUAAACUAAAUCCACAAAUUACCCUAAACCCUAAUUCGUAAAUGCCCAAUCAAUCUAAUAGUUUAAUUCGAUUUCAUAAUUAAAAAAAGCUAAAUUUAUUAUAUUAGUUAUGGUGCAAAGUAAAAAAUGUCCUUAAAUCCAAGGGUAAAAUAGCAUUUUAUUUAAAUUCUAUAAAUUAUUCUAACAAUGUUAACAUUUUGGUGGACGGUUAAUAUAAGUUACAAACUUAAAAUAGAAAAUCAAAUAAAUUCAAAAUUUCAAACUAUUUAUGGCAAAUUUAGGAUAUAUGGUUAAUAAUUUUCCUAUGUCUUUUUACAUAAGUUGAUAGAAGUUACAAACUUAAAAUAGAAAUAAAAUAAAUUUAAAUUUUCAAAUCAUUUAGGGCAAACUUAGGGCAUAUGGUUAAUAAUUUUCCUAUUUUUUUAACGUUAAAUUGAGUUUCAAAGACAUAAUGGUCAAUUUAUUAUAAUUCUAUUAAUUUUUUUAAUGGAAGCAAGCGAUAUAAUGGAUGAAUGAUAUAAAUUGUAAAAUUAAGGUGCAUGAACGAUAUAAUUUUAAAGUAUUGUAGUACUUUUAAUAAUAAAACAUUUUAAAGGUGGAUUGGCGAUAAUUUAAACUUUAAUGAAGCAACUAAAAAAAAUUUUUAACAAAGAAAAAUAAUUGAAUGCUUUGUGAAACCAAAAAUAUUUGAAAUGCUUUAAGAAAAAUAAAGGAAAUUAAAUAUCUUUUUAAAAAACAUAAUUGAGUAAAAUCAUUUUACAAAAUGCUCUUUCAAAUGCACAUUCCACAAGCGCACAUUCCACAAGCCAAGAAGAACGGGUGGCUAACAAAAAUCUCACUUUUUAUGAGUUUAUAAAAUCUCACUUUCACAAAAUCCAAAAAUAACCAAUACUAUCACACAAAAAAUAAAAAGUAUUGCUGUCACGACAUUACACACUUUCUUCGCCGUCUAGAAAGGUAGAACAUUUUGAAAUUCCUAAAUACAAAAUGCGUGCUAUUACUAAAUUGGCCCAAUUAGUGCCCAUCGAAAGGCCAUAGAUUUAGCCACCAAAUUUGCCAAAGUUUUAACAAUUGAAGAAAUAGUGAACUCAAAAGGAACAGGUAAAUUUUGAAGUUGAACAAACCUUAAGGUACGGGAAAUUUGCAACCUACCCCCAAAUAAAUUGACAUUUUGCACCGCGUCCCCAAUAAAUUUGACUUAUUGCACCGCGCACCUAAAAAAAUUGACAUUUUGCACCACGUCCCCAAUUCCGUUACUUUUUCAGUUAUUUCUAACAGCUCCGUCUAACUUUUGAUUGAAUGACAAAAAUGCCCCUCUAUAUAAAAAAACAAAAUUUUUAGCUCAUUUAAUUUUUUUAAGGUUUUUUUUCAAUUGCAAUAAAAAAAAAAUUCUUCUUACAUGUUCAUUGUCACCACUAUUAUUUUUCCUUUAAUUUUUUUAAGAUUUUUUUUUUAAUUUUAAUAAAAAAAAUCCUUGUUACAUGUACAUUUGUCACCACUAUUAUUUUCCUUUAAUUUUUUUAAAGAUUUUUAUUUUAAUUGCAAUAAAAAAAUUUCUUGUUACACGUACAUUGUCACCACUAUUAUUUUUUCUUUAAUUUUUUAAAGAUUUUUAUUUCAAUUUUAAUAAAAAAAUUCUUGUUACAUGUACAUUUGUCACCACUAUUAUUUUCCUUUAAUUUUUUAAAGAUUUUUAUUUUAAUUGCAAUAAAAAAAUUUCUUGUUACAUGUACAUUGUCACCACUAUUAUUUUUCCUUUAAUUUUUUAAAGAUUUUUAUUUUAAUUGCAAUAAAGAGAAUUCCCAUUAAAAUUAAUUUAAGGAAUAAACUUCCAAUUUUACCCCUCCACCGUUAAACUUAAUUGAGAAAAUAAUGGAAUUGGGGGCGAGGUGCAAAAUAUCAAUUUUUUUGGGUGCGCAGUGCAACAAGUCAAAUUUGUUGGGGACGCUGUGCAAAAUGUCAAUUUAUUUGGGGGUAGGUUAUAAAUUACCCCUUAAGGUACAUACAACAAAGCCUUGAACUUUAGUCUUCACAAUUUAAUCACGCAAUAACAUUAAGUAUCCACCUAAAAAAACAAGUAUAGAACAAAGCUUGUUAGCUUCUUGGGCAUUAACUAUGAAUGAUGAGUAAAAUUAAAAAAGCAAACAGAGAAAAUUAUAAGAAGAAUAAAAGCAAACAUUUCAAAAAAAAAUUAUGAGAAGGAAAAUUUUGGUAGAACUCCGUGGCUCAUCUGUGAAAUUAAUGUCAAUAUGUAUUUUUAUGUAAAUAGGGUCUCUGGAUUUUAGGAUGAAUCAAUCAGCUACCACAAACGAAAACAUGAACCAACUAUAUAUAGAGUCAAUUAAUUAAAGUUCUCAAGAGCUUACCUCUGCUCCAGAAUUCUCGGAAUCAUCAAUCUCCUUCUGAAUUUGCGCGAAGCUUGGGACAACCAAGAAAGCGUCCAGGUGGAACUGGGUUUGGAUAACCCGCAGGCCAAAAGUUGGUGAGGUUUGGUAAAUUUAUCAGUUCUAUGCCCUGAAGUUCAUUCGUAACAAUUUCAUUGUAAUCCGUGACGUCUGCUCCACCUUUAUGCCAGAAUACUUCUUCUAAUUCAUCAUUACCUACUACGAAUAGGUACUUCAGUUUUGGAAGACUUGGAGCUACGCUGAUAUGAAAUAGAUGCUUUAGCUUGGGGCAAAAACAGACAGUGAUCCUUGUGAGUUUUGGGAAACAUACAGGUUGGAGAUGAUCCUCAUCCUCAUCCUCAUCAAUGAUUUGCUCUAAUUCCAAGCAAUUCGAAACAGAUAACUCCUCCAAUUGCAACAGAUUUCGAGCAAGUGUUGAUGAGAGGAGCCGUCUCAGCAUAGUGCACCGCUCUACUGUUAAUCGAGUAAGAUUUUGCAGGCUAAAAUUAUGCGCGGGACCUUCAUGAUAUGAUACUCGCAGUUCUCGAAGAUCUUCCAAUCCCAACCCUUUCAAACAUGGGAAUGGUUUGUUUGCUUGUCCCUCAGCGAUAAUAGCUUCCGACUGAAACACCACCAGUACUCCAAUUUUGCUAAUAUUCAAUUCUUCCAAAUUUUUUAAGCCGUGCUUCAACAAUACUGGAAUCGUGUCGCUCAAAUGGGAACAAUUGUCCACAUUUAGAAUUUUAAAGUUCUGAGACAAAUAAAUAAAUAACUUGAUGUAAUUAAAAUCUAUUAGCAGCUAGGAUUAUCACAUGAUAAGUGACGAACACCGCAAAAAACAAAAAUAGAAACAAAAUCCAUACAAAAAUAUAAUAAUACAUAUGUAAACUAAUAAAAUAAUUAAAAAGUAAUAUGGAUUGAUAAUGUGAAGUGACAUAAAGGUAACAUUAGAUUGUUUGAGAAAAAUUAGUAUUUUAUUAAUUUUUAUGGAUUGAUCAACUAAUUAAUUGAAUUUGAGUAAUAUUAUAUACACUUUAGUAAGUGUUUGCAUCAAUUCUUUCUAAACCAAAAUGAGAUAAGACUUGCAUUUGAACAAUGAUUUUAGGCCCUAAAAUAAAGAAAUUUCCCUAAGAUAUUUGAGCAUUAUUAUUAUCAUCACCACAUCCACGAUCAUCAUCAUCUCCAUAGGACCAAAUAAUUAAUGGUUGAUCAUAAAAUUAAUUGCUAAAUUAUCAUUUUGAGUAAAAUUGAAGGAAAAGAAAAAACGUAAACACAAACAAACAUACCUCUUCAAGAUACUGCAAAUUGGCUUCAAGUUCAGUACUGCUGACAGUCAAGUUAGAACAGCAAAUAAGGUCUAACUCUUCCAAUGCUGUCCAAAUUGAACAAUAAUUUUAUGAACAGAAGCUCUUGAGUUUUGGGAGAUUGCAAAGUGUUAAUUUUCUCAACAAAGGGAGGGCAAGCAUCGUAUUUCCAUCUCCGACACUUAUUUCCCCUUCAUUGUAAUCAAACUUUGCUUCGACAAUACAUUCCAUUCUCUGGCAUCCACUUACAAAGAGACUUUUAAGCUGCUUCAAACUUCUAGCUUGUGACAACGUGAAGAUAUAUGUCAAAUUGUUGCACCCAUACACACUCAAUUUUGUAAGAGCUUGGAGGCUGAUCACAUGUUGGACGGGCGCCUUCCAUAUCCACUUCAGUUCUGGUAAUUGCCACAUAGAUAACUCUGCUAAUCUUGAGAGCAUCACAGGAUUCCCACUCUUUCCAUACGGCGACUUAGAGGCAUCCAUUAUGCAUUCUAAUUCUUUGCACUCAUUGGCAGAAAGACAAGGCAACUCAUUUAAGCCCUUUGGAUCUAUGCUUGGCACAAUAUUGUGACAACCUAUAAUCGUUCUUAAAUUAAGAAUUUCCAGUUCUUGAAACAAUGCCGAAAAAAUACCGAUCGAGGUCGCUUCACAAUUAUUAAUCUUUAAGCACCUUCUCUGUCCAAAAAUUUCAUCUUCUUCGUCCAUUAGAAAUUCAAGUUUGUUACCGUUACUGACGUAGUGCCUUUGCAAUUUCGGGAAUGUAAAGUCUUUUGGAAGACGUGCAAUGUUUUUGUCAGUAUGUACAGUCUUUCCGUCGUCAUUUUCUUCUGAACUCAUCCCUUCAGCCUCCCAAUCUUUUAUCCGACCAUAAAAUUCUUCUAAUUGAGGAAAUUUUUUUAUCGUAAUGGGAGAAAUACGACCAGAGUUAAUGAAUAUAAGAAGUUUCAAUGUACUAAGUUGAUCGCCAAAUUCUUCAGGAAUUUCAAUGGGAGACCCCUUGACACAAAGGAUUUGAAGUCUCUUCAACUUUCCAAGGAAAGACGCGUCACUCACGUUACAUCGAAUCAACUGCAGAACUUGGAGGUUGGUGAGGAAUUGAAGCGAUUUAAGUGAAAUGACUCCUCCUACUAUAGUAACAACUUUCAAUGCUGGCAUCCCUUCGAAAAAAUGUUCUGGAAUAUGCAAUUGAUAGUCAUAUUCAAUAUUCUCCAGUCGCAAAAUAUGAAGGUUAGGGCAUACCAAACCACUUGGAAGCUCUUCUUUUUCAUUUCCCAUCAAAGAGAUUCCUCUGUAUUGUUCCAUUGCCCGUUCUGCCAAUUCAAUGCCAACUUUACUAGUAAAAUAUUUUUUCUCCAUUGAGCCUAUCCAUAAGGCUACGUCACGUACAAUGUCAUGCAUUUUUACAAAUCUGUCAUUACCAGCGUCUAAUAGCAGUGAAGAAGCUUUGAGCUCUUUAAUCGUUCCACUCACUAGGCUCCUGGCAUCUUCGAUUGACUCAGCUUGAUACCAAUCCAACGCCACUGCAUAUCCAACCAAAUCCUCCAAAUCUAUCUCAUAAUCUUCUGGAAACAGCGAACACAACAAGAAGCAUGACCUUGAAUCCUCAUCAUUCAAAUAAUCGUAACUAAAUUUGAGACAAUGGUAAACGUCUUGGUCCUCCUUGCCAAUACCUUCUAUUGUAUUAAGUUUUGCAUUUUUUAGUUUAUGUAGAGCUACUUUCCAUUCACCAAAUCCUUUACGGCUUAGUGCACUUCCAACAGCUUUAAUAGCCAAAGGCAGCCCCUUACAUUCAUCAGCAACUCGUUCUGAAACACCAAUCAAUGAAUCAGCAUCAAUGCCGGCAUGCUUUCUUAGUAAAGCCAAUCCUUCUUCUCGCUUUAGAACACCUAGUUGAAUCCGCGUGUCACAACCCAUGCGAUCACAAACUGGCUGAAGGCGAGUGGUUAGAAGGAUUUUGCAACAAUUGUCUAUCUCACCAACAGGAAUACCUACUGUCUCCAAGUCAAGUUCAUUCCAGACAUCGUCAAGGAUUAUGAGGAUCUUGCGGCUUUUACUCUCACAGAACAUCAAGCGCAAUCGGUCUGCUCUAUCAUUUUCAUCUUUCUCCGUUAAUGCCCAACCUAACGACUUUACCAGCUCACUUUGAACAUUUAUUAUAUUUGGAUCCCGAGAUAUAGUGGCUAUCCCUACGUCAUCGAAAAUCUUUUGUUGCCGAAGUUGAUUGCCCGCAAAUUUUGCCAAGGUCGUCUUUCCUACACCACCGAGGCCAUGCAGUCCCACCAUUUUUGUGCUUUCUCUUUUCAGUGAUUCAAUGAUCUGAUUGCAAGCCAGUUCUGUAGUCUCGAAAGACGUAAAAUGUCUUGGUGCGGGCAAUUCUUUGCUUGAAGGUAGAGGUUUAGGACGGGCAACUGUGCUGAAUUUGUCGUAUUUCUUUUGUAGAUCGGACAACUUGCGAGUCUCCUUUGAUGCUUUUCUACCCAGCCAAUAUAGGCAACGCCAAUUAGGACACCAUCCAUUAAGACAACUUUUGUUUUCAUCUAUCUUUGCUUUCAAAUUUUGAACAUUGGCCAUUUCUUUGACUACAUCCGCCAGCCACUUCUCUACAUCUUUCUCGACUACUAUGGCGCGGUGUUUUUGUCGAUCUUGUUCUACUUUUUCAUUGACGCCAUCUUGUGCCUCCUUCAAAUUAGUUUCUUUAUCCCCCAAGUUCUUUAAUAAUGCUGUUGAAGCAGAACAUAUAGCGAGCUUGGUUUAUGGUUGCGUCCGCCAAUAAUUCUCCAAGCUUUGAUGCAACGCCUGAUAAAAUUUCCAUGCUAUUUAUCUGCAAUUAAUGAAAUUGAUCUCAGUAAGAUCGAACGUGAACGUUUAAUUACUUUAAUUUUUUUUUUUGGCUUAUUAACGCCAGCAUUGAAAUUAGAUUACUUUAGAAAUUUUUAAAUAAAAAUAUCAAACAACAAAUUUAAUAGAAUCCAGAUAAACCUAAGAAUUUGUUGUGCAUUGCGAGUGAAGACAGGCAGUUGCAUGGGGAAUAUGAUAAAAGUGAUGCAUAAUUGAAAAGCCACCCAUAAUAACAAUUAAAAAGAGUAUUAGAGAUUAGAGUAGUUCAACAUUCUAUGCAAGCCCACUCAUGAUAAAAUUUGAAUUGUUUCAAGAUGAUUACCUUCUUCUUUUUUUUUUUUUUUACUUUAAUCAAUAUUCUAAUAAAAUAAAACCAUAAUUCCAAAUAAUAUCUUAAUUUCCUUUACCUUCAAAUGUUCAUUAAACUCACAUAUUGGAUAAUUAAUUUAAUUAUUUGUUAAAUUAUUUAUUACCCUAUCUUAUUAUUCAAUAGAUAUAAAUGACACCUUAAUUAGGUUUUAAUUGGAAACAAAUAUAAAAUAUUAUUUUUUGAUUAAUUUUUGUGAAUUCUUUUAAUGUUCGAAUUAGAAUAGAAUAAUUUGUAUAAGGAUGAUUUAUACAAAGAUAAUCUGCAAAAUAAGCUUAUUUGUCGAGUUUAAAAGAGUUAUAUGAGUAAUCAUAUAUUUAUCAAAAAAUUUUAAUAAAAAUUUUGUUUAAAAAUUGGCCAAAUGGGUUUAAAAUAGAAGGGCAUGAACAGCGCCACUUUCAAUUUUUUUUUUUGGUGGUUGUACAAUUGAAAAGACGUAUUGAAAUGGACCAAUUUGAAAUGGCAGGAGAGCAUAAUGGACUCAUGUUGGAACUUGGGUAGGAAAAUUAAUUUUAUUUUUAAAAGUAUGGUCAACAGUACUGACUUGGAGGUGAUUGACGUUAAGUUAAAUUAAUACAAACAAAUGGCAAAAAUAAUUUAAUAAAAAUUAAUUAAUAAAAAAAUGAUUUAAAAAUAAGAACUUAAGUUCUUGAUCAUCAAUAUCCGUAUGUUUUUAAUCCAACGGCUCAGAAUUGGCAUAAAACUAGCCAUUGGAAGUAAAACAAAUAUCAAAUUAAGGGCUUAUGACACAUUAAGAUCUCAUACCUACUUCGUUGUCUAUCCUCAAUUACUGCUGAAAGCUCCAGUUAAGAGAGUUCGCACAAGUUCGGAGAAAAAUAAAAAGCUGCAUAUGGCAAUAUAAAUAAACAUCGGAUCAAAACGACAUAGGAUAUAUCUAGCUAAUUAACUUCUUAUAUAAGUCCUUGUUCUCAGUCAAAUCUUUGAUCCUUAGAAAAAAGAAAAAAAAAAAGAUUGAAAUAAUAACUGUACAUUUUUAAUCCAACGUGCAAAAUUGGCAUAAACAAACUAAUAUAGCAUAAAACAAACAUCAAAUUAAGAGCCUAUGAAAUAAUAAUAUCUCAUACCUUCUUUCUUAUGUAUCCUCAAUUACUACUGACAGCUCCAGUUAGAGUGCCAUAAUUUCCGAGAAAAUUAAAAGCUGCAUCUAGCAAUAUAAAUAAACAUCAGGUCAAAACAAAAUAGGAUAUAUCUAGCUAAUGAACAUCAUAUAUAAGUCCUUGUUCUCUAUCAAAAUCUUUCCUUCUUAAAUAAUAAUAAUAAUAAUAAUAAUAAUAAUAAUAACAAUAAUAAUUGAAAUAAUAACUGUGGGUGAAACAGGAAGCAAAAGUAAUUAACAUACCGAAAUGAGAGCAGCUCACAUAUCUGGUGACUUCCAAGAGAAUGAAAAAUGAAUGACCUUCGGCAGCAAGAUCCAAAUCAUGUAUCACAAAUUGCUACUGACUUCGUGGCUUCACUUUCCUUUUCUUUUUUUCUUUUUUUUUUUUAAUUAAAUUUUAUAUCACAGUGUGAAUUGAAAGGUGAAAAGUGAAAUGGUACACAUGCGUAUGAUGAGGGGGCAAUUUUUAGACACCUCCCCGAGGUUUAAGGUCUUCUGAAUUAGAUGGAUUGUAUUUUCGUAUUAUCAAAUACCUCCCCUGCCCGUUUUUAUUCCAUUUUGUAUAUUCUAAAUGGCUGAAGGUAAAUUGGUAAAAACUCAUUUAAAAUAAAAAAAAAAUCAAAGAAAUUCAAGAAGAAGCUUUGUAUCUGCCAUUUGUAUUUGGGGUAUCUUUUUGGUUGUUGAGUGAAUGAGCUUAAAUCUUAAAUAUUUAUUUUCUUAUUAUAUAUUUCUCAUUGGAAAGAAUUUGAAUCUUAUUCUUAUUAAACUUAUUCUCUUUAAAUAAAAGUAGAUUUCUAUCCAUGUAUUUAGCAUGUAUUUUGAAAUUAAUGUUCAACAUAUCUUUAGAUCCUAUUAUAAAUAUUCAUAUCUAAAAUCUCAACAGAUUCCAACAUAUAAAUAUAUAUAAAGAGAGAGAGUAACGUUCUAAUAAGAAAUUUCUUAAAUUAUCAAAUUAAAGGAUAAUUCAAAAGAUAAAAAAAAUACAUAAUCUAAUAUAUUAUAUAACAAAAUAUACUAUAUUAAAAUAUAUAUUUUGCUUAAUUUUUUAAUAAAUCCCAUAAUAACUUAAGAAACCCUUUAUUUACCUGAUAUAUAUGUGUGUGUGUAUAAUUUUUUACAAAAUAAACAAUUUAGAGUAAAACAAAGGACAUUCUGGGGGCCUUUUGCUAGACUACCAAUCUACCAUUUUGGAUUGCAAUAAAGUGAAAAUACCGGACUACUAUUUUGGAUUGCAAUAAAAUUAAAAUGGGUUACACCAAAAAAGUAAAAAAAAAAAGUGACAAUCAAUCUUGUCGGCCAAUACACCGACUUUUUUGCCGGAUUAGUAUCACCGUCGAAAACAAAUUAUUGCAAGCACUAGCAAAAAGCAAUCGAUGAUUUCGCAAUUUGGUUGUCAAAAAGCAAACUAGAUCACGAUUCCUCAAUUCAAAAUGGGGCAAAAUUAUGGUAUCACAAUGGUACCGUACUACGGCUGGAUCCAACCUACAGUUAUCAUCAUAAUUGGAGCAAACGGUUGGAUUCAUCUGUAGUAUGGUACCACUGUGGUACCAUAGCUGGACCCUUUAAAAUGAUUUUUUUUAAUUAAAUAAGUGAAAAUUAAACCUACAAUUCAAAAUAGAGGACUGUAGAUGCGUAUAAAUUGAAGAAGGUAAAUUUUGUGUGGGCGUAAAUAUUUUAGUUAACAACAAAAAAUUCUAACAAGUUAAUAUAAGAGUAUCAUAGCAGUACAAGAGAUUUUUUUUUUUUUAAUGUUAAGAGUUAUCGAGAUACCCAAUAUAUAUAUGUGUGUGUGAGAGAGUGGAGGAAGAAAAAAAAUAUUAAGAAUAGUUUUGGCAUUUUGAUGGGUUUUAUAGAGUAAAAUCUAUAUUUUCAAAUAUGAUAAUUCUUUAAUUUAAUUUGGUGUUAUGAAAAAAAAGGGCAUUUUAAAUAUGUUCUAGGUUAUAAAUAACUCCAUCCAAAAUUUAAAAAUGAAAUCUUAGGGGGGGAAAAAUUUCACCCGAACUAAGGCCCAAAGUAGCCGCGGCAUUUUUCACCAAUUCUCCAAUUCUCAAUGUGGUGUAAUUAUUUACAAGGAAUAUGAGUAGGGGUGGGCACGGUUCGGUCCGGUUCGGUUUGGAUCGAAAUUAAGCUGAACUAAUUUAAAUCAGUUAUUUUAUAAAAAGAACUAAAUAAGAACCAAACUCAAUAAAAACCGAACAUAAAUGGAUCUUUUCGGAUCGGUUCGGUUUUUUCGGUUUUGGGCCUAUUGGGCCUAUUUUGAAUUUCUAAAUUGUUAGCCCAUUAGGACUCAUGAAUGUAAUAAUUUUAUUCAACAAUUAAUUUAUCCUAAUUUCAUUACAAGUAUUAACAAUAAAUACAAAGUAUUCAAAGCACAUUUUGUCACUAAUAUCUUACUAACUACUAAUAAGGUACUUACAAAAUAUGAAAUAUUAAGAUUUCAAAAUACAUAAUCAAACUCCAAUACUCCAUCUACAUAAAUAUAAUGUUGUAAAGACAAAUAAAAAUAACAACAAUUAAAACUUACAACACAAAAUAAAAAGAAAAUUUAGAAACAAACACCAACAACAAUUUUUAAAUAUAUAUAUAUACCCGUAAUCGUGUGUGUGCAUGCAUAUUUUAGUUAUCUCACGCAACCGAUUAAAAUUUAACACGUGUCUAUUUAAAUAAAAUUCCAAGAAUAACUCGGUUUUUUGGUUCAGCUGAGUGAACCGAAUACCGAACCUGUAUUUCGGUUUUUUUACAAACCAUAUAUUUCAGUUAUUUUUUAAAAUUAAAAUCAGUCCGAACAGAACGGAACGGUUCAGAUCGAUUUUCUCUAGUGCACGGUUUUUUUGCCCACCCCUAAAUAUGAGAUUCUCUACCACUCCAAUUUAUCCCAUUGUUAGCAAUCCUAUUAGCUGUUUUAUAUCCUAUUUUUAUUAUGCUCCCCAAACAAAUAUGUUUCACGUAAAGGUGCCCAACGGGCUGCACCGUCCGUCUGAAUGAGCGCACGAGAGGCUCCACAUGACACGGCAAUCUUUUUUAAUGAGGGCGUGUCUGAUAUGCUCUUUCAAGUCUACAUACCUAACGUUCUUUUUUUAAGUGCAUAUAUUUUUUUUUUAAAGCUCAUGUGAAAUUCAGUAGUAAGAGAAUGCAAUACUAGUUAAUAAGUUAGAGCCUACAAAAUAAUAAUAAUAAUAAUAAAAUUUUCUUUAAGGGUUAACAUUUUAUUGUUAACUUGAAUUUACAUACUGUUAUAGAUUAUAGUCCAUAAUAAUAUUAAUAUUUACAAGUUUCAAAUUAAAAUUUAAUAAUUAACAUUUCAUUAACACAACUAUAUUAUCUAAUUUUGCAAUAACCAAUUAUAAUACAACAAUACAUAAUUCUAAUUUCAUAGACCAUGGUAAUAAAAUCUCUACAUUAAUGAAAAAAUUUAUUUUGAUAUAUGUCGGUCUGCUUGCUAUUGAUGGCCGAUGGUCGUAUGCUAGCCUGCUAAUGAAACAUGUUUAUUAUUGGUUUUUUCAUGUGUCUUGUUUUACCACAUCUCUAAUCAAAUUGUACUCUUAAAAUCCACAGCCUAACCUAGCCUCUGUGUGUGUCCUGUCGUGCCAUACUAUACAAACACGUAUCCGGUACUAUCCCACGUACCGGUCGGCCCUUUGCCAUCUCUAGUUUCACCCCUAAAUGAAAUCUAAACGGCUAUUGGCAAGUAAGAAAACUUGUUAUUCUUUAUUUUGAAAAUAAAGGGAAUUGCUUAGUUUGAUAUUGUUUUUGGUAAGUCAUUUUUUGUUUUGAAACAUUUUUCUGAGAUGUUGUAUUUGGUGAAAAAUAAAUUAUUUUAUUUUAUACUUUUAAUGAAGAAAAGUAGAGAAAAACAUUCUUAUAAGUGCACCCGUGCCACUUUUUUCUUGUUUUAUUUGUAUGAUAAUUAUCAUGGACCCACGUAACUUUCUUUUGCAUUUAAAAUUUCAUAAUAAAUUAAAUUAGACAAAAGAAAUGAGUCCCACAAAUAAUUUAUUUUAUAAUUUUUUAAAUAAUACUAUUUUAAAAUAAAUUAUCAAAACAAAUUUCAUAUUCACUAAAAUUAAUCAUAUUCAUAUUAUAAAAUAAAUUUAAAAAUAAUAUCUGAAAAGUAAUGCUAAAUACACUCUUAAAUUUUAUGUACGGUAUUAGAAUUGAUGAACAAUCUGACAAAGAUGCUGCGACUUAAGUAGAGAUGACAAUUAAAGUUGGAUUUGGAAAAAUUCGUGUCUGCAAAUUAAAAAAAUGUGGAUUCGGAUAUGGAAAUUUGGAAUUCACAUGGAUCCAGAUAAAUUUUAUUUUAAAUUAAAAAUAUAUAUUAAAAAUUAAAUGAAAAAUUAAAAAUAAAUUUUAUUUGUGAUUUUAUGAUGAUGUUUUAUAUUAUUCAUGUUGAAUUAUUAAUGGUUGGAUUAUGAUUGAAUUUUAUUUGAUAUUAUUAGGUAAAUUAUUGAAUUUUAUUUAAAAUUUAAAAUUAAAUUAAAAAUAUAUAUUAAAAAUUAAAUAAAAAAAAUUAUAUUUUAUUUGUAGAUUUAUGAGAUUAUUGUAUGUUAUUCAUGUUGAAUUAUUAAUUGUUGAAUUAUGAUUGAAUUUUAUUUGAUAUUAUUAGGUAAAUUAUUGAACUUUUAAAUUAUAUAUUAAAUUAUUUAAUUUUAAUUUUUACGGAUUUGGAUAUCCAAAAUAUCCUCCAAUAUCCGUUGCGGAUAUUACCCGCUUCUGGAUCCACAUCUUUUUAUACGAAUUCAGAUAUAAAAAUAUGAAUGCGAAUCCGAAUCUGGAUUUUGCCAACCUUGAACCUAAGCAUGAAUGGGCCUAAAGUUUCUACAACAAACAUGGAUCAUUCAAUGACACGACAUGUUUUACAGCUCUCAUUAGUAUAAUUAAAUAAUUAAUUCCUCUCUAUAUUCAACUUACUCCGUCUCAAAUUGCAUGCACAUACAAAAAUACACUUCUGAAUCGUUCACUUGAGGAAAAUUCCAAAUUCUCCACGUAGAAUUUAGAUUCAAACCAUAGCAAAUUAGACAUAAUUCUAAUUUAUAUAGCAAAUAUAAUUAGCGAAGACACUCUUUAUAUAAACAUUAUUGUCAAACCUAAUAAGAUUCAAGGUCUUAACAUACUUCAUAUGAAAUUUGAUCUUGGCGCGUACCAACACGAAUAACAUCAAGACUCUACUUCAUAUAAUGUUAACUUCAUGGAUUUUCCGCUCUCUUGUGGGUCUAUCGUUUGUUUGCAAACUUUUCCAUUUUAAAUUGACAAUUAUAGGCGCUCUCUUGUGGUACAUAAAAUAAACGUUUAUUUUUAGAAUAUUAUUAUUUAUCUCAAUUUUUUAUUUAAUAGUUAAUCUUAAUCAAUUCUUAAACUGCCAUAAUCAAUUAAUUUUUUACAUUAUGGCAUCUUAAAUAAAUUUAGGAUAUGUAAUAAAUAAAAACUGGUAACGUUUGUUCUUUUAAAGCAUAAAAUAACCGUAACAUUGGUUUUUACAUUUUGAAUUUUUCUUGCAUCACUAUUUAGAUUAGAAAAAUGAUGUUAAAUCAACUCACAAAAUAUAUCAAGCCAUCUAAAAUCCAAAUAUUAUUACAUUUGUAUUUGCAUUGUUAAAUUGUUGGAACGACGGCAAAGCAAUUGAAAAGAUAUUAACAAAAAAGUAAAGAUUGGCCAAGGAUUAUUCAUGUUUAGGAAAUGCCUUAACUUUUGAUAUAAUCAUUGUUAUAAUUAUAUUGUAGAAAUAAUCAAUUACCUAAUGUUUGAGGUGGUAAAUAUUAUUAACUUGUUUUACUAUACCCGUGUUUAUGUUGGUCUCCUUUUUGUCCAUUUCUGUACAACGAAAUAUUUGCAUGUUUUGAUAGAAAUUGGUUUAAAUGACAUUUAAAAUAGUAUAUCCCCAGACAAUUAACGAAAUAUUUGGAUGGUAGGAUGAAGUAAUAAAUAGUUUUACAAAUUACCAUAUUAGAGGUAAAAAAAAAAUCGAGAGGUUACUUGACAAUUAUGACAUUACUAACUACAAAUUUAACACAAAAAGUUUAAUUAACUUUUCAUUUUGAGAUGACAAAAUCUCUGCUGUUGAAAACAAUGAGGUUUGAGGUUCAAGCUUGAAUAUCAAGUUACAAUUAGUAGAUAGUCUUAGGACAUAUCAAAGAUUUCUUUAAAGACAAAAUAAUAAUUACAAGCAAUAGGAAAUUAUGGUAUUCAGAACAUGUAACCUUCGCACAUGAAGCUUGAGUCCAGCAAAAGAUGCAGCUAGCCAAUCCUUCAACUUCCAAAACCCCACAAAAUCUGUCAACAUAUCUGCUCUACUUCAAUAUUAAGCACAUUCAUAGUGGCAUCAACAGCUUACAGCGCCAAAAUAUUUUCCCCAAAAAGAGUGAGAGAUUUCACAGAAGCUAAGUUGUGACUUGUGACUGCCCAAAUGUUCUAUAACACGAUAUGAUUAUUCUAGCAACACAAAUCCAACAGCAUGCAACAUAAUCUACUCUCUAACAUUGCGCAUUAGUAAAAUAAAACAGAGUAAAAAGAGAAACCAUGCCUGUGAAUCUCUUCCUUUCCCCCUGCCACCCCUUUUUUUGCUGAAGUCCAUCAAAUGAAAAUGCAGCAUGACCACGUUGGCCACUGCCACUGCCAUUACUUCUUCAACUGUGCCUUUUGUUGCAGGAAAUAUUCAAGAGAAAGAUUGGAUUAUAUAAUUCAAGAUUCCAAUAAACCUGAGCUGCAAAGGUUGCCUUCCACUAGCCUAUCAGAGACUAUGCUUUCUAUUUUCCUAGUUUUUUAAUCAAAAUUUUGCAAGAUUUAUUUAUGGAAAUCUUGGACAAAAUUUUAUGUAAGAUACCAUAAAGCCAAACACAAUCUUUUUAAUUCUCAGCAGCAACAUUUAAAGUAAAAAAAUGGAAGCCAUAUGAAUAUAACUAUGUUUGGUACAAGGAACAAUUAUUUCAAGCUUUCAGAAAUGCUACCAAGAAAUUGUAAGAGAACUUUACCUGGUCACAGAAUAUGUCAAACAUACUACCACCAACUGUCUUUAGCACAAUUGUUAUGAAGUAGCUUCUGAAUCGGAAGAUUCAAGCUUCCACCGGGCACCAUUUUUUUCAUUCUUGAUACAAUCUGCAUCAGUGGCAUGAGUUAUAUCAUCAACAUUUGCAUCCUCACUCUCAUCAUCCCAAUCAAGGCUUCUUCUCCAGCUCUGGAUUAUAAGUCCACUCCGACAUCUUCAAACAUCUCGGUCCUUCCAUUUGCCAACAACCGAUAUGGCUUCCUUCCUUGCCUUUCCCAUUAAUAUAUCACUCGAAGGAAAAAAAGCAUCAGCAAUUCUCUUCAACGCCUCAUCGUUUAUAACCCCCCAAAAAAAGGGUCUUCAGACACCUCAACUUUGCCUUCUGCAAAAUCUCCACAAAAUCUGAAUUAUCCAACACAACAGCCAGACACUCAAUCCUUCUUUUGUCCAUCAUAUCCACCGUAUGAUUCCUCAACAAAAUAUCUACAGCUUGUGGCUUAUCUAACACUGUCUUGAUCCAAAACCCCGCUCUUUUCAACUCAUCUGCCAAACCAUAACCCACUUUUGGAGUCAAAAUUGUCCUUGCAGCCCUUUUAUAUUUUUCCAUCUCCAUCGAAUACUUGCCACUCAAAUGGAAUUACCAGACAGGAAUCCCAGUAACAAGUCCACUCAACUUCUUCUCAUCUGAUCCCUCUUUCACUCGGGCGGAAACAUUAAUAACCAUUCACCAGCCACAAAUUACCCAAGUAAGUACUCGUGUCGUCAACACUUACCCUUCACUUCAUCUACGCAAACAAGAAUUCAAAUUGCUUACUAGCUAGUGCUCGAGCGAAAGCCAGAAUAAUUUAAAUAUGUGUGUGUGUGUGUUAAAAGAGAAACGGUAGCGAAGUUAUUAUACAAUAAAGCAAACCAAAAUAAAUUCUACACUCAUGUGGCGCUCAAAGCCAUGAAUUUGAUAUCAUCCAUGAGGGGAGUUCAAACAACAGCAUGUAAGAAGCAACAAGUGUUGAGAAAAAAAAAGUGACAAAAACAAAGCUAAUCACAAUGAAUGAUAAGGUUUAGAGUAAACAUAAAGUUAUAAUCUUGAACAUAAGUGGCCCUCAAAGCCAUGAAUUUGAUAUCAUCCAUGAGGGGAGUUCAAACAACAGCAUGUAAGAAGCAACAAGUGUUGAGAAAAAAAAUAAAAAUUCAUUCUAACACAGCAGAAUAAAUUGUAAAGAAAUCCCAGUUUGUAUAAAAGAAAGAAAACAAAAUUAAGGAAAACAUAAGCACAACAAAAUUUGACUGAUUAUUAAAAAUGAGAAAUGAGUUAUAAUGAGAAUUUUAGCUUUGUUGUGAAAUAAAUUGGGAAGUAUCCAAAGUACGCAUGUAAAUAAUAUAAAUGAUAAGAAGACGAAGGGAACAAAAUGAUAAUAAGCAAGCCAAAUAUUAAAAUGCAGAUUCUACGCUUCCCCCCCCCCCCCAGUUAGUGUCUCGCUAAUCAUUUUCGAUGUAUCAAUUACAAAGGUAGUAAGCGUACUGUCACGGGAUGAGUAUUUUGCGCAGCUAACCCGUGCGGCACUUAGAUAGUUUUGCCGAAUGUUGCUAAGUAAGCCUAGAACUUCUCGAACUAGAAAAGAGAGCAAUUGAGCCGAAUAAGAGAAAUUGUAUUGCACAAAGAGAGAUUACAAUGCUUGAGUUGCUUACAAUACUUGUUGUAGUGUUUGUUGGAUGCAAAUGCCUAAUGCCAUCCCAUAUUUAUAGGGGAGGCUUGCCAAGCUCUAGAGAUUCUAGAGAAUUCUACCACUUCCUAGCUAUUUACAUGUGCUGGAAUUGUAAGGAGAAUUCUAGAGUAUUUACAAGCUCAUGUGCUAGAGUUGCCUAGAAUGUUCCGGAAUUGGGCCAAGCUAGCACUCUUAGCCUUGUGUUGGCUCUCUAGCCCGAAAUUGUGGGCAAUUGGGCUAGCGAAUUGGGCGGUCCACAACAUCCUCCCCCACCUAAGCUCGCGGCAUCCUCGUCGCGCUUUCGUGCUUGAAGUGUUGAAUGUGCUCGGCGAAUUGCCACAAAUCCUCUUCACGUUCCCAAGUGACUUCGCUCUCGGGGAGGUUUUUCCACUUCACCAAGUACUCGCUAUGUGCUGGCACGCCUCUCCUCGAAACCACGCGGUCUGCAAUGAUGUAGUCCACAUCUUUGUCGAACGCGGUGAAAAUGGUGGUUGGCCGCGCCUUGAUUCUCCGCGACUUGGGUCUCCCAUGUCUUCGUGAUAUGGCUUGAGAAGAUUCACAUGGAAGACCGGAUAGAUCUUGAGUUUUGGCAGAAGUUGAAGUUGAUACGAGACGUUGCCCACACGUCGAACAACUCGGAAGGGUCCCUCGUAGCGCCUCACUAACCCCUUGUGGACUUUCCGCAACGUCUUGAAUUGUUGGGGUAGGAGCUUGAUCAUGACUUGAUCACCUUCCGUGUACUCAACACGCCGUCUCCUUGUAUCCGCCCAUUUCUUCAUUUUCCUCGCGGCUUUGUCGAGGUAGGCUCGCGUGAUGUCUGCUUCCUCAUGCCACUCGCGGGCGAGCUUGUGUGCCGCGGGGCUUUUCCCUCCAUAAGUCGAGGCUAUGGCAUUGGGGGUCAUGGGCUGGAAUCCCAUGAUGAUCUCGAAUGGACUCUUGCCCGUAGCCUCACUUCGCUGCAAAUUAUAAGAAAAUUGGGUGAUGUUGAGUAGCUUCGCCCAACCCCGCUGAUGAGUGCUCACAUAAUGCCUCAAGUACAUCUCGAGGAGGCCAUUAAUGCGCUCGGUCUGCCCAUCCGUUUGUGGGUGGAAGCUGGUCAAGAACUUAAGAUCAGUCCCCAACAUCUUGAAGAGCUCCGUCCAAAAGCGUCCAGUGAACCGAGGGUCUCGAUCGCUCACAAUGCUCUUUAGAACUCCCCAAAGCUUUACGAUGUGCUUGAUGAAUAGGCGGGCUGCCUCGUCCGCUUUGCAAUCGACUGGUGCGGCGAUGAAUGUGGCGUACUUGCUGUAUCGGUCGACAACGACCAUGAUGCUACCACAACCUUCGGACUUGGGCAGCGAUGUGAUGAAGUCCAUGGAGACACUUUCCCAUGGCCUUGUUGCUAGUGGUAGCGGCUCCAACAAUCCCGUUGAAAGUUGAUGAUCCACUUUGUCUUGUUGGCAAACAAGACAAGUUCGCACAUAUGCCUCGAUGUCGUCCCUCAUGUGUGGCCAAAAAUGCGAGGCUUGAACUAGUGCGGUGGUGCGCUCGAUUCCUGGGUGACUAGCCCACUUGGAGUCGUGGCACUCCUUGAUUACUUCCUUCCGUAAGUUUCCCCACCUUGGCACGAACAGCCGAUCUCCCUUGGUGAGGAGGAUGCCUUCCUCUUGCCAAAAUCGCCUUGUCUUUCCCUCGAGCAACUUUUCCAGCAAAUUCUUUGCUAGCGGAUCUUGUUGGAGGCCUUUCUUGAUGCGUGAGAUAAGGUCGGACUUCGGUUGGCUCAUGCUAAGUGUUGCCAAUUCCGCCUUGCGGCUUAGAGCGUCCGUAACGACAUUGGCUUUCCCUGGUUUGUACUCGAGCCGAUAGUCGAAUUCCGCUAGAAAAUCCUGCCACCUUGCUUGCUUCGGACUCAACUUCUUUUGUGUUUGAAAGUAGCUCGUUGCUACGUUGUCCGUCAUAAUCGUGAAGUGAGAGCCUAGCAAGUAAUGUCGCCACACUCUUAGACAAUGGAUGAUGGCUGUCAUCUCCUUCUCUUGCACCGUGUAGCGGCGUUCCGUAUCAUUUAGCUUUCGACUCUCGAACGCUAUAAGGUGGCCUUCUUGCAUGAGGACUCCCCCUAUGGCGAAAUCCGAGGCAUCCGUUUGGACUUCGAAGGGCUUUGUGUGGUCCGAAAAGGCGAGGACUGGUUCCUCCGAAAUUGCCUUCUUCAACUCCUCGAAUGCGCGUUGGCAUCCUUCGGACCAAUGCCACGUUCUGUUUUUCUUGAGCAUAUCCGUCAAGGGUGCCGCCUUGGCCGAAUAGCCCUUGAUGAAGCGGCGGUAGUAGUUCACCAACCCAAGGAAUGAGCGAAGCUCGGGCACUUUUGAGGGAGGUUCCCAUUCGAGGAUGGCCUUUACUUUGGCGUUCUCCAUCAUGAUCUUCCCGCCCGCAAUCUUGUGGCCAAGGAACUCCACUUCUUGUUGGGCAAACGAGCACUUCUCCAACUUGAGGAAGAGCUCGUUGUCUCGGAGCACUUGGAGGACUUGUCGCAAGUGUUGGGCAUGAUCCUCGAGCGUGGUGCUAUACACCACGAUGUCGUCCAAGUACACGACCACGAAGCGGUCGAGGAAUGGUUGGAGCACCUUGUUCAUGAGCGUGUAAAAUGUGGCGGGUGCAUUAGUAAGGCCAAAAGGCAUCACAAGGAAUUCGAAAGACCCGUACCUUGUUGUGCACGAUGUCUUCGGUUCGUCUCCCUUGACGAUGCGCACUUGGUAGUACCCGGAGCGCAAGUCGAGUUUGGUGAAGUACCGCGUUUUGCCAAGCUGGUCGAACAAGUCCGCGAUCAAGGGAAUCAGAUACUUGUUCUUGAUGGUGAUAUUGUUGAGCGCUCUAUAGUCGAUGCACAUCCGCAGCGAUCAAUCCUUUUUCUUUUGGAAGAGCACGGGUGCACCGAAUGGGGCCUUUGAGGGGCGAAUGUAGCUUGCAUCCAGCAAGUCUUUAAGUUGUCUCCGCAACUCUUCUAAUUCGGGUGGCGCCAUGUGGUAAGGCGCCAAGGCUGGUGGCUUCGCACCUUGUUCCAGCUCGAUCGCAUAAUCUACCUCUCGUCGAGGUGGGAGCUUCUUCGGAAGUUCUGGAGGCAUCACGUCCUUGUACUCGUUGAGGACUUUUUGUAUUUGCGGAGGGACUUGGCUUGGCUUGUUUCCGCAAUCUCCUUCCUCGUUUAGUUCCCGAAUGGAGACCAAGAAGCUUGGGUCCUUCUUGAAAGCCCUUUUGAAUUGCAUGGCGGAGAGUGUCUUCUCCUCGGACUUGCCUCGUUUCGUGGGAACCAUGCAUGCCUUGCUCCCAUCGAGGAUGCUUAGGGAGUUUGUAGCGGGCAGCGGGAAGGCAUGGACUUGAUCGAAGAAUUCCAUGCCGAGGACCAUCUUGACGUCAUCCAUGGGCAUAAUGGAGAAGUCAAGCUUUCCGCUCCACGUACCAAGUGUAAUGUGCACGCCUUGUGCGAUUCCCGCAAUUGGCUUGGCGGGUGAGUUCACAGCCUUCAUCGUGCCUCCUUCCUUGGUGGCCUUGAGGCCUAAGCGCUUGGCCUCGUCUACGGACACGAAAUUGUGCGUUGCUCCCGUGUUUAGCAGUGCGCGAACGGACUGGCCGUUUAUUUUCGCGCUUACAUACAUGAGCCCUUUCUUGACAAGUGUGGGCUGUUGGCGAUUGAGUGCGCCAAGGCGUUGGAGAGAACCCAUGCUGAGUUGGGGUUCCUCCGUGGACAUUGUGGGGUUGCUCUUGAGUUGGGCAGCAAGAGCAUUAAGCGACCUCUUCUCCGGACAGUCGCGUACCCAAUGAGGACCGUUGCAUAUGAAGCACGGGCUUCGUGGCUUUGGCGCCUCCUUUUUGCCCUCCGAUUUUCCUUACUCGCUCUUGUUGCUAGGCGGCUUUUUCUGCCCCCAAUCUUUGCGGUUGUUGCCCUUGUCCUUGCGACUAUCUCCCCCACCUUUGCCUUGGUUGGCCUUUUUGUCCUUGGAUUGGGUAGAGUAUUUGGUGAACGACUCCGCAAUGGCGAUGGCGUCGUCAAGUGUUUGAACACCACGCCUAUCAAGCUCGGUCUUGGCCCAAUCCUUGAGGCCAUCUUGGAAGUAGAAGAGCGAAUCCUUGUCGGACAUGUCGCUUAUCUCCAACAUAAGGGUAGUGAACUCAUUGAUGUAGUCCCGAAUGCUACCCGAUUACUUGAGGCGACAUAAGCGCGCUCGCGCUUCCUUCUCCGCAUUGCUUGGGGCGAACUGCUUUCGGAGUUCUUGCUUGAAGUCGGCCCAAGUGUCGAUGGUGCAAAUGCCCUUGCCCAUCUCGCCAUGCUUGUGACGCCACCAUAGUUGUGCAGCACCUCUAAGAUAGGUGGGUGCAGUGCCCACUUUCGAUGCCUCAUCUCGAACACCCAUGGCAUCGAAGUAUUGAUCAAGCCCGAAUAGGAAGUUGUCCACGAUUGUGGCGUUGCGUGUGCCAUCGUAGGUGUCGGGCUUUGGCACAUCAAUGCGGCGCGCAUCACUCGAGUUUGCAGAAGCUGGACUUGUGGAGAGUGUGCGCUUGUGCCAUGCCCAAUCUGAGCGGACUUCAUCCACUUCCGCACGGACAGCGCGUAGUUCGUCCUGAACAAAACUACGAAGUUUGAGUAACUCAUCAUGGAAGGAACGAAACUCACCUUGGAGAGUGUUUGCUUGCUCUUGGAUGAGAGCUUUGGUUGCCACCGUGAACUCGGCGUAUUCCCCUUCGAAACCGUCCACUCUUUCCUCCAAUCCCUCGAGGCUAUCUUGAGCGGUGGACAAAGUGAUUUCGAGAGUAGUCACACGAGGCUCCAACACAUCCACGGAUGGGGCCUUGGACUUGCCACGAGUCUUGCCUUGGGCGCGUUCUCCCUCGCGGCCGCGGCUUGGUUCCGGUGGAACAUCCACACCAACAACACCCUCUUGUGCUACGUUCGAAGGGUUGGCCAUUGCUCGUGAGCUAACUUGCGUGUGUGCAAACCUUAGCUCUAAUACCACUUGUCACGGGAUGAGUAUUUUACGCAGCUAACCCGUGUGGCACUUAGACAAUUUUGCCGAAUGUUGCUAAGUAAGCCUAGAGCUUCUCUUACUAGAGAAGAGAGCAAUUGAGCCGAAUAAGAGAAAUUGUAUUGCACAAAGAGAGAUUACAAUGCUUGAGUUGCUUACAAUGCUUGUUGUAGUGUUUGUUGGAUGCAAAUGCCUAAUGCCAUCCCAUAUUUAUAGGGGAGGCUUGCCAAGCUCUAGAGAUUCUAGAGAAUUCUACCACUUCCUAGCUAUUUACAUGUGCUGGAAUUGUAAGGAGAAUUCUAAAGUAUUUACAAGCUCAUGUGCUAGAGUUGCCUAGAAUGUUCCAAAAUUGGGCCAAGCUAGCACUCUUAGCCUUGUGUUGGCUCUCUAGCCCGAAAUUGUGGGCAAUUGGGCUAGCGAAUUGGGCGGUCCGCAACAGUACGCCUCUAAUGUUUUGCCAAGUGUCCAUUGAUAAUAUCACAAGGGAAAUUAAAUUGGUGUAUGUGUAUUACACCUCCUAAAGUCAUGUUAAGAUAGUUAGUGAGCUGAUAAAGUUUGUUGCACAUGUGAGUUGGUUAAGUCUGCUAGAAAUGCAAACGUGUAAAGCUUAGUUAGUUAAGGUUGUUACGAAUGCUUAGAUUCAGUUCACGUGUAUUGUAUGUAAUGCUUAGAUUCAGCUCAUGUAGAUUGUGUAUACAACUUUCUAAUAUUCUUUAGAUCUCAAUAUAAAUACUUGUAAUCAACAAAUACAAUAAUAAGAGUCAUCAUUCUUCAUUUUCUCUAUGUUUCUCUCAUAUUUUCUCUGCAUCCAAACACAAUAUUCUCAAUUCUUGACUUGGUAUCAGAGUUGCAGUUUAAUUGUCAUGGCUUCCUUAAGCACAAAUUCAAACACAAAUCAGUCUCCUUCAUUCUUUACCCUCACAAAUGCGAUCAAACUGGACAGAUCUAACUAUACGAUCUGGAAAUUUCAGAUCCUCUCUUUAGUGCGUGCCAAUGGACUUGAAGGCUUUCUUAAUGGAACUAAAAUUUGUCCAGAUCAGUUACUUACUCAAGAGAUUGAAAGUUAUGGUGUUGAAAAUGUUGUUGGUGAAAGCUCAGCUGAUAGAUCUCAAGAGAAUCCAGCCUUUGUUGCUUGGAAAAGGUAGGAUCAAUUGUUAUUAAGUUGGCUCAUGCCCUCCAUCAGUGUUGAGAUACUUAGUCUUGUGGUAAAUUUUGAUUCUUCUUAUAAACUUUGGACUAAUCUUGAAGAAAAUUUUUGGAUUAGAAACUAUGGCUAAGAAAGCACACUUAAAAAUGAUGUUAAGCAAUCUCAGAAAGGGAUCAAUGCAAUAACUGAGUAUUUUGCCAAACUUAGAGCUGUAACUAAUAAACUUGCUCUAACUGGUAGCCCUGUUUCUACUCUAGACUUUAUUACUUAUCUAAUCUCUACAUUAGGCCAGCCAUACUACCCUGUUGUUUUGUAUAUUGAAGCUAUUGUUUUGUAUAUUGAAGCUAAUAUGAUGAAAAUAUUUGUCAAUGAAGCCUAUUCUAUGCUUUCAACUCAUGAAGCAAGAAUUAAAUUUAAUCAUCCGAGUGCAAAUAAAGAAGCAAAGUUGAAUUAUGCUGCUAACAUAGCUUAGGCUGGACCUAGUAAUAACAAUAAGAAGUCUAGUAAUCAAGCUAAUUACUAUCAGGGCAACCAAGGUAACGGGAAGAGAAAUGCUCAUUGGUGUGGUAACAAUGGAGGAAGAGGUGGCUUUGGCAGAGGUUUUUCAGGGCAAGGAAGGGGUAAUUAGAAUAAUGGUGGUCAUUGGAACAAUGGACCUUUGGAGUAGUAGUCGAGCAUGUUAUAAUGGUUCUGAUAUAAACAAUAUGACAUGGUUGCUGGUGAACCUGUAAACAUAACCACAAAAGUAAGAAGGCAUAAUCUUUUUAUAAGAAACUCAAAAAUCGGCAUGGUGCGAGUAAAACACCUUUGCAACCCAAUCAGCAAACUCCUUUGCAUUGGGCACAGUAGCGGAGAGGAACACAAAUCGGGAGUUCUUUGGAGCCAUCACAAUGCUCUCUUCCCAUACCACACCUCUCUCACGAUCCCGCAUGUAAUGUACCUCAUCAAAUAUAACCCAAGCCACUUCACGCGUAAUCUCUGAGCCUUUGUACUGCAUACUACGCCAGAUUUCAGUAGUCAUCACCUGAAAUUAAACUUCAUAUAAGCAAUCCACAAAUCAAAGCGCUGCAACACCCAAAAGAUGACACUACCAAGUUGACCUACCAAACAAGAAGCAUUAGGGUCAAUUGUGACAUCCCCAGUCAUCAAACCGACAUCUGAAAACUCUUCUUUAAACUCCCUGUACUUCUGAUUGCUGAGUGCCUUAAUCGGUGAAGUAUAUAUCACACGUUGCUUAUUCCGCAACGACAUAGCAAUAGCAUACAAUGCUACCACAGUCUUCCCAGCAGAUGUAUGGGCCGAUACCUGUCAAAUAAAUGAAAGGCAAACCCGAUUUUUUUUAUAAAAAAAAAAAAGAGAAAAAAAACUAUUUUUAUUUUUCACGCAAGAUAACACUUAAUGCAAAAAUUAUUAUCAGUGAGCUGAAAAGCAGAGCGCUUUGUACGAAAGCACUUCCAAAUUCGAAUUAAAUUUUUUACAAAAAAUUACAGCUUUAUAUAUAUGUGUGUGCGCGUGCGUAUAAUAAUAAUAAUAAUAAUUAACGAACCGUAACGGACUCGCCGUUGUCGAGGCACUUGAUAGCUUCGGACUGGAAUGGGUCGAGAGUGAAAGGGAAUUCCUUAGCAGGUUUAAACAUAAAACGCGGCGUUUUCAUGGACUAGUACAUUCCAUGCUUCGAAAGUUUAUGUUUUAGACUGAUUGGUUUGAUACAUUAUUUGUUUAUUGCGUGUUUCUUGCUUUAAAUAUUAUGUUGGAUUGAUAAGUUUUGUACACAUUUAUAUUGCUCGCAGUAAAUAAUUUAUUACAUUUAAAAAACUAUCAACCGUCUAUCAAAAGAUUUCUACCAUAAAUAUAUAUACACAAAAAAACUUUUAAUUUGGUCAAUUUGUUCUCUUAUUUAUUUUUGUUCUAUUUCUCUUUUCCUUUCAUUUCAUUUUAUUUUUUUAUGGUACAAAAAAAAAAAACCUUAAAAUUUAAGGGUAAAAUACUCAUUUUACUAAAUUCCGUUUAAUAUCAUAAUGCUGUCAAUGGACAAUGGCAAAGUACACGGGGAAAUUUAUAGUAAUAACCAUUAAAGUUUUUAUUUUUUUCAUCUUAACCCCCCAAAAAUAUUUCUAUCAACAUUAGCCAUAAAACAACCUUUGAGACCAAAAUACCCUUCUCCCUCAUCUCUCCCCCAACACUCCCUUUCACUCAUCUCUCCCAAACCGAUCCAACUCCCAUCAUCGGCGGCAACAUCAACCCUCGUUGGCGGCGGCUCCAUCUCUCACCGGCAUCCGAUCUACGAUCUACAACCUUCAACAAAACCUAGGUUAGUCAUUUUUCUUAUUUUCAUUAAUUUAAAAUGAAAUUUUAGAAUAAUAAUGGUUAUAGUUUGAGAAUAAUGUUGAUGGUGGUGGUGUUUGUGGUGGUUGGUGGUGUUUGGGAGUAUUGUUUUUCGAUUUUGGAGUGUUGUGGAUUAAUUUUGGGGGUGGGGAGGGAGGGGGGUAGGGCGCGCGCGCGCGCCCAUCGCUGGGCAGCAGCGCGAGCCCAUGCGCGGCCCGCUGUCGCACCAAAUCUGGUGCUACAGGCCCUGUCGCCAGAUUCACCUCCCGACUCAGUUCAGCAAGUUCAGAAAAUAACUCAUACCACUAAGUGAUGCCGAUUAGUGUUGAUCCGGAUAGAUUAUGAUCGGAUUUCACUUUUAUCGUUGUCUUUUGCCGUCGCCGUUGGCUGAUGAUUCAAGAGUGGCAAGCUGCGUUUAGUUUGACGAUAUGGGUGAAACAAUGUUGCUUUUGGUCUGUAAAGAAGGGUAAUUUGGGGAGAAAAGCUUGUGUUUGGCUAAUGUUGAUAGAAAAAAAUUGAGAGAGUUAAUUGUGAAAAUAACAAAAUAUUUAUGGUUACUUUCGUAAAUUUUCCAAGUACACGAGUGAUACAAAUUAAAAACAAAUAAAUUGAAAGUUUUUAUGUAUUUUCCUUUUAUUUUUUAUAGCCGAUUGAGAUUUCCCUUCGUAUUCUUAAAUUCAAUACGUUUAGACCGUUUAAAAAAUUUUAAAUUAAAAAAAAAACCCGUGGUGUAAUAACAAACUCACAUCAAACCCUGUCCACUGUCAUCCCUAAUAAUAUUUACCACUUCUUACUCAAGAGUGAUAAUAACUGUGUAUCACAAUUGAUUUUGCAUACGGGUAAAAGUUCCAAGUCCGGAUAUUUAGUUAAUGAAAUUGAUGAAAAGGGCAUGAAAGAAAAUAAGAAAUUAAAUAAUACAGGUGGUAUUAAUCAUUACAUAUUUAGUUAAUGAAAAUUGAUGAAAAUAUUUCUGCAGACAUGAGCCGUAAAUAUAAUACCGUUAAGAAUGAAGCAGCAGAGGUUCCCCAAACAAGCUAAAACACGGCACCUGAAUUUAAAGAAUUUUUAUGUCACAGUAUCGGGACAAAAAGUUUAAUGCAACAACAUACAUUAAGUUAAUUCCAUAAUCUAUCACCAAAGAAAGACAAACACAAGCUUAUAAGAUUAGAACUUUGGAAAACAUUGAAGAGUCGGACAAAAUUGUGUAACCUUCAGAGUUUAGAGCCUAGUUCAUCCAGGAAAGCAAAAGAAAAAUAAUAACAAUAAUAAUGGUGGUUUGAUCUCAAAAGGUGGCAUCAAAGUGGUAACUUUGAGGUAUUGGAAGCAAUAACGUCUUCAACUUUGUCCUGAUUUCGAAGUCCCUUAACCCAUCCGCCAUCAAUGGAUUGAAUGCUUCCAUUCAACCAUCAUCCACAAACUCACCAACCCGUUUCACCUUCAUCUCCUCCGGCUUAACAGGGUACUUCCCAGAGAAGCAAGCAUAACAAAAAUUCUGAGAAUCAUCGCCUAACAUCUUGUUCAAGCUAACAAUCAGCAGAAAAGCAAGCGAAUCACACCCAAUAAACUCCCUGAUUUCCUCAACGCUCAUCCUGUUGGAAAUCAACUCCUCACUACUUGGAGUGUCUACUCCGUAGUAACAAGAAGCUAUGAUUGGUGGGCUUGCAAUUCUCAUGUGAACCUCUUUAGCUCCAGCCUCCUUAAGCAACCUAACAAUUUUCGAUGAAGUUGUUCCUCUCACUAUCGAAUCAUCCACAACCACAACUCUCUUUCCCUCCAACACUCCCGUUACAGGAGAGAGCUUAAGCUUGACACCAAAGUCCCUAAUCUUCUGGGAAGGCUCAAUGAAAGUUCUCCCAACAUAGUGUGACCUUAUCAACCCUUGUUGAAAUGGCACCCCGGCUUUCGCAGUGUACCCAAGUGCAGCCACCACUCCAGAAUCUGGUACUGCAAUCACAACAUCACACUCAACAGGAGCCUGGGUAGCAAGUACUUCCCCAAAAUGAUACCUCGACUCAUAAACAGACCUUCCAAAAACAACAGAAUUAGGCAAAGCAAAAUAAAUAUGCUCAAAGAUGAACUGCUUAGGUUCAGGGUGAGGCAUCAAACAAAGUGAUUGAACCCCAUCUUUAUCCACCAUCAAAACUUCACCGGGAUAUACCUCUCUCUCGUAUGUGGCCUCAAUCAAAUAGUGCACAAGUCUCUGACGCAAAAACCACAGCACCAUUACUCCUCCUACCCAUCACCAACGGCCUAAACCCGUACGGGUCACGAACCACAACAAGCGUAUCCUCAGUAACAAACACCAUUGAAUAAGCACCCUCAAGCUUCUCACAAGCAUCCACAAUCCUCAAAAAGAACGGCCUAGCUUUCGAUAUCGCAAUCAAAUAGAGAACAACCUCAGUAUCAGAACUAUUAUUAAAAAUGGAACCAUUAUCUCAAGCUUUGCCCUCAAAGUAUUAUAAUUAACUAAAUUCCCAUUAUGUGCAACACCAACAGAACCAAACCUGUACCCAGCAACAAAAGGCUGCACAAUCUUAAGCAUAGAACUACCGCAGUCGAAUAUCUAACAUGACCAAUGGCCAUAUCACCAGGCAAUUGAUCAAGUUUAGACUGAUUAAACACAUCAGAGACUAAACCAACACCGGUAAUACACUGAAGAACUUUAUUAUUCACAGCAACUAUACCUGCACCUUCUUGGCCGCGAUGCUGCAGAGCGUGCAGCGCCAAAUAACACAAACGCGAGGCCUCUGGGUCACCGUAGAUGCCCACAACACCGCACUCCUCACGGGGCUUAUCGUCGUCAUCAUCAUCAAAACUGCCAAAAUUGUCAUCUGGGUAUUCUUUUUUGUGGUGACAAACUCAUUGAUGGGGUUUUUUGAUAGAACAGUGAAGUUAUUUUUGUGGGUUAAAGAUUGUUGUUUCUGAGGAAAAAAAAGGGUUUUUUUUUGCAGGGUUUUGGAGAAAAUAGAAUGAUAGAUUUUUUGCGUCGGCCUAUGAUUAGCAGAGGGAGAUGGGUUUGAGAGAGGGCAGAUAUUGGCGGUGCUUGUGGUUGUGGCUGCCGUGAAUGGCUAAUUUUAUUUUAUUUUUUUCGGUUGCUUUGCUCAAAGAAAAAACAGAGGAGGUGUGUGGAGGGAGACAGUGGCGAAGGGUACUUUAAGUAGAGGGGAACUUGUGAGGGAAUCUGAUGCUGUGUUGUGCGUAUGAUUCAAUUACUUACUCAUAGCAAGAGGUGGUCAAUGGG